UUUUUUUUUUUUUUUUUUUUUUUGAAAUGAAGUCUCCUAGGAUCCUAGUGAGAGUUUUCUUUCCCCUAGAGAUUCAUAAUGAGAGUUUUCUCCUUUUUCUAAGAAUUUCUGGUGAGAGUUUUCUCUUCUUUUCGAAAUUCUAACGGAGAGUUUUGUUAAUUUUUACAUUUCUUUAUUAAUCUAAGUUUUCUCAGAUUUGGUUAUGAAAUUAGAAUUUUUUUAGAACUAUCUCGUUGGAUCUCACAUUAAUAUAUGAACUUGUUUUCACAGUGUAAUAGUCUGAUAACUAGUGAGAUUUAUGUUCUUCAGAUCUGUUUAUAUAUAAUUUUUGCUAUUAAUGUAGAUUUGAUGAAUGAUGAUGUUUUUUAUAUAUAUAUAAAAAAAUACUACAAGAAUGACAAAAGCCUUUUGGCUUAGCCCAUCAGCGUAAUUAGAAAAUUAGUUGCUGACAAGAUGCUGGAUAUGGACCUUUUUUGUUACUGCUUGUCACCGCGCGUCGCGCGAUCUCUUGACAGGUAGCAACCCAAGUAAUUAAGGAGAUUAUCCCGUCAUUGUCCAAAAAUCCAUCAUGUGUUCAACGCCGGCUAAACCACGCCAUAGAUCGAUUACCAGCUUUCCUUUAUCGGAGGCUACAAAAGUUGACGUCUUCUCCGUCUAGUUUUUUUACGUCUUUGAUCACAUGAAGUCUAGCUAGUCGUUCCAAAAACAAAGAACACCAGUCCCAGAUAUGCACCAGUCUUUAAUGUGCCAUCCUCAGAACAUGGCUACAAGGACUGUGACCUUCAUCACUUUUCAAGCCAUAUAUAAUACGCAAUUCUCAAGCCGAAAUGUAUCUAAUCUGGUCCGUCAUUUGAUUAUGCGGACUCUACUUACUCCCUAAUAAGUUCAAAAUGCAUGACACUUUAUGAUAAAAUACUGAUGAUUAUACAUUAAAAAAUUAAUAUAUAUUUUUGUCAACCUAGUACCGAUGAUUUAUUAGACUUUAUUAGAAAAUUAAUAUAUUAAAUCACUCGUAAAUUAUAUUUUUGUCAACCUAGUACCGAUGUUUAUAUAUUUAUAUAUAUAUAAUACUGAUGAUUAUACAUUAGAAAUGUGUUUUUUUCAUAGUUAUUAAACCCGGCCCGGCCCGGCAGUCGAACCGGUCAAAUCAGUGGACCGGUCAUUGGACCGGACCGGGUUUGGAAUCAGAUCGUUUGUGCAAAGAGACCGUUGACUUAGUCAACGACCCGGCGGUCGAACCGGGUUAAACCGGAAACCCGGCCGGUUUUGGCCAGUUUUGUCACUAACCGGAUUUUGUGGAAAAAUUAUACUGCUAUUGUUGGAAAUCGAAUUUCCGACCUCUGCCCCCGCACUACCACUUGCUUACCACCAAACUACUUCUAAAUAUGUUGAUAUAGUAGUUUUAGUAAGAUAUAUAAAUGUUUUUCAAUUCUAUCUUUUUUUCUCUAAAACAAAUUUAUUUGGAAUCUUUUAAUAAAAUAUUUAUUACCAAACUCUAUAAGUUAUAAAAUGGAUUCCAAAAAUAACAUAUUACAUAAUUCAUUUAAAGACAAAUAUUAUUUUUAUAAAUUUUUACACUUAAAUUCAUAAAUAAGCUAGAUAAUUACACUAAAUAUAGAUAAAAUUUUACACUUGAAGUUGGUGUAUUUAUAAAUAACUUUAUAUUUGAUUGAUUCUUAUAUGAAUUAAUUAUUUUAUAAAAAUUAAAUUAAAUGAGCUUUGUUAUGACAUUAUUUAUUACAUUUAUAUCAUAUAUCUAUAUAAAAAUUAUGAAAUAUUAUUUAAAUAUAUGUAGUGACCCACCGGUUCAACCACUCACCCACCGGUUCAACCAGUAACCCGUUGACCCACCUCCUUCGCCGGGUUCCUUCCCGGGUUGGGUUUAAUAACUAUGGUUUUUUUGUUGUUUUGGGGGGGGGGUAUAAUUAACAACAAUCCAAAUGACUGGUAAUCUUGAUGAUUAUCGCAAGUUGAAACCCGUAUUUAAUGAUUGAAAUAGUUUAUGAACUCAGGUAUUGAUUUUUUGAUACAUCGAUGAACCAAAAAGAGAUUAAAUAUAAAUUACAUUAACAAUUACGUGAUUAGCACGAGUAACUAAGCAUUAAUUCUUCUGUUCUUUCCUUGUUAUAGAUUUUGAAAGUGUAGGCACGUUAUGAGAAAUCAGCAAAGACAGAGAUCAGAAAUCGCUCGUAGAAAUGAAAUGUAACCUGUGAUUAGAUUGAAAUAUGCCGUAUUUCAAAGAGUUUCAGCCAAACAACAACGGAGAAAGCUCUAGCAAACGUUUAGAGAAUUGGGAACAAAUUUUCUAGCAAACAAAACAUGAGGAAGAGUUCUUACCAUUGUAAGUACAGUUCGUAGUACCAAACCUUACCUGAUUAUAAACUCUGCAUUGACAUUUCUCCAGUCAAAUCUUCCCGGAUGAGGACCUUCUCUGGACCAAUCUACCCAAGUCACGCUCCUGUUCGAGUUUCUUUCUGGCAAUAGAAUAUUCACAAGCGUGGGAAUGUAGUGCUAUCAUUAUAGCAUGGAGGGCUGCAAUGCUCAGCAAAAUGGGGUAAUAUUUUCUGUCUGAUAUAAUUCUUAUGGCAACCUUGCGGUUGACCUCAAACCACUGGACCCUUUUCGCCAUUGAGAUAUUGAUUGCAGGCGACAUUGCUUUAUUAUAUCUGCCACGACCACUUUUCUUGGAUCGUCAGCUGAGCCAAUGAAACUGUGAUUUGACCUUAUUAGGUAGUUGUAAAUUGUUGUGAAGUUGAACAAAGGAAUGACGUUUCUGAUAGCAGCACAAAUCUUUCAUUCGUGAAGUCAAGCAGUGCAUUGGCUAGAAGUCGUCGCUCAGCAUCUAUCAUUGAUGCUGUUCCCCAUUGCACCGGCUGCGGUCAAAUGCAAAAUGAGUACUCUGUCACUUGCACGGUUGAUUUUAGUUUCUUAAGGCAGAGUCAAAUGGAAUUACCUCAAUCUUGUUAUUCAUUCAAGAAAGGAAGAAAAUCAGUUAUUAAAUGUUCUUUUUUGCAGCCCCUUAAUAAUUAGAAGUUCUAGAUGUUAAUCUCACGUCUGUCUUAAUUUUUUAAAUUCUACCUAUCUCCCUCCCUGCAAUUAAAAAAAUAUUCUUUUUAUAACAAUAUGAUUUAUCAUACUACAUCUCAUUGAAAUUAAUUGCAAGUUGUUCAAAGCAUCAUUACAGCUCCCUCCCUAAUAAAAUUAAUUGCAAGUUGUUGUACAUUUGUGAGGAUAUUUUGCAUAACAUUUUUGGGUUCAUUGUAAUGUACAGGGCACGAAAUUGCAAAGGAGUGGUAGUUCAAUGGGGCAUUGUGCAAUUAACCUGUAUACCUUCUGCUCAUGCUUCCCCAGUUUUCUGCGGUAAAAAAAGUAGCAACUUCAUCAGAGCAGCACAGAACCCAGCUCCGUGUAACUGUGUUGUGUAAUAACUUGGAAUUUAUGAAGUUGACGAAUGGAACACAAACGAAAGUUGGAGGUAAAAGUCUUUGAGAAAAGAGCCAUUUGAUUUGAUCCUAAUGCUUGGGCAUUUUGAAAAAAAUUAGGAAAAUAUAUUGUAUUGAGAAAGAAUUCACUAUUCAAACCAACCUUUUAAUUCUCGAAGGCUAAAAUGCAGUCUAACGUUCAAAGCGUUACGAACCUUGCUAGGAACUUUUCGAUGGAAAACAGAAUCUUCAGGCUUUCUCCAAUGUAAGAGGGGUCUGAAUGAACAUAAAUAGAGUAUGAUCCAUUGUGUCCAUGAAAAAAUCUCCCACAAGGGAGCAAUGGUAUCGGCCCUUUGGCCAAGAACAUGAAAGCAACCUUCGGAGCAUACUCGUAAGCAAACUCCUCAACCAUAGGCACCAUAGAUGCACGCCAAAACAGUUCACUGUCGUCCAUUUUGUGCCUAAGAAAUUGCAACUGAUCCUCCGGCACGAAACUACUAAUAGCAGCGGGGGGAAUACCGCCUUCGUGCGGGAUGGUGGGGCAGUGGUGAUGUUCUUGGCUGUUUGAAUGGUAAUUCUAUCAGGGUUGAUGCCUGUUGGAACGAUGUAAGAUUGGGAAUUGAGUUAAUGUUCUCUAGUGAAAGAAAUCUCUCAAGAUACAUACACCGGUGACCCAAAGACAAGCCAAUGACAAAAUACAGAACACCAAAUGCAUGAUGCAACUGCACUAAUCGUGCAAUAUAAAGCUUAGCCAUGAAUUGACGUUGCUCUUCCAUUCAUCAGAGAGAUGAAGAAGAGAGCUUUAGCAUACAAUGAAUAUGAAGCAGUAGCUCUGCCCCAUUAUUAAGGGACGGACUCAUUGGCCAACUUGUAACAUCACUUCAACCGCAAGGUAAGAUGAAACGAUAUGUCCAAGAAUCCUCAGAUACCGGGCGAUAAGCACCUCCCGGUCACCCCUCAAGCAUCGGGUCAACUUUGGUUGGCUUGCUUAAGCACGUUAAUGGUCACUGGCAGAAUACAAGAUCGAAACCCUUUUACAUUGUGAGCCAAAUUCACAAUGGUAUGAUGCUUCGACAAGUUACCUCUUACCUAGUAUUAAUACCUAGUUUGAUUCUUUGAGUAGACCUCGAUAUAUAGAGUAGACCAAGAAAACUAAACGAGUACAUUCAAUGCCCCGGCAAGUUGCACCAUCUUUCCAAUUCCGAAAAGUUUCUGUAGACCUCGACAUUUGUUUCCUCUACCUAUUUCAUAUUCUACUGAUGAAGUCAUGUGUCCAAGAACAAGAGAAAACGUUAGAGAGGACUAUAUGGUGCUUUGUUUUAUGCCUAAGCCAGGGCUUGCAAACUGGACUAACUUAAAAAACAAAACAGUUCGCUGGAUCACGCACUAGCAGAUUAUACGAAGGUUCUGAAAAAAGUCUUCAAAAAUAGCUAUUAGCAACCAACACAAAUAUAGCAUGUGGUUGUAUUUUGAGUCUUUUUUAGGUGACGUAAUUGCUUGCCAGCUAAAAAUGGAUGAAGAAAGAAAUAAUCUGAGGUGAACCUCAUCCAGUAAAUCCCAUUUGGGAGACUAAUUGUGUAAAUUAACCAUAAUAGCUUGCUUAAAACGAAGUUCUUCUAUUAAUCAUAUUUGAAACUGUUCGGUUAUUUUUUUCCCCCAGACGAGGAGGGUAAGAGGGGAUUUAAGAAGAGGAGAGGGGUACAAAAAUUUUGAAUUUAUGACCUCUAAUUCUUAGAGUCUUAACCUUAGCCACUAGUUCCGGACCUCCUCGGUUACUGCCUACCAGGCUGGCCAUCCUCGCAUGAAGGAAAAUUGGUACUUAGUAUUAGAAUGGGGACAUUAUUUAAUUGUCUUGUGUAAUAGAAUAGAGUACUUCUGAUGUAACUGAGGUUUCUACCUCUUGUACAAUCUUCCGAUCUAGUCUUUAAUUAAAAGAGUUUGAUUGUUGCUCGAAAAGAAUAUACCAAUUGCCCCUUCUGUACCCUGACCAGCAAUUUUGGUAUCAGACAGCAAUUUUGAGUGGUUCCUAACCACUCAAAAGCAUUCACUCACCAACUGGUAAAAGACGCAAAGAUUAAAAGCUGUACCUUUUCCAGUUUGAGAGUGACAAAGUACUAGUUAUUCAAUAGGAUUCCUUUCCCAGUUUUAGGGUGACAAAAGUAUUAGUUAUUUCACUAGGAUUCCGCAAGCAAAUAAAUAUCAACUGAGGCUUUGAACAGGAGCAUAUACAAAUAAAAACAAGAAAACCAUCAAUCCUUGACACAUUUCAUCUGACAAGCAGCAAGAUCAAGAAAUGCUCAAACCAAAAUCAUUCUGUAUUGAAUGAAUUCUAUCGUACACAAAAAAUCAACAAAGGAAAUGAAAAUUUUGAAACAAACCACAAUUUCUUUUAGGGAAAAAAUUUCUAUACAAUUUACAAGAAAACUGACCUCAGACAAAAAGAAGUUUAAUACAAGGAUAGUCAAUCUCUGGGUGAGAGAAAAUACCCCAGUCCUCUAAUGCUAUAGAAGAAAAUCAGGAAUCACCGGAGACUCUGCUGCCACAUUCUCCAUUCCAUCUGCUCUUUGCCGUGACUUGUGCUUGCCAUGGGGAUGACUACUAUUAGGCCUAUCUGAUCGAUCAGAUUCACCAGUUGCCUUUUUUGAACUUCUAUGGCUUCUCUCUUUACCAUGAGUACGGUGUUUGAUCCUUCUAGAAUUCUUGUUUCCAAGCUCAGCAAUCUCCACAGUUGUUGAAUCAGCAUUUGAUUCCAAAGGCCUAAAGGUCUCCUUCCUACUUCGCCUAUUUGAUGAUUUGUCAGACUUGUCAGUCCGUGACGAUGAUGCCACAGCUUGACUGCCUAGAAGUACCUCUUGCACAGCAUCAGAGAUUAAAUCCUCUUUCAGCUCAGGUAGCGUCUCAUUGAUGUGUAUUCUAUCUCCAUCAUCCAAUUUUACAACCACAGGCCUAGGUUUUGCUAUUGGCUUUUUCUUAGGGACAAGUGAUUUCUCUGUAAGUUUAACCAGAUAAUCUACCUCAUCAUUUACUUUAUCUUGCAUACUGAGGUCAUUAGCAGGUGGAUAAUCAUUUGGAACUUUUUCCUUUUUCUCUGAAGGAAGAUAAUAUAUCCCAUGCCGUUUGCGAUGCUCCGUGAGUAGAGAUGUUGACUCACUUGACGGUUCGCACUCUUCCUCAUUUUGUUGGUCAGAAACCGUAACCACAUCCUUUUCCAGGGAUCGAGGUUUUUCAAGGGAAAAUGAACUCAAAACAGGUAUUCUAAAAUCACCACAUAUUGCUUCUAAGUCGCUGAGAUUCUCCUUAAGCUCCAAACCAUCAGGAAGAGGCACCCUGCCUUGAGCACUCAACGAAACUGGCCCAAGCUCUUCAGAGAAGGCAUCGUGCAUCACUCUGACAAUUUCACAGGCUUUCAGUUCUCCCCUAUCAUUUUCUUCUUCCUUUGGGACCAAGCAACCAUGUAUUUCUUGUCGAAUCAACUCAAUCAAACCAAGGACAUUCUUCACCCUAUCCUGUAUCUCCACUUCAUGACUACCUGCCAUUGGUCUCAGUGUUGAUUCAACAAGAUUUACCAUCCCAACCAAACAAUCUUUGGUGAAAUGACCCAUCUUCACAGAACAGGAAGACACCUGCUCAAGAUCGCUAAUCAUUUUCUUCCCAUCAUUUCCAGAAGCAUCUUUUUGCGGUUGAUGCAGCAUUCUUGGAUUAAACCCCUCAUCUGGUUCACUAAAAGUAACAGUUUGACCACUUACAGAAUCAGAACUUUGUUCACACCAACCAUUGUGUACAGACUCUCCCACUCCUGAGAUAGAUGCAGCAAGAGCUUCUUCUGGAUAGAAAUAAAAAUACGCAGCGAAUGUCAAUACCUUAAAUGCAGACUGGAUAUACACAGCCCUCACUGAAGGUGGCAAAAGAUUGGUUCUUGGUUGCAAUAAUGCUUCCAUGAGCUCAAAUGGAUUUUUGCAGAAUUCAACAUACUCCCCAGAAACCCAAGCAGCCGCAGAUAAAAUUCUGUGGAUGAAAGGAUUUCCAAGCAACGCAGGAUCAAUCAAUAAAUCACGCCCAACAUGAACAACCUCCGGUCUAACAUCCCUAACUCUCAUGCCAAUGUCUACAAGCUGGUUCUCAAUUUCCUCUCCCUUCUGGCAAUGUGGAACCCUCGCCAUUUCCCCAAGAAGUGAAACAUACCAGUCAAAAUCAACAAUUGUCUCAUAAUAAUUUCUCGAACAAGUUGACAAGAUAGACCCUAGGAUCUCAUUACAAAAUUCUGGGUCAGAUUUGAGUGCAUAAUUAAUCAAAACUCUACAAAUUUCUGCUACAUUGUCCUCUGAAACCAUAGCCAUUACAAGCCUUAGGGCCUCAAAUUUAAUAUUGACAUCCUCAUCACUCAAGGACUUAAUCACAACCUCCUUAUUCUCCACAACAGCAUUCAAGGACUUAGGUGCAAUAGCAGCAAGCGCUUGCAAUCCAAGAUACUUAAGAUUCGGAUCGUCUUCAGUCAAAAACUCCCUAAUCUUCUCAGCUGCAAGCUUCACGGCUAACUCAUGCUGAGUUAAACUACACACAAUCGUCCUAAUACACUCAAAAGCCAACGAUUUUGCCCCAGUACGCCUCAAAUGCUCACAAAUCGGCUCCACAACUCUUUUCCCCAACCUUGGCUCUAAAGGCACCAACUUGGCAAAGAUCUUCAAAACCUUAAUCAAAACCCAAUUGUUCCUAGAAUCCACCAAAAUCCUAUAAAACUCGGGGGCUAGAGGCAAAUACGAUCUAGGUUCUUUAUUAGCUAGCUCACAAAACACUCCAACGAUGGCGGAAACAAUACCCACAUCAGCAUUCUCUAAAUUCUCGACUAAUCGCUUAAAACACACCCUCACGGAAUCUGGGUACAAUUCAAAAACCCUCAAAACAGUAGCAAUAGCUUUCUUCUUAAUAAACCCCUUAUUGCUAUUCAAUAAAGUAAACAAUUCGGGCGUCAAAUCGCGUGCUAAAUCGGGAGUACAAAUCGAAGAAAGCGUCUGAAGAGCGAGGCUUACCUCAUGGGGGUUGCCCGAAUUGAGGUCUUUCCGGAGCUGAUGGGUGAGGAGGAGUAUGACAUCCGUGGAGGAGUUGAAGGAAAUCGAGGCGGCAAGAUAACCGGUCCGUUUUGAAUUGAAGAUGGUGGAGGAGGAGAGCUCGAUUGCAUGGAAAGCGGCCCAGGACAUGUCGAUGGCAUAGAGGGAGUGAAGAUAGGUAAGCUUUUGAAGCGCGGUGGUUUUGGUUUGUUGGUCUGUUGAUUUGAUCUCGCGGCGAACCUCAUCGAUGGAUUUCGAGAGAAAAGUGGAGGAUUCGGGUGUUCCGGCAGCGGUGCCGGCAGCGAGGUUGUGGAGACGGAGGCCUUUGAUUAAAUCCUCCAAGGAUCGUUGGAACAAGGAAUCCAUUAGUGAAGGACCUCCGGCCAUUAAAUUUGGGGAAGGCUAAUGAAUUGAAGACAACGUCCGAUUAUAUGGAGUUUGAUGAGGUUUAGUGUGUGAGUGUGUGUUUUUGGGAUGCCAUGAUGAUCAUGAGAGGGUUCUGAAGGCUGAAGGAAUGAGGGAGAAGGAAGAAAAAAACUGGUGCGUGAGCUUUUCAAAUAAAGUCGUUUGAAGCUGCACGAGUUUAUCAAAUACCACGACUUUUGGCUGAAAUGUGGAGUCAUUGGAGCUUGAACUCAUCGUUGAUGGAAUCAUUUUUGUUAAUGGAGCCAAUGAUUUGUCACAGUGCAAUAAGCAAACUGAAAUGAUUUGUUUGGAUUGCUUCAUAUUUCCUCAAUUUUAUUUGCUUACAUCAUCUUUAUAAUUUUCAAUACACCUUUUUAUCUUCCCAAUAUCUUUUUAUCUCACAUACAUCAUAUCACAAAAAGUGCUACAGUAAAAAUAUAUCAAAUAAUCCCAAAUAACUUACAAUCCAAACAGACCCGAUAAUUUGUAAGCAACUCAUAACUGUAAAAUGGGUAAAACGAAUUCGUACAACUUAUUCAAAUUAAACUCUUAUAUUUGAUGGAACAAAUAUGAACGUUAAAACUAGAACAAACUCACAAUUUGUCGAGGUUCAUAUUUCAGAGCUUUUAAUUGUGGUGCGAUCUCGUUAUAUUUUGAAUUGUAAUUUUUCAUAAAAAAAUUUGUAUGUUUAUCACGUGCAUAUUUUUAAAUUAUUUUUUUAUUUGAUAUAAAUCAAAUCGUUAUAAUAUACUUUUCUAUAAAUACUUAUAGUAAUAAUAAUAGUUUAGCUUCUUCCCAAAUAAUGUAGGGAAGGAAAUUUCUUCUUUUAUUCUUUUAUGACACAAAAAUUGAGUAUAUAAAAUUGAAAGUUGAAAAAGAAUUUUCGUGUAAUUAAUCUUUUAACUUAUUCAUUACUGUUUGUAGUACUUUACCACAUCACUAUCUUGUUCAUUAGAUACUAAAUAUAAAAAAAAAAAAAAGUGGAUUUUUUCUUGACACAAACACAAUUACUAUCACAUGCCAAAUAAUUUAACAUGAUUUUCAAAAAUAAAAAUAGAAAACAAAAUCAAUAUAAAAUACUAACAAUGUUGCACUUGUACUGUUAUUGUUAUUAUUAAUAUUAAUAUGGAUUUUAUUAGUUUGGUUAUUGCUUCGGUUAGAUUUAUGGAUGUUGCACAUACUAUAAUACAAAAUCGCAAAUCAAUCAAUAAGGAAAGAACAAGGGGAAGAGUAGAAAUAAAGGUGAAGAGAUCCAUAGAAGAGAAGAAUGAAGAUCACCGACUGCUAGAAGCUUAAGAUAGCCAUAAAUAAGCAAAGGAAACAUCAGCCAAAAAGCACCACUUGUCACCAGCUGGAAAGAGGGCUUUGGCCUUCCAGAAGAAAAUUGUGGAGUAAAUCUUUAGCCUUCCUUCUCUCCUCUUCCAGGUUUUCAUGUCUUUACUAAAACCCUAAUCUUUUUUAUUCUUUUAACUGUCCUCAAGUGCCCAUAGCUGCACGCCCAUCAAAAUCCUGCGGCAAUGUAUGAGCAUUUUGGAGCAACCCAAUAGCCAAAUGACUUCCGUGGCCUAAAUUAGAGCUGGGUUUUUUAUUCCUAAAAAGAAAAAAAAAAUGAUGACUUGGGUUGUGGGCGCAAUUUAAUUAUCUUAAUUCUGCUCAUUUUGAUUUCGUUUUAGUGGGCUUGUUGUAAAUUUACUGAAUUUGGUCUAGAAGUAGUGUUGAAUUAUGUUUCACUAGUAAUCAAGAAUUGUAGUAGUAUUAGUAUUCGGGAGAAUGAAGUAGAAAUUAUUGCUACUAAAUAGAGGCUUUACAAUUCUAUUUUCCUGCAGCUUACACAACUGUGGAGCGUUACAGGAAUUCUGUUUAAGAGCAGCGGAAAUUGUGAGAUUUGUUGAUCAAGUGAAUGGAAGGAUUGCGAGUUGAUUGAAUGUAGGUUGAAAAGUUAUUGUGGGUUGCAUUUUCAUCAGCUUUCCAGGAUGUCUAUGUUCUAACACAAUUUUAAGUAAAAAUCAACGUUAAGGUAUGUUGUUUCUGGAAAUUGGUUAGCCUUUCACAUGUAAAAUUUGCAUAUCAUUGGGAUUCUGGAAUUUUAACGUAAGCUUUCUUUUUGUCAUUUGACAGAAAUUAGCAAGAUGCCUCGUAAGGGAAAUUAUCGAGUUGAUUAUGAAGAUGACUAUGAUGCGUAUGAAGAUUAUGAGUACUAUGACAACGAGAAUGACUAUGAUGAUGGUUACAAUGCCAAGGAAAAUGGUAAAGAUUGUCUUUUCAACUUGGUUUUCUUGCUCACCCGCUAAAUGCGGGGCUUAUACUGUCUUUGGCAUGGAAAUUUUGGCAAACAGGUCAGAGUUUUACCUGUACUUGUGACUUGAAGUUUCAGGUCCUUUGGAGUAAAAGUUCUAAGAGUCCACAAUUUUCUUUUGCAUUAAGCUAUCGGGAAGAAAGUAGACGAAAAAGUUCUUUUGGUACUGUUUUCUAGAUUAAAAUGUGAUUUUGGAAAUUUACAUGGAUUUGUGAAUAACUAGGGAGGACAAUCUCAGAAGCAGGAGAAGUAGAAGUACAUCUGGAUAGGGUGCAACUUAUGUGGAAUUUGGGCAUUACAUCUUGAAUAAAGCAUGAUUAGUUGGGAGACUGGUAAAGUGAGCAGCAGGAUGCUAUAGGAUAAGGCAAAUUAUGUCUUGGUUGAGAAGAGUACGAAUUCAUUUUCUAAAAUUAAAUACUAACCAUAAUAAGCAACUUCCUGCAAGGGUUGUUAACUUUUUCUCAAAAGGUCUUUUUUCACUGUCGUAUCGCAUGUGUAACAAAUCUAAUAAUACAUCUUUCAUGUAAUAUGUCUGUAUAUGUAAGGAAAGAAUUUGUAAUUCUCAAAAUCAAUGGAGUUAAGAGCCAAGAUUCUGUUUGGAUGGAUAAGGAUUGCUAUUCCUAGAAGGUCUGUUGUGGAAUGCUCAUCCCUCAGUUAUCAUCUAUGUUUCUGACAUAACAAUGAGUAUGUGAUUGCUAAGCUUAUGGUUUCUUGUUGUGGAUAAAUUACUAGCAAUGGGGAACUUGUUUUAAAGAUCAAAUCUGGAAUAGGAUUUGCUUUAUCUCAUUUCUAUGGUGUUGUGUUUUGCAUAUUUGUAGGGUACACAUUUAUGGAUAUAUAUAUCAGAUAGUUAUUGCACUGCAAGGGCGAUUUCUUCAAUGGAAAUCUUUUAGGAAACAGCUUUCAAAUUUUUCCACCAAUCAAAUGCUAUGUAGACCUACUUGUAUUAUAUUCUAAUUUCGGACCUAACAACUAAAAAUCUUCUCCAAAUUGAAUUAAUUGCUUGGUGAUAACUACUGAAACAGGUGUAGUGCCUGAGACUAAGGAAAUACAAGAAGCAGCGAAGAUUGGGAUUUGGCGCUGUCCAAUAUGUACAUAUGAUAAUGAAGAUGAUAUGUCUGCAUGUGAAAUAUGUGGGGUCCUUCGUAAUCCACUGGUUAAGGGCCAUAAUAAGAGUAGUUCUGGCCCAGGUAAGCACCUCCUCAAAUACUCUGUAUCAUUUUCUAUAUACUUUUUGACAUGUAUGCAAUGCUAUUUGUAAGAGUACGCUGCUGUAAGAACUAUUAUUCAAGUGAAAAGAAACAGGAGUUUGAACCCUUCUUGUUCAGUUUUUUCAUUUCCUUGUUAUGAUCGAGUUUGAUCUUUAAACAAUGGGGAGUGGUUUACCGAUAGCUUGCUUCUAAUUUGCCCAACGAGACCUAUUUUUAUCUCUGUUUUUAUUCAUUUGUAUCUAAAUUUGCUAGCUCCUUCAUAGAGUAGAUCGUUUCUAUGCAGUUGGUGGCAUAUGCAAAGACUCUGCAGUAUCCAUAAUGGCCAAGUCUCUUUUUGCAUCAUUGCCGCAACACAAACCCAAAAAGGCCGUAGUCUUUGAAGCAAUGAAUGGUGCUCUUUUGAAAGGGGAACCUGGAAAUAUACUUGGGGACUUUCAUGAUUUCCAUAGGGCUUUUAGCUCUCAAAACAAAUACAAGUUUAAUAUAGGUUUGGACAUACUCUGAUACAGGAAAAUAAUUAAUGACAGGAAAAUUUUCAAACUCCAAAAGUGUAGUCUCUUUCUCUCAGUUUUUGCUCCUUUGCUUGGCCAUUAUUAGAGUCAUAUCAUCGGAUAGCAUCCAUAUAUGAAUGUUCUUACUUGUAUAUUUGUUAUGGCAGCCCCUUAUAAGUUUGAUGGUCCAUCUCCAGAUGACUUGGUGUCAGUGGAAUGCGUUCCUCCACACUGGGUUCUAAAGGUUUCAUUUUUUUCCUGCUCUUUCUUCUUUUCAUGUUGGCUCAUUUGUCUUUGGUCUAUGCGAUUGUUUUCAUCUGUGCUGAUACAUUUGCUCUCAGCUUUGCCAAAUUUUUCUGCAAAGACUAAGCGAUUUUAUGUUUCACAUUUUUACUCAUUAAGUGAAAUGAUGUGUUGUUUAACUUUGGAAGGAUGUAUCUUCCUGAUAUGCUGCCUAUUUUCUACUGCAGCCAAUUUUAAGACUUCUUCAUCGCCAGAUGUUUCUAGAAAAGAAAAAGAGCUUAAGAUUGAAGUAGAAAGAGAAAUAAGUAUUGAAGGGCAUGAUAGCUCUUCCAUCAACAUCAAAGAAGAAGGGUCCUCUUUUGAAGAUUGAGGGCAAACCUCAAAUCAUUUCUGGUGAUAUGAUGAAGAUGUCAAUCUUCGAAGUCUGGAAGUGCAAAAAAUGCCAAUCGUGCAAGAGCUUUGGCAAGUGCACCAUUUAAACCUGAGAAAUGGAUGCUUCCUGACCAGAUUGAAGAUAAAUUGAGUCAACUAAAUCUCGCAAUUGUAAGUUAUCCAUUUGUUUUCCUUUUGCGACUAAUAGAUAUCUCUCCAUGUGCAUUUCUGCUGUUUGCUGUAAUUUUAAUUCAUCUUCUUUUUACUAUAUUCAUAGGUCGGCCACGUUGAUUCUGGAAAGUCCACACUCUCAGGAAGACUGCUGCAUCUUUUAGGGCGUAUAUCCCAGAAGGAAUUUCACAAAUAUGAGAGAGAGGCCAAACAACUGGUAGUUAAGCUAGCAUUUGUUAUAUUCAUAAUGGUAGGUUGGCUUCUAAGAUUGGUGAACCCUAUGUUGUUCUAUCAGGGAAAAGGGUCCUUUGCUUAUGCAUGGGCAUUAGAUGAGAGUGCUGAAGAAAGAGAAAGGGGGAUAACUAUGACUGUAGCUGUUGCAUUCUUCGAUACCAAAAAAUAUCACAUUGUUCUACUUGACUCACCUGGCCACAAAGACUUUGUUCCAAACAUGAUAUCUGGGGCAACACAGGCUGAUGCUGCAAUCUUGUUAUUGAUGCUUCAGUGGGUGCAUUUGAAGCAGGAAUGGAUGCUUCUGGAGGGCAAACAAGGGAGCACACACAACUGAUUAGAAGCUUUGGCGCAGAUCAGAUUAUAGUUGCAGUUAACAAAAUGGAUGCUGUGGAAUACUCCAGGGAGAGAUUUGAUAUUAUUAAGCAGAAGCUGGGUGUAUUUCUUCGCUCCUGCAGUUUCAAGGAAUCUUCUAUAUUGUGGAUUCCCAUGAGUGCCAUGGAAAACCAAAAUUUGGUUGAUGUUCCUUCUGAUACACGAUUAUCCUGGUUAGUUUACUUGUGCUUGCCUUCUCUGAAGUCCUUCGUCUUCUAAAAUUCAUAAGGAUAGCUAAAUUUGAAGGGAGAGCAAUUUAUAGUGUAUCCUUCUUGGUCAGGAAUGAUAGUCUAAUUUUACUAGUUCUCUGUGAAUCUGAUAUGGAUGUCAUCCUAUCUGCUUUGUAACUCAAUUUAAGUAUUUCAAUGUGAGUUUAGAAUUUCAUCUAGCCCCACUAUACCGAAUUGAUGUCAUGAAUUUCUGAAACAUUUUUCUUCUUUUCUUGUUUGACACAAUGACCAUUUUAAACUAUAUUUUUAGUAGCCUUUUAAUUAUGGUGUGUUCCCAAAAACUGGUUAAUCAGAUGUAUAGAGAACAGAACUUUAAUCAUGUUUAUAGUUGCUGAAAAGUUAGGGUGAUUGGACUUUGCAGGUACCAGGGACUUUGUCUGUUGGAUGCAAUAGAUUCUCUCCAGCCUCCUGUUAGGGACUAUCAAAGCCUCUACUUCUGCCAAUUUGUGAUGUUAUAAAGUCACAAUCACAAGGACAACUGUCUGUAGUGGGCAAAGUGGAGAAUGGAGCUCUUCGUUCUGGAUACAAGGUAAAUAUUGAUGGCUAAUUUCAGUUGUCAUUUGCAAAAGAAAAUUUUGUUAGUUGAUAUCAUACCGUCUUCAUACUGUCCUUGAAAUUUCUAGGGUGAAAAAAAUUUUGGUUUUCUGGAUUCUUGACGUUGGCAGUGGUUUGCUUAUAUCCAACUUUAUGGGCUUAUUUUGGCAAGAAGAAUUUUCAGAUGCUCAUCUCUAUUGAUCUUUCACAUUCAUCUGAUUGAAAGCCUUCUUCUUUUCCAUUUUGUUAAGUACAGAGUUUCAAAGCUUUAUCCAACCAUACGCAUAUAAUCAGCCUCAGACAUAUCAACUAGCAACUAACACUAAAAGCCCUAGUGAUAGUGGCAAUAAUAUGUAAAACCAUCGUGCUGUAAGUUAAGUCGGUCGAAGCAAGGGACAAGACAUGGACUACCAUUUUCUCCAUUUCUCAAGCUUUCUUCUUUCUUUAUUGUGCAGUUGAUUUGGCCCUCUUAAUGUGGUUUCCUCUCCCUCUUUUGCCUGACCAUGGUUCUCUUUUCUGGGUUGCUAUAGUACUUCGCUCCAGUCUAUCUCAAUCAUUGUUGUGUAACUUCUAAGGUUUAGGUGGCUUGGAGACUGCAGAGUGAUUUGAGUUUCUAGAAACAGUUGCUGGUUUUAAUGUUUUCAGUCAUGUUUAUUGGCAUAGGUUUUAGUUAUGCCAUCUGGAGAAAUAGCAACAGUGCGUUCUUUGGAACGGGACAACCAUGUCUGCAACAUUGCGAGAGCUGGAGAUAAUGUGACAGUCAGUCUGCAAGGUGUUGAUCCGAAUCGAGUGACAGCUGGGGUGUGUUGUGUCACCCUGAUUUCCCUGUUGCAGUUUCUAAGCAUUUCGAAUUAAAGAUUGUUGUGCUGGAUGUUACAACUCCAAUUCUGAUUGGUUCUCAGGUGGAACUUAAUUUAAUUUAAGAUUCUCGUCCUGGAUAUUACUUGUCCAUUCAAUUUCUUCUAGAUAUUUAUGUGUAUAAUAUUUGUGGAAUGGAUAGUUGGAAUUUCACAUACAUCACACAAAGGAGGUAGCUAGAGUUGUCAAGAUUUUGUCCCUGCUUGACCCAAAGACUGGAAAGGUGUCAAAGAAGUCGCCAAGAUGUCUGUUAUCGAAGCAGAAUGCUGUAAUUGAGGUUUGUACAAUUUCCAGUAAUGCUUCUAUCUCUCUCUCUCUCUUCUUGCGGAAGGAGAGAGCCUGUGAUUAUCGUUGGUUCGCCAAUUUGCGAUAUACUCGCAAGCAUUUAAAGAAUUUGAUGGUUUGUUUUGCUUCUCAUGUUUAGGUGGCUCUGGAAGAGCAGGUCUGCGUUGAAGAAUACUCGAGAUGUAAAGCCUUAGGAAGGGUAUCCCUUAGAGCAUCAGGGAGAACGAUAGCGCUUGGUGUUGUCACUAAGAUUGUACAAAAUGAGCAGUAGUUUCAUUGCAAAUACAAAGGAAUUUUUGCAUGUCGGCCAGAGCCCACGCCCGAAUGAAUAGCUGCUGACUGCCAGCAUCUCUAGCCUGAAACCCAUGGUGUAGUGCAGAGUUAGCACCCUGUAUUGGGUAUUCUUCACUGUACAUUAUUAUUGCUGAUCCAAUUUUGGUAAAUUUGCUAGUCACACCCCCGUUGUCUACCCUCUUGUUUUUUUUUCCUCUCUCUUUCUUUUCCCUGAAUACAAGCAACAUACACACAAAAUUUUUUAGAAUCCACGAGUACAGGCUCUUUGGAGAAUAUUGACAUGACAGUGAUCUUAUGUACGGUUAAGUUGUGGAAGUAUGAGGAAAAGAUGGCGGGCUUCUCUGUUAGGGUGGGGUGGGGGAUUUCGCAAAAUCGUAGAGGCGAGGCUGAACCCAGAAUAUCAGUAGAAAUGAGAAAUGAAAGUAUGAAACAGCCUGAAUGUUAAUAGAAAAUGCCGGUCUUCCCUCUAUAGCCCUUUUUACAUUCCAUUCCAAUUAAGUUCCUCCUGUCCUUUCCUUGUGGAGUGAGAUGGUAUAAUAGACUUUGUAGAUUGGCCGAAAAAAAAAAAGCAAAAAUCAAUAGACUGACUGAGAACGUGUAAUGGAAAAGCCAAGAACCGUUUAGUCCUUCGAGGGCACGACUCAAAUAGGUCAACUAAUCCAUCCCACGCUCUGGACACAUGCCUCUUGUGUGCCAUCUUGUUGCCUCACCCUUUGAAAAACUAAUCAACGCCCAUUACAAAUAUUAAUUAGUUACACUAAAGCUCCACAUUUUUGGUUAUUGCUGAUCAUUCUACAUUGGAAAAGAAAGUUUGACACUUUGGCUUGUUUUUUGGUAGGUUAUUUCGAUUGAUUAUAGACUCUGAUUUUUAAAAAUUAGUUUUCUUUUUAAAAAAAUUAUGUUCUUGUUUGCUCUUUGUAUUUAGAUUAUACUUUUUUUAAUAUUUUAAAAAAAGCUAAAAUUUAUAAUACACCGAGGAAUAGCUUUUACUGAUUCAGAUUUUUCUUUAUAAUCACUUUCAUAAUCAACUUAAGCAAAAUUUAAAGUGAACAAGAAUUAGGCCUUUUUUUUUUCCCCCAAAAGAAUAAGGUCUUGUCAAUAUUUCAGGAGAUGAUGGUAUCAAAUUAACCUAGUACUAACUUUUUGGAUGACUGAUGUUCAUGAUGUUAAUCAUGCUGGUAUCCAGUAGCAAUCAGCAGACAACUUGAUAGGGAAUUUAUGAUCAACUGAGCAUGAUAUUCUGAUUCUUCUCCAAUGAUAAAGACCGACCGUUUGUGUUUGCUUUUAAGAAAUGGGAUAAAAACUCGCAUAUUUUAUCUUAAAGAUUGAAUGUCAAAACUGUCUGUCAUUAAAUUUCUAAGUUCCGUGAAUAUUAAUGAAAUGCUCAAUCUGUGCAAGAAGAAAAGAUACAUAGUUUUUGUAAACGUAACAAUUAAUGAUAAGCUUUUUUAUGUACAGAAUAUGUAAAAUUAUGUGAAUGUAAUUAGACUAUUUUUGUUGAGAUGCACGAAAAAAUGAGUUUCAUUUUGAACUUCAUUUUUUUUUUUGGCUCAACAAAAUGCACAUUAACUAGCAACAUGAUAGCUUGAGUGCCCCCCCCCCCCCCCACAACAACAAAACAAACAAACACAAAAAAAAAGAAAAAAAAAGAAGUUUAAAACUGAAAUAGGUUAUAAUGGCUUUAGAAUAAAAUUAAAGGGGCCUCCCUUGGAUUUUAAAAUUGGUACAGGACUAAAUUUGCAAAUUGCCUACAUGCUAAUCCUGUACACUACUACACUACUACUCUACUCUUUACAUCCACAUCUACGUAGCGAUCCCUCACAGCACGUGGAACCACGCCAAUCCAUCUCCCUCACGUGCCACAGGCACGUGUCAGCUUGGUCUCCCCUGGAAACCAUCCAUCCAACGUGGCUUAAUUUAAACUACGUGGAUCCAAGUCAACCCUCACACCAGAGAAUUCCCUCCCUCCAAUCCCGCAUCACAGAUUGUACCUCUCUUCCAAAUUACUACCCUUUGACACGCCGUACAACCCUCCCAACCUAGACGGAAAUUACUACAGUAGCUUUUGUCAACGGAAAAUAAUCCAAUGUCCGGUGCAGCUGAAGCCCACCGACUUCGAUGCUCCCUCAGUCUCCACCUCAUCCCGUCAUCAUCCUCUUCAACGUUGAACGAGUUUAAAAAAUUCAACAGCUCCACAGCAGGACAAACAUUCACAGACAAAUAUAAAACAGGACAGAAGUCUCAAAAAGAAAAGAAUUUUCUAGAGGGAGAGAGAGAGAGUGUGUGUGUGAAGUCAGCUCCAGAGAAAACUGUGAUUGAUGCCUACAGUUUUCUGCAUAUAUUUAAAGCUUCCGAAAAAACAUUUUGCUAUGCUGCAUAAAAUUUUCGAUAUUUUUCUUUCGGUCGUAAGGAAGUGAAGACUUGAGGGUUGUGAGAGUUUUUUCGAGGCGGAAUGGCCGCGCAGGGAGGAGAGGGAGGUGGAGGUGGAGUGGCGGUGGUGUUGUGUGGCGGAGCGGUUAGCAAUGCGUUGGACUCGCUGUCUCCAGCUCCGGCGCCCGAUGAUGGAGGAACUGUGGAGGAAAUCUCUGAGCAGAAUUCGAAUUCACCGAUCCUGUUUUUUCUAUUUUUUCAUAAGGCAAUUAGGUUGGAGCUGGACUGUCUGCACCGCUCGGCGUUGGCGUUUGCGACUGGGAAAUUGGUUGAUAUACAGUCGCUGGUGGAGCGGUACCAUUUUCUUAGGUCAAUUUAUAAGCAUCACUCGAAUGCUGAAGAUGAGGUAUGUAGCUUAAUUUCAUUUGCCUCUUUUUUGGCUCUCUUUUAGCUGCUAAAUUCAUAAAGACUACUGCUUUGAAUUCAUUUCUUACUUCUGAAUUGGUUGUCUAGCGACGGAGUUUUGUUUAUACGUGGAAGUACAAGAGCAACGAUUAUAUGCAUGGGUGGAAGUAUCCAAGUUUUUUUCAUCGGAUUUUGUGUGUGGUUUUCGAAAUUUGUAUAUAAAUGUUAGUUCUGUAAGAUACUGAUACCCGUGCAUGUGUUUAUGGCUGGGUCACCUGAUUAGAAGAUUUGUCAGUAUACGGAAUUUGUUGAAUAUAUAUUUCAGAGUGGUAUUUCCCAUUUCAGUCGGGUGCGUGUUCAAUAUGUAUGUGAUCACCUGGAUUUGCAGCUAAAGUUUGUCUCUUUAUAUGAGAUUUUGUGAAGUUUUCUGAAUGUGGUUAUUGAAAAUUGUGUUUGAACGUCGAUAAUGUAGAUACCUAAAUGCGUGCUGUAUGCAUCUACGGAUCAUGUGAUCAGAAUAUUUUGCCAUUGUACAUUUUAGUCAUGGACAUGUAGAUUUACAUUUGGUAUUGGAGUUUCCUCUUUGGUUUUGUUUAGUUUGUUUGCGAAACUCGUAUUCGCACUUGCAAUUUUCAUGCAAUGUCAUUUUAUUUGAAGCUAAAUGCAUUUAAUGGAGUGGACAUUGUUGUUUGCAGAUAAAUGAUGUUGUUUGACAUUUUUGGGUUUCAGUUUUAAAUUGUGUUUUGCUAGUUCAGCGUAAAUUAUUGAUUGUUUUAAUUUUAUGUGGUUUUGGGAAAUAAAGGCAUUAUGGAUCGGGCAGCAAAAUAUCGAUUGCGAAAGGAACAUUUUGUGUGUUGUAAAUUAUUCAAGUUUUAUGAUUGCCUGUGUUUUAGCUGUUAAAAUGUUUUCCUGGAGCCGCAUUUACUAUGUCGUCUAGUGAUAUGUCGGACACUUGCAAUAAAUGAGAAAAAAGUAUAGCCACAAGAGACACCAACAUCAGUAUCUGUUUUAUCUUCUUAUUCUUCUUCUUUUUUUUUCUGUGUUUAUUGUGAUUCUAGUAUUUGGAAGCCAAUGUAAAAUGGUUAAAUCUAAUAUCUUUUUCAGCAAUAUUAAUGGAAAUACUAAUGUUGAAAGUUUGUUGAUUUCUCUCCAAAGCAUCUCAAUUAAUGGAGAUAGCGAUUAACAUUUAAAGGAAAGCUAUCGAUAUCUUGAAGGCUGUAAAAUUGCAGUUGCUAGGGAUUCACUUUGAAGGAGAGGAAAAACAUCAUUUUCCUUGCUCUCCCCUAUCCUUAAUCUCUCUUCCUUGUACGGUAGAUACCAAGAUGGUCUCACAAUUAUGGUCCCACGUGUUGAGACUUGAGAGGCUGUGGAGCUUCUCCAUUUAUUUGUUAGCAUUUAGACCCAGAUGUACAUUUACUUUGGAGCAUGAGUACUACCUCUCCUUUUGUUUGAGAUAAACCAUUCAAUGAUGAUGAAUGGAGAUUCUUCUUGGAGUUUAGUGUGAAGUAGGACAUAAAGGUAUAUUGUAGCAGCUACACAUUGCAUGACUUUACUCGAGUGACUAGAAGAAAGUGCAGGUGCCAAAAAGUGUUUUUGUGUUGCUGAGUCUUCGGCAUCUGAUUCUGCAAAAGGUGUUUGUUUCCCUUUAGCCUUUGGAAUUUAUUUUGAAGGAGCUAGUAGCGUGUUAGGGAUAUGAUUAUACCAUAGUUUUCCUCUUCUGAUGGGCUCUAAUCUAGUAAUGAGGAUCCACAUUGAAGUAGUUUCGAUCUCUUUUUGACUGACAAGAGAUAAGUAACGUCCAGCAUAUUGACACAGUCAAUAUCUCUCUUGAAGGAUAAGGCACAUGCCCUAUUACCUGAUCUGGUCACUUGAUUGUUCCUGAUUACUGUAAUGAUUGCGUAGCAAAACAAGUGUCAUUGAGAUUUAUUUUUUCUUGUUUUGAAGAAGGCAAAAGGAGUUCAGCUAAUACCCGGAAUGGUAAUAUCAAUGAACUUUGUGUUGAAAUAGAGGUGCGUAAUGUGGAACUUUUAAAAUGUCUGUAGUUAAUGGAGGAUGUAGGUCUUGAAGGAAGAGAUUGAUUCUGUUGGGUGGGCAGCAAACAUUUCUGGAACCACUGAAUGUUGUAAGCUAUAAAAUAACAUGAGCUUCUGAAUUUUCAGAUUCUGUGUGGUAAUAGGUCUUUCAGUAGGAGAUACAUGGAAGAUUGUUGCUCUCAUAACAUUCGGUUUGGAUAGAAGUCUCUCCUUAUCAUAAAUCUGAUUAUUCACUUAUCUGCAUCUUUAUUUUAUCUUGUAUUGCUUAUCUAAUGUACUUAGUUUCAAAUUAUUUAGGACCCUCCAUAAUUUGAAGCUGAGGUUCUACCUUGUUUAGUUUCUUGACCUUGCCUUGCCCCUUCACUUAGUUUUAUGUUAUAUAUCCAGGAUACUGAUUAUGCACUUGGAAAGGGCGAAAAUGCAAGAUUUUUUUCUUUGAAAAUGCAAGAUUGUAUCUCAAAAGGGUGAAACACAUUUACACAUGGUGGCCAACUUAGGCUACUUAUUCCUACUAUUUUAUUUGUUUUGUGGUUAUAAUUGAAAGAAUCACCUACAUUCAUUUAAUUGGCAAGAAGACUAUAGUACCCUCUGUAGAUGCCCUAUGUACACAAGCACAAAGUGAGAGCUUCCUUUUGUAUUAUUCUGCCUGCAUUAAGGAAUCAAGCAUUCCAGUAUAUAAUGUACACAAGCCUGUUCCUGUAAGAAUCUGACCUUUUAACAUCCAACUUUUGUGUUGACCACUUUCAGUGCAAGUAAAUUUGCUUGCUGUUACAUUUGAGGUUGCCUUUGUUACUGAUAACUAGUUUGAAGCAACAUAAGAAAGGAGCUUGUUCUUGAGCAAUCUCAGUUUUUGUGUUUUCGGAAACUAAUUGCUCAAAAUUUUGCAUACCAGGUCAUUUUUCCAGCUCUUGACAUACGUGUGAAGAAUGUAGCCCCAACAUACUCCCUGGAGCACAAAGGUGAAAGUGACCUUUUUGAUCACUUGUUUGAGCUGCUAAAUCCUAACAAACAGAAAAAUGAGAAUUUUGCAAGGGAGUUAGCAUCUUGCAGUGGAGCACUCCAAACAUCAAUUGGCCAGCAUAUGUCCAAGGAAGAGGAACAGGUAUUCAACAGCUAUUUCGAUGCUUUUCUUGAUCAGAAUGUUCUGGAGAUCUUUUGCAAAAAAAAAAAAAAAAACUUCUCAGAUUUUGUUGCUUGUUUGAAUUUCUCAGGAGUGUAUAACAUUUUCUUAAAUUGUCAGUUUAGAUAUCCUAAUGUUUUCAUUGGGUUUUUCAAAUCAGAAGGACAUGUAAUAGCUAUAUACCAGCUCCUUCUGGUUUUGUCAUUUAUCUAACUUGCAUAUUCUUUACCGCCAGCUUAACAUAAUUGGUAGCUUCUGGAUAAUUUGUUAUUCCUUUUGAUUAUUACUUUCCUUAUAUGCUUAAAGUCUGUGAUGCUCAUAUUUUCUUGCUUUUUCCUUUCUUCAACUGGAAUCUUGUUUUUGGUGCUUUGAACUCUAUAAGCAAACUCUAGUAACUAAUACGUAUAGUUGUCAAUAAUUUUCUUUGGAUAACUUAAUUCUUCUGCCUGUUGAGGAACUUUUUUUUGUCCAGAGAGCAGAAUACUUACUUUGUGAGUUUUUCUGGCAUCCAUAUAGCUAUGGAGAAUCUUUAAUGAUCCGAAGCCUUAUAUCCUUUUGAGAAUUUUCACCAGUAAAGCCUCCAAAUUGAAUUCCUUAAGAACAAGCUGCGUGGUUCAGCAAUUUCUGAAACUUUUUCCCGCGAGAUGGGAAAGUGCAAGAGUUAAUUUAUUCAUGUCCACCAUAAAUGUGCUUCAUAUGCCGUGGGAUGGCUGCCUAAUCACUUGUAUGUAAAACAUCAUGUGCUUUACAGAGGACCAUGACAUCUGUCAUUACCCAAGAAGUUGCAAUGCUGUAUUUUAACUCUUUUUACUCAACAUCAAUCUGAUUACGUCUUUGGAUGGAAUGGGGUCAAAUCUUAUUUCAUUUUGUGUCAAUCUGUAAAUUGCCAUUGGUCAGAAAAUUAGUGGAAUUUUGGGUUUAAAAGCUUAGACUGUCAUGCUUCCAUAAUCGCAGAUGCAAAUGGACCAUCUCUGGGUGAUGGAAAAUUGUCAAUUUUAUUCAAUGUGUUCCUUUUGCUUAUGUGGAGUACUGUUCCGACUUGAGCUUGUCAUUUGGUGAUUUAUAACUGGAGAUUUGUUUUCUGUUAUUUGAAUUAUUCAUCACCUUGCAUCUGGCAUUUUGAUUGGUUGUUGAAUUUUGAAUUUCAAGAACACCAGCUUUUGGGCUUGAUAUGUUGGGGCUUGACUUAGAGUAUAUUCCAUACAGGUCUUUCCUCUGCUCAUAGAAAAGUUCUCAGUUGAAGAGCAGGCAUCCCUGGUUUGGCAGUUUUUGUGUAGCAUUCCAGUAGAUAAGCUGAAAGAAUUCCUUCCCUGGCUUUCCUUUUCUAUUUCACCUGAUGAGAAUGAGGAGAUGCAGAAGUGCUUGUGUAGGAUUAUUCCAAGGGAAAUACUCCUUCAACAGGUAGUCUCGUGUUCGAUAAGAGACAUAUGGUUAUAUUUGUUAAUUAAAUUCUGUGAACUCUCUCUUUCUCUUUCUCUCUCUUUCUCAAGUUUCCGUUGCCUUUAUGCUAGCAACUCUCUGGCUGAUGACUAAUCUUUGGUUGAAGGUAAUUUUCUCAUGGAUAAAACAUAGAGAACCCACCACUACUGUUACAAGCAAUAGUGUCAGCCCUCAGAUCCAACGCUCCUUAUAUUCUUGUGCUAGCAAAGCGAGUCACGAACAUUCGGGGAAAAAAGUGUGUAUGUAUACCUUCAAGGACUGGCAAAAGAAAACAUACAGUUGCUGUGAAUGAUGCAUCUGAUUUGGAUGGUGAUCAUCCGAUAAAUGAAAUAUUGCAUUGGCAUAAUGCUAUUAAACAAGAGCUAGAAGACAUUGCAGAUGAGGCUAGGAAAAUUGAGCUCUGUGGAGAUUUUUCUGAUCUGACAUCAUUCUAUGAAAGACUACAGUUUAUUGCUGAGGUUUGCAUCUUUCACAGGUAUUAAAGUUGUGCAUGAUUGCUUUUUCUUCUCAAUUUUACUGCAAAUAAGAUGCUGUCAGAUUAUGUUUGCACUCAUGAUGUCGAGUUCCAUAUGGAACAUAUCUUUUGUCGAUAACUCUUUAAGUUCCCAAAGAAAUUUCUGUCAUUAAAAUCAGAUUGCAUUUCUGUUUCUGUCUUAGUAGUAAGGUUUUGUGUUAUAAAUUGCAGUGUUGCUGAGGACAAAGUAAUAUUCCCUGCUGUAGAUGGAGGAGUCUCCUUUUUCGAGGAGCAUGCUGAGGAAGAAAGCCAAUUUAAUGAGCUACGGUGCUUGAUUGAAAAUAUUCAGAAUUCAGGUGCCAAUUCAGCUUCAGCUGCUGACUUUUUCACCAAGCUAUGUUCCCAAGCUGAUUUAAUAAUUGAAACAUCAAGAGACACUUCCAAAAUGAGGAAACAGAGGUACGCUCAUUCUUAGCAGUAGUCGGAUUUGCAAUGUAUGCUUUGAUAACAAGGUCAUGGAGCAGCAAAAUAACUUGCAUAUGUGGAUGAAAAUCACCAGAGUUCGACUUGCAAAAAUACGUUAGAUGUACUUUAUAUGUGAGGACUCAUGAUCUGAUCUAUUUGUGAAUUACAACUAACAUUCAAUACUUCAAGACUAAUUAGUAGGACAAAUUCAGAUUAUGUAGUUGUAAUGGCUUUUAACUUCUGUCACUGAAUAUUUCCUUCAAGACUUGAAUGCUCAUUGAUUAUGCUUUUGGAAAAUAUUUAGGUUCUUCCUCUUGCUCGAAUGCAUUUUUCCUUCAAAAGACAGAGGGAUCUUUUGUACCAGAGCCUGAGUUUGAUGCCAUUAAAGUUGAUUGAGCGUGUCUUGCCAUGGUUGGUAGGAUAUUUGACUGAGGAUGAAGCAAGGAAUUUCCUGAAGAAUAUGCAAUUGGCAGGUAAUGCAUUUAUGUAUGAUUAAUUGUCUGGGUUUUAAUCCAAAAAGUUAUAGUCAUUUCUCUUCUAACUUGCAUGUAUUUGAUUGCACAGCACCACCACCUGAUGCUGCUUUGGUUACUCUAUACUCUGGUUGGGCAUGUAAAGGUCACAUAAAGGCAUAUGCUUGUCCUCUAAUGUCACUGGCUGCUUGGUGAGACGAUAUACUAACCUGAUAUAGAAGAGAACUACAUCCGAGGAUCCUGUCCAUGCGCAAAUGUUUUUCAGAGUGAACGACCAGUAAAAAGAAAUCUCCCAAUUCCUAGUACAGAGGAGACUUUGUGUGGAAAUUCAGUAGAUGAAAACUCUCUUCAUUCAGCUGGUAAUGAACAGUCCUGUUGUGUUCCAGGGUUGGGAGUUAAUGGUAAUAAUUUGCGACUGAACACUAUUUCUACCCCAAAGUCUUUUCGUCCGCUGUCCUUCAGUUCUUCUGCACCCUCUUAACUCCAGCCUUUUUAUCUGGGAGACUGAUAAUAGCUCUCCUGGUGUUGACCGCAUCGUGCAUCCAAUUGAUACUAUAUUUAAGUUUCAUAAAGCAAUACUGAAAGAUUUGGAGUAUUUAGAUGUUGAAUCUGGUAAGCUUAGUUACUGUGACGUGACUACCCUUCAGCAGUUCGUUGGAAGGUUCCAACUACUUUGGGGUUAUAUAGAGCACAUAGUAAUGCCGAGGAUGAAAUAGUGUUCCCAGCACUUGAAUCUAAAGAGGCCCUCCAUAAUGUAAGUCACUCCUAUACAUUAGACCAUAAGCAGGAGGAAGAAUUAUUUGAAGACAUAUCUUGCGUGCUGUGUGACCUAUCAGAACUUCAUGAAGGCAUGAAUAGAAAUAGUAAGAUUGAGGAUCUUAACCUGACUUCCUUAGAUAAUGCUGUCUACGGUGAGGAUUGCUGGAGAAAAUACACUGAGCUGGCAACAAAACUUCAAGGCAUGUGCAAAUCAAUCAGAGUCAGCCUGCAUCAGCAUAUAUAUCGGGAAGAACUUGAGCUCUGGCCUCUGUUUGGCAAACAUUUUUCUGUGGAGGAGCAGGACAAAAUUGUUGGCGGAUAAUUGGAACCACUGGUGCUGAAGUACUUCAGUCAAUGCUGCCUUGGGUGACUUCUGCUCUAACACAGGAUGAACAAAAUAAUCUGAUGGACACACUGAAGCAGGCUACAAGAAACACAAUGUUCAGUGAAUGGCUUAAUGAUUGCUAUAAAAGAACUCCUGAAUUAUCUGGGCAACCUGACAAAUCAGAUAGCAGCAGUUCUAGUACAGGUUUCAUAUAAUUCUUGCCCUGCGUUCCUGUCCUGUUGAAAACUAUGAUUUUCCAUUAGUUAUUUAUUCUAAGGAUAUAUUCUGUCAGAAUUACAAGUCUAGUUUCAAACAUUCUAUAGGUACUCAAUCUCAGGAAACCUUGGAUCAGGGUGAUCAGAUGUUUAAACCAGGUUGGAAAGAUAUUUUCCGCAUGAAUCAAACUGAACUUGAAUCAGAGAUUAGAAAGGUGCACAGAGACUCCACUCUUGAUCCCAGGAGAAAAGCAUACCUGAUUCAGAAUCUUAUGACUAGGUAUGCUUCAAAACUGUACUCUCAAAUUUUUGGCAAAAUGUGGGUUCUUCUAUUUACUGGUAUCACUGAUUUUUAUCUAUUUGUUUUUAAAUACUUAGAUGUUGAUAAAUUGCUUUAUGGUCUCUGAAAGUAGCAUUUUUCAUUGGUUUUUGUUUGUAGUCGUUGGAUAGCUUCUCAGCAGAAAUCACAAGUAUCAAUGGAUGAAAAUUCAGUCAGUGACGAAACUCUUGGACUUUCACCUUCAUUUCGGGAUACACAUAAACAAGUUUUUGGGUGUGAACACUAUAAGAGAAACUGUAAACUCCGUGCUGCUUGCUGUGGGAAGUUGUUCACAUGUAGAUACUGUCAUGAUGAAGUGAGCGACCACUCCAUGGAAAGGUAAAGAAAAGUUGCAUAAUUAAGGAUCUCUAUACUGCCCUUUAUUUCCAUUAUUCAUUCUCAUUCCACCUUUGCAGGAAAGCAACAGUAGAGAUGAUGUGUAUGGUUUGCCAGAAGAUUCAACCAAUUGGCCAGUUUGCUCAACACCUUCAUGCAAUGGAUUUUCCAUGGCAAAAUACUAUUGCAGCAUAUGCAAAUUUUUUGAUGAUGAGAGGUAGAUGAAUUUGCCACUUCUUAAAGCAAAAGUUGUUCUUUGCUCUUUUUCUUCCAUAAAAACCAAUAACCGAGAUAAUGGAUAUCCAUGAAUGAAAAUAAUGAUAACAAUAUUUACAAAUCAAUAAGAGAAACACCUCAUUGUAAUCUCGUAGUCACUUUGUUGUAUUUCUUUGUACCACCAUAAAACUUGUUUAGUGGUGGAAUUAUUCCUGUUCACCCACAAUUAAAGUUAAACUUACAUGACAGAUAAGUGAUGCAUCAUUGUUCCAUUGAACAAGUGUGCGAUGAUGCAAAUCAGGAUUGUCAUUUUAGUUUCUACUCGUGCUUUUCAUAAUCCAUAAACAGAGUAAGGCACCAUAAGAUAUGUUUUACAACAGGUUUAUCUCAGCAUUGUCUUUGGUUGUGAACAUUAGAAAUUCAGUAUAUGGUCCGCUGGAAGGAGAAAAAGGAUGGGAUAUGCAAUAUUAACAUUUAAUGAAGCUUAGAACAAUUUAAUCAGAAGUUCUUUGGGUUUCUUGUUUCUCUAUCUCUUCUCCGUCCUGUGUGCUGUGCCACCCGCUUCACUUGCAUGAAUCUUUGUGAGUAUUUUUAUAAAAAGGAGUCUUUAUCUUCGAUGGUUUGUUCUUUUAAAAUAUUGAUAGCUAGGAGAAGCUAAGAAAGGCCAGGAUAUACUUUUGAAUUCGUCUUUGUUCUAUUGACUUUUAUGCUUCCUAGCUUUGUUCCCCUAAUUUCGACCAUCUAACAAAACUUUUAUGAUAGAUUGUACUUACAGACUUUAAGCACUGUCAAAUUUGUCACAAUAAGCACUGAAACAAUGAAUCCUGUGAUGCUUCUUAUAGUGGAAUUUUUUGCAGAUAUGAUGGUUUUUGUAUUGAAUGUGGAUUAUAAUGCUUUAUGGUAUUGAUUUUGUAUGUUUAUUGGUCUAUGUCUAGGUUCAAAAUAUGUUUUCUGUUCUCUUUUUUUUUUUUUUUGGUUGGGAUUGAAUUGGCUGUUUAACAUUUAAAUAAUGACUAUAAUUGUGCACCUGUAGGGAGAGAUAAAGGAAUUAGUAUACUGUAAAACAAAACACAGAUACACACACACACUCUCUCUCUGUUGUUUUACACUAGACUGUUCUCAGUAGUUUUAGUACUCGUGCCAAUUUGGAAUUUUUCAUGCCUGUUCAGCAUUUUGAUUAAUUUAGAAAUCUUUUGGACUUUGUUACUUAGUGAUUUUUAUGUUGUUUCAUAACAAAUGCACUCAGUAGUUCUUCUUCUUUUCUUCCCUGUUGCAGGGAUGUUUAUCAUUGUCCAUCUUGCAAUUUAUGCCGUCUUGGGAAGGGUCUUGGAGUUGACGUUUUUCACUGCAUGAAAUGCAAUUGUUGUCUGGCUAUGAAGUUGGAAGAUCACAAGUGCUUGGAGAAGGCUCUGGAGACAAAUUGCCCCAUUUGCUGUGAAUUUUUGUUCACUUCCAGCGCAACAGUUAGAUGUCUACCUUGUGGUCAUUACAUGCAUUCAGCUUGCUUUCAGGUUUUAAGUUUUCUGAAUAUUUAGCAUUCUCUAUUUUUUGUUGUGCUCGGUCUGUUGCUUCUAUUUUACAUAGAUUAAAAUGCCCUCAUACACCACUGAUUGUCUCUUGACUCUCAUUAUGUUUACUUUUUGUCAUAUUCUAGCAUAUGCUCGCAGUAACUAUAUAUGUCCAAUAUGCAGUAAAUCCAUGGGUGACAUGGCGGUAAGAAAUACUUUUUCCUUCCCUCUUAUGUAUAUUUGUUUCUUCUUGUAUAAAUAACCUUAUAGGUGCCAUACUUGCAAGAAAGCAAAGGCUCGUACGUGUUUUUGCAUUGAUGAUGGAACUAUUUCAUUAUAUAAUGAUCAUUUCCCCUGUUCUUCUGUGCUGUUGGUACCUGAUAAUCUGUCCAAGUUUUUCUUUUUUCAACAUCUUUUACCAUUUAAAUAGGCUACAAGAUUUUCAGACUUUGUAUUCUUUAAUGAUGUAUAGCAUUCUGCUUGAAUGGUUGGGAGUGGCUGCUUUGUCAUUUUAGACUUUCACGUGACUAACUCAUUUUUUCAAAGAACUCUAUAGGUGAAUAUGUUGAUGUCUUAUGGUUUAUCUAUAACUGCCUUUUCGUCCAGGUAUACUUUGGCAUGCUCGAUGCUUUACUGGCCAAUGAGGUGCUUCCAGACGAAUAUAGGAGCCAUCAGCAGGUCUGAGCACAUUCUUUUUCAUGCCUUGAGACCUAUGCUUCUUCAGUGAGAAGCUAUGGGCAGUUUUAGUUAGAUACACAUAGGGAUACAUGCAAACACACACAAACAUGCACAGACACUCGCAAGCAUGCAAGUGGAGGAAAACAGGCAGGACUUUUUAUCCAAGUCAUUAAUUGGUAGUUGUUAACGAUCCUUCUGUAAUUCAAUUAUAUAGAAACACCUUUUGUUCUAGAUUUAACUUAAUAUCCAUUAAAGGUAGCUUGCAUCUUGCCGCAGAUGUUUGUUCUUUGCUAGGUUAUGCCUUUUAAAUUAGUUUUAUUUUUCCUAAAUUGCUCUGUUGUAAUUGUCGUUUAGGAUAUCCUCUGUAACGAUUGUCAGCGGAAAGGUACAGCUCAAUUCCAUUGGUUAUAUCACAAGUGUGGAUUCUGUGGAUCAUAUAAUACAAGGGUCAUCAAGGCUGCAUCUGCAAAUUUUGAAUGCUCUACAUCCAAUCAUGAGGUUGAACCCUCUUGAAACGGGUCAGAGAAUCUGAACUUGUAAAUAGCACUGUACAGGAAUUGCAAAAUUUUUGUAACCAUUCCCCCUCUUCUUUUUUUGAAGUUUGUAGAGAGAGUAGUUGUCAUAUUAGCUGACAAAUUAUUGGGAAAAUUACCCCAUCUCGGUUAAUAACAUACUUUAGAUGGUAAAUGUCUCAGCUUUGGACAUGACUUAUUGACGUUUAUAGUUUGCACAGUUUCUGCUUCUUGUGAAUAGGGCUGGUGAUCAUAGUCCAAACCGUGGGAUGUAGGUUGCUGUAAAUUUCCUUCUACGGCUUCUAGUGCAAAGCGCAAAGCAAGGUGAGGAACCGAACAGAACCUUUGGAUUGCUGUUUUUUAUCGAAAAAUUACGUUUUUUCGUGAUUUCAUUUUCUUAUUACCUUUUUUCCUCACAUAUAUCAAAUCGCUACAGUAAUUUUUCUAUGAAAAAUUAUGAAAAAUGCAAUCCAAAUACAAUCAAGUGUUGGAGUUACAAAUUAAAAAUUCAAUUAGCAUAGAGCCUGUAACGCUUGAUCAACCCAUUCCACCCCAACCUCGAAUAAGAUAGUUCUGUGAACCAUAGAUCUAAUUUAAUGAAUGGAUUGGCAAGCGCGGUUGUUGGGGCUGAGGGGACAGGAGAAAGGUUAUUAGUGCAACCGUUUUUUUAAUGAUAUGACCCCUUUUGAGUAUGACCGUGGGUCAAUGAAGUAAUGUCUCUUGAAUAUAACGGAAUUCAUGAAAAAUUGUUGUAAGUAUUAUUUUAUAGAAAAAAAAAUAUUAUAGUAUUGAGCUAGUGUUGAUAUGGGUCCUGUGUACUUCAGUUACAUUAGUAUUAUACGGCAUACUCUAAAACUUAUUUUAAUAAGAAGAGAUGGACGCAAGUUUGUCCCUCCCACGCAGUCACAUAAAGAGGCCAGCGGGGGGAGCAAGGCUGCAAAAGCCUAAAUUUCCUCCAACGCUUUUGAAAGAAAGAUUUCAUGGUUGGGGCAGAGCCACCUCGUAGGCCUGAGAAAGGGUAACUUACCUUUUACCCUUUUGUGAUUUUGAUGCUUGACACAUAAUCCAUAUAUGAUUUAAAAACCUAUAUAUAGCUUUCAUGAUUUGAGUUAAAAUGUCAUCAUUAAUUUUUCGUUAAAACUAAUGGUCAACGGUAAAAAUUAAACUGAUAAAUUGACAAAUUCAUCCUUUCACUGUCUCUUUUUCUUUCUUCUUUUUCCUUUUCCUUUUUGCCCUCUAUCUCUCCCUCUCUUGAAAGAGAAGAGCCGAUUUUGAAAACAUAUACUUUGGUGCACAAAAUUUUAAUUUUCUCCAAAUAUAAAAGACAAAUAAAUAAGAAACAAAAAAUACCAAAUCUUUUUUUAUUACAAAUAUCAUUAUAGGUUUUAAAUCAAAUGUUUAAUGGUAUUUUCUAGUUCUUAUUUAUCUAUUUUUUAUUUCAAUUUCUUCUUUUUAUGUUUGGUGGGAAAAAGAAAUAAUGAAAGGGUAAAUGUGGGCCAUGUUUUAAUGAUGCAUAUGUUAUGUUAUGUACGUGUUCAACUAUGUAAGGAAAAAAGUCCUCCAUUAACUUUAUUUUUGUGUAAAUAGUGUAAUUAAAUUGUUAGGAAAUGACUCAUAAGAGACCAAAUUAUCUACGACACCAAAGAAAUAUGCCAAAAUAGUUUUUAAUGAUGCGCAUCUCAAGCAUGCAACAAAUAUUGUUAGAAUUUUCCAACCUUUUGUUACAAGUCCUAUAUUGACUUUAUUUUUUGGAGAUGAGAGACUAAAUUGGAAAGAGAUCCAUGAUGAAUUUUCACAAGGAAAGCUAUCACUUUAUUCAUGACAAAAUUAGAUUUUUUUUUUUUUUUUUGCACUCACAUAUUCAUAACUUGAGGAAGAAUAUCAAUACGACACGUCAAAAAAGUGAUCCCUGUAUCCACAAAAAGAACUCAUUGGUAUCUAUUAACAAAGUAAUUUAUAGGCUUUUAGGUUAGUGACAUGAGAAAUCCAUCUUCUGUUGGUAAAACUCCAAUUCCUUCCUCCCUAUUUUGAGAGAAAAAAAUUACAAUAAAAAUGGGGCCAUUAUCAAAUAUUAGAUACCGAAUAUCUAUCAUAGAUUCAUAGUCAUGUUGUUAUUCAAAACCAUUUUACAGGGAAAUUGCAAUUUAGGUCUAAGAUAUUCAAGGCAAUUACUGCAAUAUGGUCCCAAAUGUUUCAUAAAUAUCAAAUUUUGGUAAAAUUUGAGGGCAAAUUGUUCAACACCCCAAAUAGUAGAAAUCAAAACAAUCAUACUACUAGGAAUUUGCCUCCAAAAAGAACACACAUUUGAUCGUCUAUAUCAGCAAUUGUAUAAUUUGUUAAUUGUCCUCCAUUAGUCACAACAAAAAAGUUGACAAACUAUGUUCUAGUGAAACAUUAGAGGUCAGAACGGCUUACAAUUCAAAAAAUAGGGACUAAAAUUGCAAUUGAAUCUUAUCCAGUAACUUAUCAUAGAAUUUGAUUUCAAGAAUUAACAUAUAAAGUUACCUCAUGUUUAGGGGGGGGGGGGGGGGGAAACUAAGAAGUUACUUUAUGGUUGUCAAAAGCUUGAAAAAGCAUUUUCAUGGUUUAACAUUAAUUAUAAUUUUAUUAACUUCCAUGAUAGACACAAAAUAACGAAUUAAGACCAAAGUGAAAAAAAAAAAAAAAACAAAUGUUUACGACAUUACUGUGUUUGUCUCAAGAUGCUUUGAUAACACUCAUUAAUUAAUUGGUGCCUCGAGUAUUAAUAUUAUAAACAUGUACAGGUCCGAUAAACCAAUAUUAAUAUGUAUCAAUUCUCAUAAUCUCCCUAUAGGUGAGCCUCAUCCGCUUCGCAAAAAUAGUUUAAAAAAAUUUUUUGCUUAUUAACUUUUUUAAUUUAAAAAGUCCAAAAUUAGAUUUUGAAUCACUUAACUAGAUUUUACAUUAUUGUCAGAAAAGCUCCAUUAAGGAAUUUUUUUUUUUUGAUAGAUGUGAUAAUCAAUAGUAUGAAUAUUAAUGAUCGAAAUAUUUAAUGUCAGUACUGUUUGCUCCUUGUAAAGCUAAAAAAGGAAAGUGAAACCCCUAACAAUAAUCUAUCAACAGCUAGUUCUGUAGUUUGGAAAUAAGAAUUUAUCUAGUAUUUGAAAUUAAAUUAAAUUUAAUAAAGCCCAUAUACAAAGAAAAACAAAAAGAAAUGAUUAUUUAUCCUAAUAUUUGUGCUCACACCUAUAAUAGGUAGAUAAAUUAUCAUUGCAAUUCUAGAUGACGAAAAUACACCAUAUGUGUGAAAGAGCAGUCCACAUCAACCAAAAAUAUUUGUUUUUUUCCCUAAUUUAGCCUGUUAAAUUGCCAUCAAUAACUUCCAUAUGUAUUAUUGUGGCUGGCCAAGCAAAGGCGGAAGGAAAAUUAAACUCCAAGAGCAAAGAUGUGUCAAAAUUAUUACAAUAUCUGGCCAAAUUAGGAUGAUUGCAGUUGAAUCAUCUGCCCUCUUUUCCCUUCCCCAUAAAACCACUUGCUCACAAUUGGAUCCCCUAACUCAAAUCCAUCGUUUCCUCAACUGUAUUUAAUCUUUCUCAUAAAGGCAUUGAGAGAAAACAAAGUUUGUAACCGCCCUCAUCAAAAUCUAGUGCAAAAGCUCUAAAAAUCAUCGCAAACAUCCAAAAACCAUUAUUCAAAAUUUUUGGUUUUUUUGAACCAUUUCUACUCUUCAUCCUUUCUUUCUAUAUAAACGCUCCUCCCUCUCCCGUUUACACACUCCAAACAAAAUCUACACAGUUAAAUCAACGGAGGCAAGCUUUUUAAGCAUAUAUUUUUCCUUUAUUUCGACAUGGAUGGUGCUGCGGAAAGAAGCCUUCAUAACUUCAUGUUACACUCUCAGCUCAAAUGGGGUCGCCAAAAGCAUCUCCGAUGUGUCAAAUCAUCCCAUACCUCCUCCUCUACCUCAGCCAGUCCCUCUCCAAAAAAAACCCCUAAAGGAAAACUUCUGCCAACCAUUUCCACCAUGCACUCAGCAACAAUAAUAGCAAGUGGAAGAGGGACACAACCACCGACAUUGAAGCCGUACGUGAGAAGCUGGUGACCGACCUCAAAGUCACGAUAGAUAAUCACCUGAAACUGAGGAUGUUCGAUGAUCAAGAGAAAGAUAAAAAAUCCCAUCAUAAGUAUCGUCGGGAGGGUAACAAAAAACCCUUUGAGGAGGGAUUGCCCUGGAACUUGCGAAGUCGUCUGGCUAUCGUAAGGCUGGGCAUGGUGUGUCAAACGUAGGUUUGUCCCCGCCAUGCGGCAGUCACAGAAAUGGAAUGAUGGGGAGGCUAGCAAGAGUUUAGGGGGGCUGCAAAGGCCAAAGUUCUCAGCCACUCUUUCAAAGGAAGAGAUUGAGACCGACUUCUUGCUCAUGACUGGGGCAAAUCCACCUCGUAGGCCUAAGAAAAGGUCUAGGUCGCUUCAGAAGUCGCUUCAGAAACAGCUUGAUGUAAGUUACCUCAUUUUUUUCUUGUGAUUUUUACCUAAAGCAUGCAUAUAUGUGGUCUGCUAGAAUAAUCAUUCAUUGAUUCUAGAUUUAACAGUAUUUCUUUUUUUUUUUCUCUCCUUCAAAUGAUUAUAGAGAUUGUUUCCUGGUUCUUGGCUGAAUGUGAUAACACCAGAGAAUUAUAAAGUUCUGGAGCAUCUUGAACCAAAGGUUGAAAUUAUGUAGUUUUCUGUGUUUAUUGGUUUAGAUUAAUUCACUUGGAUUUAAAUAAAACCACCUAAUUUUUUUCCUUCUUUUACUUUGUAUUUCGUGCUUGUACGAUUGUGUUCUAGCAGCAGGCCGACAAAUGAGAAGAAGAUGAAAGCAAUGGAUGUUGAAGAUCCUAUGUUCUUAUUAAGCAAAUAUGAGACAAACAUUUUUUAGCUUUUCUUCUGUUCUAGCCUUCUGCUAGGGUUUGUUAGGGAGUGGUGACAUAGAGUACCAUGGCAGUACUGAUGUAGAAUUUGCUAUUCCGAUUGUGAUAAAAAUGAAUUUGGAAUCUCAAUCCUAGUUUUAUUUUGCGUUGUAGUUAUAGCAUCAAGUUAGAUCGUUUAAACCUUUUUAUUUGGACAAAUAAACGUGAAAGUUUAUAAACUUUGUUUCCCUUCAUGAUCAUUUCAUUUGAUCUCAUAAAAUGAGAAAAAAAAUGCGGUAUCAAUUUUAAAUAAGUAAUUUGGAUUUCAUUUUUGAAAACCAAGUAGAUGCAGUUUGAUUUUCUGAACAGAAAUUGAUUAGCUUUUGGGCACUUGAAUUGUAUGCAAAAUGACACAAAAAGUUCAUCCGUUUUUUUUCCGUAUUUUGAGCUUCAGCAUCUUGUGUUUCUUUGGUCGUCAUUAUUUAACCUGUAUCACAAAAUCAUUUAGUACAAUGUAGAGGAUUAAUUGGGCUCAAUGGGGGUAAAUUCUUUUAUGUAUUUCUGACAAAAAUUACAGACUAUUUUAAUUUUUAAGUUACUACUUAAACAUCAUCAUUAUAUUCAUUUUGCAAAGUUAUAAAAUAGUCACGUCAAACCAAAUUUAAUGACAUUUUAAUUUUUGUUCUUGACAUAAUUUUUGUAUGGAAUGAAAGUGUAAGUAAGGUGUUUCGGGUCCGAAUCUUUUCACUUACGCCGAAAUUUUUUUUUUUUAAGCUUACGACUGGAUUACAAAGUCUCGGCCAGGACUACUGACCAAAUCCUAGGACUAUGGACUCGUCAAUCGACACUUAUUUUAUUUGGGCCAACCGAGGGAAAAUUGCAAGUUCAACCUUGGGCUAGACUUCGACCAGCGAGUUGGAAAUCGUGAAGCUCCAACAACUUAUAAACGUGAAUGUAACCUGACAGUUCUGUGCAACAAUUAGUAGACAAGUAAUGUACAAAUCCAAAUUUCAUUAUUGGGUAGAUUUUUCUGACAUCUCAAUUUUAUGUAGCAAUUAUGGGGAAAAUGAAUAACGUACGAAAUAGGAAAUGAAUAGCUCUGUUCCUCAGCUGUUACUACCGUAUUUUAUUAGAAAAUAAAAAAUAGUGAAUCACGGACGAAUCCACGAGUUUGUUUGAAUUGCACAUAAUUUACAUCUUAUAUUACACACACUGAUCUGCUUGCAUUAUCAACACAUUUUCUAACCACCUUUUUAUCUCACAUAUAUCACAUCAAAAAAAUGUGUAUUUUUUAAAAAAAUUAUCCCAAAUAAUCUCCAAUCCAAAUACUCUAUUUUUCUUGAAAGGUUAGCCAUUGACAUUACAAUGGCACUAUCUUCUUCUCUUGAUUUUUUGGUUGAAUUAAUCUUCUAUACACUGCCAGUGUAUACACUCUUACCAUUGGAUCCAUGACACAUAAUCUGAAUUUGAAUUUGAAACUCAAAUUUUGCAUGUGUAUCGUGUAUCUAAUCGUGAUAAUAUAUACACUGUCAGUGUAUAUAAGAUUUGCUCCUUUUGAUUUUAGCGUAGUAUAAAAAUAUAAUGAAGAAUUUGCAACAAAUUGCUUUGUCCUAAAAUAGAUUAACAAAAGGAUGGAAAUCUAGGAUGCAAAGUAGAGAUCAUCGCUUAGAUAAUACAAGGUCAAACUUACAUGAAUAACUAGUGCAGUAGAAUGAAAAUAGAUUGAGAAUGUGUUUACGUUUUUAUAAAACAAAUACGGCUUAAUUGUGACUUGUUUAUGAGGUGUAAUCAUUUUUAUUAAAAUUUUAAAAAAAAAAAAAAGGAAACAAUAGCUAUUGAAUUUUCUGUAGCCCUCAAAAAACAUUAAAACCCCAAAAACCAAGAAGGAAGAUUGCCCAGAAAAUAUUAACCAGACUAAGUAAGUAAAUCUAGACACCUGCAACUUACUAUUUUAGAGCAUAUGAUUGUCAUUAAUGAACAUUGAAUUAUCCGAGAAACAUUUCACCCAAUCUUGUACAUUUUUCCAGUGAAGGUGGUCCAGGUAAUUAUGCAAUACCACUGAUGAUGUUGCUACGGCAUUUUGUCCUUGCAGACGUGUAUCAGCGUAUGUCUAUGAGUUUAAUUAAAAAGAAAAAAAACAGAGCCCCAACCAAAAAUAAUUGCUAAAAAUUCUCAAGUAUAUGGUGCAUUGAUGAUGUUUGGCUAAUUAUUCUGCUUUGCCACCCUUGAAAAGGAGACAAAAUUCAAAAAGCCAUGUUCAUCGAAGCUACAGAGUUGGAUUGAUUUUUACUCAAUCCAUCUCUUGAAGCAAGUGGAGUUAGUCACAGAAAGCAAUGCCUAUCUUUCUUAUUAAGUAUAGUGAAGCAUAUGCCGUGACCAAGGUAUAUACCCUGUUACACUACAAGAAAUAGUACCAUAAUGUAGCUGUAAUUCAUCUUUAUAUAUUUUUUUACUGUAACGAUAACAUUUUUAUAAUUUAAUAUAUUCUAAUCUAGAGAAGGAGAGCCUAAAUAGAUAGACUGUAUAUAGGGGCUAGCAGGUAUAAGAAUCUGACUAGAUAAAGGAGUGCUCUUUUAAAUUUUUUUUCACUGUGCAACUGGAGCCCAAAUCUUUGACAUUCAGCCCAAACCAAAAGAAGAACUUAGUCCCUUUUACAUGCCUUGUGCUUUAUAAUAGUGACCUGCAGUAGGUAAUUGAUCUUUCAUAGGACCUUGUCCUUUUUGUGCCUCCCCUUUCUGAUGCAUCGAGGAUUGUCUUGUUUCGAGCAGAAAAUACGGUUUUACUUUUUACCUUCAAGAGUCAUGCAUUACCUUACGAAGCUAUGCCUAUGAUCUUCUAUUCAUUUGCACGCAUCAGAUAAAGUUUUGGUCAAAAUGAUCCCCAAGUUUAUAGGACUAUUCGUUUGAAUAUCCCCUCAGACAGAGGUAGAUAGGACACUUCACUGGAUUGAACUGGGAUGCGUUCACGUGGACGAGUCUCUCUUUACUUCUUCCUUGUCCUAUGCACAUUCUUGAUUCCAACAAAAAUUUUGUGCAUGCAAGGUAAAAGGCACUCCACUGAUCCUGUCCUGGAAAUUUUUGAAUUCAUAUCUAAAUCCAUGGUUGAAAUUUGGUCCAUUUGGAAGAGGGAGGGUCCUACAUCUGUGUAGACCAGGUGCUAUGCAGGUGCUGGAUUUGGGAAUCUUGCAAACCACCAGCAUAGGCACAUGUACGAGAGGAAAUGAGAAGCUAAUAUGUAUGUAAUGUGGAAGUGGGGUGGCAAAUGGCAAUUUCAGUUUCUGUUUCUCUUUUUUCUUCUUUCCUUUUUCCUUAUUGACUCUCUGUUGCAUAAUUAUUCAAUCCGGUCCAACAUCAAUCGGCAAGGACACCGAUUCAAAGGGUUAGCAGUCUGAGAUUCAAAUGUCAUGCACAAUUAAUGAAUUGAUGUUGAACAUAUGGUGGAACCUCUGGCGUUCUGAAAUUUUAUUCAUUGAACCUAUGGUGAACCAUUGACUAGUGAACAAGUUCCUUCCUUAUAGAAGUUUCACAAUUCAUGUCCAAAUUCACCGGCUCAGUAGCCAUUUUUAGAGCCAACAUCCUUUUGGCUAUUGAUACCACCAAGACAUUUAAAUCUUAGCAAGGGUGAAAGGUCAAAGAUUCAAUCUUUGACCCCCACCUUGCCAUUAUAUUGUGAUUUUUCUGACGAAAAAAUUUCGUCAAUUUUCUCUUCCUUUAGAUUUAGAAGAUUAGAAUAGAAUAGGUUAUACAAAUAUUUAUUAUCAUUGCAAUAAAAAAAUAGCCGUUUUUAGAGACUACAGGCAGGGUGGUGGCAACCAUUUUUGUCCAACCACUUGCGAUACAAUGUGUACAGACAAGGGAAUCGCGACGCAGAUGUCUCGACAAUUGACCGUAAGAUUGAUGCUAGUGGUCUUUGACUGCCAAAAGUAAGAAUUUUCUACAGUUUUUUCUGUCCACUGAGAAUGGUAUGAAACUAGUGCUUUCGCCCAAAAGUUUACUAUUCUUGCAUCAUUAAUGAAAAAGCUCCACCGCUGAGUCUACAAACCUAAUUAGAACCAAGGUAGUCAAACGAACACCAGAAAAAUGUCUACUGAAUUCUGGUUGCCCUCCAUCAACGGAUUCUAUAGCCCCCUGAUUUUGCAGUGGGAGGCAAAAUGCGGAUGCACCAUGUUCCACUUUUUCAAAUUUUAUUUUUGGGUCCUGGGACCAAAGCAGGAUUUGCAACUCAGUAGCAAAUCUACGGGUUUUUCAUAGCCAGGUUGUUUUACCCCCUUCAACAAAUUUUGACACUUCAUUUUCAGAAGUGGUUCAACGGGAACUAUUGAAAUAGUAUGGUAUGGUAGGGCUUGAAGUUGGUGUAGUAUUUACAUCAACAAUAUAUUACGGACGCUGACUUACAUUACAUAUGCAAGGAUACAACAUCAAUGUCAAGUCAAGUGGAAACUCGUCAUAUUCUUGAUACCUGGAACAUUUGUAGAACAAAGGGAAAGAGAUUUCUGCAUUCAAUAGCCGAAAACAGGGUCCAAUACAGAUUAGAGAAAUAACUCACUGUCGGAAAAUUAUCUGAUCAAGGACUCUUCUAGUUUUCUUCAGCUUCAGCAUUGGUUACAUGGCACUAAACAAAGCAGUAACUACUCAAGAUGCUGAAGCAUUAAUAGCUUGACUUGACAUGCAUUAUUGUCAUGUUAUAUGGACUGAAAAUAAUGAUACAGUAUAAAUUAUGAACCUGUUGGCAUGAUCAAUAGCUUCGAGCAAAUUCCUUCAAAGGCUUCAAUGAUUCACGGGGAGCCAAAAAUAUUUGGAAUGAUCACAGUCGGCAAAAGCGUUCAAGGUUGCUAGUUAUUAGAUUAUAGAAAAGUUAGGCCUAUUAAGGAUUUCUUUGUCCCUCACUUGGUACAAGAUUUCUUUAUUCUUCUGGAUCCGGUGGUCAAAAAAGCUGGAGUUGCAAACUGGGAAGACUUGAUGUAAAGCUUCACUUAUCGAUCCCAGAGGCAUAAAUUAUUCGAGUUUCAACAAAGAGGAAAGUAUGGAGUUAGGUAUCCAAAACAUGGCCCGCAACAGUUUAAAAUAUAAAAGCAGGUUAAAGCCUAAAAGAGCCUAGAAGGGCCUUUCCUGUUUGAUUUGGUCCUCCAAAUCCGCUAGUCAUUAGCGCAUAAAUCACAUUCCUCAGAAACAAACAAAAAGCAAAGACAAAGCAAAUCUAAGCAAAGAAGGACCUAAUUCCCAUAAUACAUGAUUUACAAACAUCUAAUCAGAGUAAGCCCCGGAAAGCUGCAGACUCGAAAAUCUAGAGGAGAGCAUGUCAUAGAGAACCAAAAGAGGGAAGAAAAGGCCUGCCCUGAAUAAAGGUUACCUGCUUCUAUGUCCCCCAAGCUGGUGACAUGCGGAUAUGCACUACCAUGACCUUUCCAAAUCUUCCAUUCUCUAUAUCCCUCUACUUAUCUUCAUCAAAUAUCUUUGUACAAUAAUAUUUCAAAAUUUUGACAAUAUAAUUCAUCAAAAGAUGGUUACUUUCCUAAUAAGCAUCACAAGGUGGAAUCUCUGAUCAUGUCAUAUGGCAAAAAAUUUGGAUGUUUAGCGUACCAUUAGCAUAUGCAAUCCAUCAUCAACAACCUAAAAUGAGCAAAUUCUUCAGGCUACUAGCAUAGAUUGAAUUAAGACCUACCGUGUAAAAAGGUCUUGCAAGAUGGUUCAUUUGCUCGAAGAUAACGAUGAAUUAUGAUGUUACAGCCAACACUGCAAAAGCAUCAUCAUUUUUUCAUCUUCUUAUCUUUUCCGUUUCGGAAAAAAGACCCCAGACCAAGGAGAUUGGCAGUUCCCUUGGAAAUAUGAGAUGAUGGAACUGGCACAUUGAGCACUGGGCUAAUCCGGAUCCCAUUUCCAUUAGACCCCAUAUAAUUCUUCCUGAGAGGAGGUUUUUGUGACAAUGGAUAGACAUAAAAGCUAGGGGCUGAUGUUGCAUUUGAACUUGCAGAGGCGGAAGCGGAAAUCCCAUAAGAUUCUUCUGCUGUUUGGAAGAUGCAUUCUGUUUCUGACUUUCCCUCAAGCCCUGUUUUGAAUUUGGUACAGAACCAGUUGAAUUGCUCCUAGACAACAGUGGUAAUGACCAAAAUGAGCUCUUUUGUGACAUUGUCACAAUGAAGGCUACUACUUCUCUUGAUACCCCAAAAAGAUUUUGACUGAUUCUUCUGCUCUGGUUCAAUAUUUGUCAAGGUGGAUUCUUUUUCUUGCAAAAUCUCUUGCUUUGAGCCUCCAUUUGCCUGAGGAACAAACGGAAGAGGUGGAAGAGAAGGCACCUGGUGAGCCUGAGCUUUAGAUUUCGAAGCAUUUUUUGGAGUAUGAACAAACCUUUCUUGGAGCUGAACAGGGCGAAUUAAGCCACCUGAGAAAAGCUCCUCAGCUGAAGAAGUUUCAUGAGCCCCAGUGCUAUUGCUGGUGAUGCAGAAAGCAAAAUCAUCCGAGUCUGAGUCAAGCUGUAGCAUAGAAUCUAGGCGAUAAGGUUUAUCUUCGACAGCCGCGGCCUCAUCUGUUUGGCAAAGAUCAUGAGAAAAUGAAAUUCUUGGACUUGUAUUCAAGCUUGAAUUCUCUGUGCUCGUAUCAAUUGCCAUGGUUAACUAACUUUUGCCUCAAGAAUUUGGGAGACCUGAUGAUAAAAAGCGCAUCCAGGAUAAAUCUAAAUGGGAUUCUUGUACUUAGAAAACAAAAAUUUUUUUAAGGAUUCAAAAAAGUUGUGGGACGACAGCCGCUUGAAGAAACAGAAAAUUGACAAGAUUGUUUAACAAGCCAAAGAAGAAACGUCAGCUGAGCUUUGACAGUGUCCAAAAUUUCGGGCUUCUGGUGGACUGCUAGGAUUACUUUCAUGGAUAAAUAUUACAAGUGCUCAGUGACUACAGAUCAGAGAAUUUUCCAACUAUGACUGUUUUGGGAAAGGAAUAGUUUGAGAAAGAGUAGAGGAGAAGGCAAAAAGACAGAAAAAGAGGAAGAGAGAGAUGCAAGGUGGUAGAAAAGUUUCAUCGCACUCAGAGAGUUUCCUUCUUACAACGGCAAAGAAAAACUGAUUUGAGGAGUUUAAGUAGUAGACCAGUCAGUCAGUACAAGCACCUCAUCAUCUACUCUUAAGCCUCCUUUUUUGUUGGCUAAAUUCUGGUGCUUAUUGACUCAGUAGGCUUUUGACUUCCGAACCAAAUGUCAAAAAAAAAAAUUUGAAAAAAUUGUUGCCACUUAUUUAGGAAGACAAAUCUUUUGUAAGUAUUUGUGAUCCUGAGAUAAUUGUCAGAAUGUGUUAUUUCUUCUGAAUCUUCACAAUGUCCUGUUUCUUGAUUGAAGAUCUAAUACUGCUUAAUAGUAUUCCAUACUAAAUGACAAGAUUGAUCCGAGCAACAUGUAUUUAAGCAUUGGCAGCACUAGAUUAGCAUUUAAAGCAAAAGACUCGGUGGCUUUCGAGCUGAUUCUAGCAAAAUACCGUGGCACUUUAGUACUUUAUUUGGAAUAAAUUUUUUUUAAAAAAAAAGAACAGUGUAGCACUUUUUUUAUGUGAUAGUGUGUGAGAUAAAAAGGUAGUUAAAAAAUGUAUUACUGAUGUAAACAAAUAAUUUUAGCAAAUAAAACACCAUCCAAACAAACCGAUCGAGGGGUCAAUUAAAAACAAAUGGAUCAAAAAUAUAUUUUAGUGAAAAUUGUUCUGUAAUACAUUUAUUAUUGAAACUUUCAUGAUUUUUAUGAUCAUAUCUAAGAGAAUAAAAAAAGCCACCUUAUUGUAUAUUACUAAGAUAUUCGUCGCUACUUUAGUUCUAUAUUAUUUGCCAAAUUUGACACUAUAUAAUUUAGAAGUAAUAUUCUAUACACUGACAGUGUAUACACUUUCACCGUUCGAUGCAUGAUACAUAAUCCGAAUUUAAAUUUGAAACCCAAAUUUUGUACAUGUGUCAUGCAUCCAACCAUAAUAAUGUAUACAUUGUCAAUGUAUAUAGAUUUACUCUAUUAAUUUAAUGAAUCUUUUGAAAUGUCGCCGAACGAGCAGUAUUAGAUAACAUGCUAAAAAAUAAAAAGCCAAUGUAAUAAAUCAUUUUAGGAGGAAAAUUCCAUAAUUCCUUUAGAAAACCAUUUCCUCGAUUUAGGUCCGAUGGUUAGUUGCCAUAUCACUUAACAAUCGUAGUGAUUCACAUAUUAAAACAUUUGAAAUUUUUGCAAUUCAAAAGUUUUUUUUUUUGUAAAAAAAAACUCUUAUUUCAUCAUCCGACCGACACAGAGUAUGACAAUCCAGAGGAAUUGUUGCAUCUUAAUGACAUAAUUUCUUUUUAUGGCUGAUGAAAUUGAAAAAAGUAUUGAGUAACAGCACCUAUCCUUCAUUUGCAAGGGGUACUGCAUAACUGAACUUCGGAUUCAGUGUUUGAACAUUACAUUUGUAUCUGCAAUAGAAUGACGUGUAUAUGCAUGUAUGUACAUUUGAAACAGGAUGAGCAUCGAAAUACACAAUUUUGAGAGAAAAAAGGUUGGGGUGUGGUUAAACCCCUUUUUCUUGCAUGAUUGAAGUUUUGGUGGCCUGCCAUCUCAACAACCGACUGGAGUUGUUUUCUUUUCCAACAAAACAAAAUCAAGGUUUCUUGUAAUUUGGGUUUUUAUUAUCUUUGAGUGUUGAGUAUUUGUUUUUUCCAGCAAAUUCAUUAAUGGGAAUGGGCUAAAAACCGUCGAUUUGACAGUCACAUAUUUUCAAGUUCAACACUCCAGUAAAAUUUUAUUAGGAGAAACAAAUUUUAAAUUACCACGCAAAGGGAGAAAUUAACAACAACGGGGUUACAUGGGGAGGAUUGCAUUGGAUUGUAAUGAAAGAGAGAUUGUAAAUAAGAGAUUUUGAAUUCAAGAACACUCACUUAAAAAAGAAAAAGACCAAAUUAAAAGCAGAUAAACUUCAAGAUAAUAGGAAUAAGAUAUGAUAUUUUAUUCAAGAUGAAGUUUCAUUUGAUUGAAACUAGUUGAAAAGUUUGACAGGGGCCUUUGGAGCAAUUAGAAUGCUAAAUUAGAUGAUACAUGGACAUUUGAAUUUGAAUUUAACACAAAAUUUUGGAGCAAUGAUUAGCUAGUGAGCUGUUAAUAUCAUAAUUCAUAAACCAGUUACCGUGGCAUGUGCAAAUGUAGAAAUUGUAGGCUUUGGGGUGCCUUCACCUGUUUAUGAUUCAAAUUAUUAUCGUUAUUAGGCUUAAAAAGACUUAGAAUGGGUUUGAUUUGAUUAACCACACAGUUCAACAGGGCUUCAAAUCCUCUGUCCCCAAAGUAGUCUCUGUUCUCUCUGUCCCUUAUUUAUACAGUUGUCACGUGUUUCUAAUCUUUUGUUAACCUAAACUCAAAUAAAUUUUAGAUAAAAUAACUAUUUCUUGCAAACAAGUGAAUUUUGGAAUAACUAAAAUUUAAUUAUAAACAAGAAAAUAUUACUUGUGACUAGGACUGUCAAUGGGGCUGGGCCAACCCGAGCUCGGCUCGUUCGGCCCGACAGAAAGCCCGAUGAGCCCCGAUCAUUUAGUGAGCCGGUCUGAGCUUGAGCCUAAAAAAUAGGCCCGAAUAAAAUGUGAGCCGAGCUUGGGCCUUAUUAGGCUCAAACCCGAUAUAGGCCCGGCCCUUUAAUUACCUAUAUAUAUAAUAUUUAUAUUUUGAUAUUAUGUAUAUUUAUAUAUCCAAAUAUAUUUUUACUAAAUACUAAAUAUAUAUAUAAAUUAUAAAAUACAAAAAUACAUCUAAAGAUUCUUUCAUGAGAUUUCUUGAGAGCCAAUAUUAGUAAUGCAUAACUAAAUCUCUAAUUUUUCUUAUUGGUUGAGUAAAUUUUUGUAUUGGCAUAUUAUUGGUUGAUUUUUUUGGUCUACAAAUACAAAAAUCAUCAAGCAUAUUUGGAUUUAAAUCACAAGAUUAUAAAAAAAGUUUCAACUUUUAAAGAUGUAUUGGCUUAUGAUCGCAUGUUUUAUUACUAUUUUUCAUGCAUUUUAAAUGGAUUAAAUAUAAAUAUUGUUGAAAAAAAUUUUGGUUUAUAUACUUUUUAAGAACUAUUAUUUGUUCAUGUUUAGUUUUAAUAUUAUAGUCUUGUAAAUGUUAACUUAGUUUUACAACUUAAUAGUUAUAGUAAUUAUAUUAAGAAAAUUAAGGAAUAAUAAGUGAGCUUGGGCUAAGCCCGAUUAAGGCUCACAACCCGAAUAUUAUGUGAGUUGAGUAUGAGCUUCACAUUUACGAAUCCGAAACUCAUAGCCCGAAGCUCGAAAAUGUUUCAAAUUAAAUGAGUUGAGCUUGAACUCAUCAAAGCCCGGCUCAUUAGGCCCGAUUGACAGGCCUACCUGUGACAAUUGCGUUGAGCACAACAUACGUUGGCUAUUUGGUUCCCAUAUGUUUAAACUAUCUCUACUACCAGUAGGACCUUCAUGCACAUGCUUAAAAAUAAAAAAUAUAAAUGAAUAAUUAUAUCAUCAAGACUCAAAAAAAAUUAUAUCAGCAUAAUAUCUAAUUAAAAGCUUGCUUUUCAUGUAAACAAACCCAUGAUUUAUUUGAGUUUAGGUUAAUAAAAGAUUAGAGACACGUGACAGCUGUAUAAACAAGGGACAGAGACUACUUUGAAAACAAAACAGAGGAUUUGAAGCCGUUCAACAGCAUACUUGCCUCCGAGUGGCAAACGUGUCGAGCCAAGAAGACAAUAUUAUUAACUUUUUAACAUAGGAUCAUCCCCCGACAAUUGAUUAAUGAAGUUCUGGCAUGCUUUGCUAAUUACGUGUUUAAGUUUUGAAGUGUACUUACUAUUAUUCAGUACAUGAUACGUGUCAAAAUGAGCAAUUAAUAUUGUUCCAAAUUCCAACAAUACGAGAUAUCAUGAAAUAUAAUAUAUAUAUAUAUAUAUAUAUAUAUAUAUAUAUAUAUUUGGUCAGAAAAGAAUACGUGGAACAAAGACAACACGUUACCGAAACAAUUAUUGCACAACAAACAGCAUUAUUUCAUGCUCUCGACCUCAGAUAUUAGUAUUUGUAGAUCAUCAAUUCCAUAUAUAUAUUGAAAUCAUCGAACGAGUUUGAGGAUUAACUACAACUGAAUCUGGUCAUUUGCCUAAUAAUUGGCAAGUUCAUCAUCACUAUUUUAAACCCCAAGAAUACGGUUGAACUACAAAUAUUGUAGAAAAACAUUAAUAAAUAAUCACGACUGACUGAUCUACAAAUUUUUAUCAGAACUCGGAUUGCUGUUUUUUAACAAAAUAUGUUUACAUUUUUCGUGAUCAUAUUUUUCAAUCGCUUUUUUUACAUCACAUGCGUCAAAUUGUUACAGUAUAUUUUUCUAUAAACAGGUCAGAAGAUAACAAUCCAAACGGGUUAAGAAGAGCAGCCCUGUUGAGGCUGCUGUGAACUCGAGGUCACUGAUCUGAUGAUGCACCUAUGGCAUGGGGGAGAACGAUGGGAGGCAUAUCACCACUAUUUUAUGCCAUUGUUUUAGUUUUGACAGGUGAGCCACAAUUGUUACUUGUCAUGUGUGGGAGCUGUCUGCCUAGACAAUGAAGAGACAUGGCUCCUUUGCUGCAAGUGUUUUCCCCCUGCCUAGCCACAACCUUGGACUGCCCCACCCCUACCAGAUAAGGGGUCCUAUAAGCAUCUUCUAGCAGAGCAUAAGACUACAACUUUAUCUGCGAAUGGCCAAGCACUAGAAGCAAAUCAAAAAUUUGCAACUAAACCAACAUGUCCAACCAAUCUUGCCUAUGACCGCAAAUUGUAAUUGUAAAAAGGUGCACAUGGAAUGCGGAUUAUUGUUGUUGUGAUGUCCAGAAAACAGAACCACUUAAAAACGAAUGUGAUUUUUGUCUCUCUGGUUAUGCUUUUGCUCCCUCCCCAAAUGCUUCGAUUCAAGUCUGGAAAGCGAAAGAUCGUUAAUUUAGAGACAUAUCAGAGGAAUAAUGGACCUCUCUUUAGUCCUUAUCAAUACCCAACAGCAACACAAGCUGUUGAUCUAAAUGAUUAAAACAGCAACUGUUGCACAUUAUCCAAGCACUGAUACUUCUUUUUUGCAACUACUUUGUCUCGAGAAGGAACAGAGGAAUGCUUGAACCGAAUCCAGUGCUGUAUGCAUUUCUCCAACUAGUGUGUUGCAGUCGUGAAUCUGGCAAGGUACCUGUUAGAUCCAUUGCACCUUGUAAUUCUGUGCAAGAAGGUUACUUGUGUGCUUUUCCAUGAUAAGUCAAUUAAAUUCUACUGUAAACAAUUUGAAGGUUUCUAUUAUAAAACCAAAAAAAAAAAAAUUAAAUGAACGCAAGGGUACCAGAAUAUGAAAUUCCAUAUUUUUUACUGCACAAUUGCAAAGAAGGUAGCAUAUUUUACUGUUACACGAGAGUGUACUUUUACAUCUCAUGGAUGGACCAAACACCACGGCCAAAACCAAAUUCACUUAUGGAGUAAAUAAAUUUGCAAAUCAAAUGAAACAAUGUGUAACCGUUGUCAUCGCAGAUCGAUUACGUCGAACUUCUGCUUAGGAUUCAUAUAAACGUCUGUACAUUGCUUGUAAAUUGGGCUACCAUCAGACGGAGGGUCAUGAGCAUGAAAACCACGUCUAGGGCAUUGCCUUAUGACAUUCAUGCCACCUGGAGUUGUUAACCGGAAUAUGCCAUGGGUUCUGCAUGAUGGAAAAUCUAGAGUUACUCGUAAUCAAAUUGAAUUUCUUUAACUAUCAAAGUAUGUAUAGCUACUACAUUCACCUCAAGCCAUCUUUCGGCGCCAUCACAAUUGCAAUAGCUUCGGGCAACAUGAUCUGUUUAGGAAAUCAAUAGAGUGUAAGAACAGAUUUCCAGCAUCUAUAGGAAGUGAAAUCUUUCCAAGACAAAGGCAUUAAACUGAUCAAAAACAACUCAAAAACUCGUUAUAUUGGUGCAAGCGUCAGAGAAGAUUUUUAGGUGGAAGCAUGAACAGGCAUAGCAUGCUAAAUCCCAACUUCUCUAUGCAAAAUAAAUAAAUUUCCACAGACCAAAACAAGAUGAGGAAGUAAAAAUAAGAAUACGGAACCGUGUAAGGAUAAUGAUGAGGUCUUAAGAGAGUACAAAACCUGAUAAGAGUAUUGAGUGUGAACAUCUAUCGAUGACAUAAAACACGAUUGUGUGGGAUGCGUCUGCAAUAGAAUAAACAUCAUGCAAUCAAUAACUCCAAAAAUUAUAAUUGCACAAAAACUGACAAGUUGUACAUGUUUAGGACAUUAAAGAAGAUUAACAAAAGAAACUGCCAGAUCCUUGCAGCUACAAACCAAACUCUCCUUCCCCUUUUUCUGGACUCAUCUUAUGGAAGUGAAAUGCAGCUUUAAUUUUCAAUUGAUCUUCUUAGUAAUUGAGAACAUAUUAAGAAGAGCAAUGAAUUUUUAAAAAUAGCUCUUCGAAAAAAUCAACAAGUGAAUACCAAAAGCAAAAAGUUCCAGGAACGUUUAUCAAAUUUAUUAGCUACUUGAAUACUUAAAAAUGAAUAAUGACCUCUAAAAGUUUAGGUUGAAUUAAUAAAAUAGAACUCUUGAAGGAAAAUUAUCAGCUAGCAACUCCAAAGAAAAAGUUGACAGCAGAGAUUUUUGUCCUUGUUCUUGAAGGUAAAUACAAGUGUUCCCAAGUAUCUUUCUUAUAUAUUCUCAGACAGGUAAUUCCACUACACAAAAUUAUAUCUAGAGGAGACCUCUCAGUUAAUAUCUAGAUGGUAAUAUUAAUAUUUGCAAAUAAACGCAUGCCAGGUUUUAAAUUGUUGUAUCAACCUAAAGCAGUCAUCUGUCAUUGUAAUAUUAUGCAAAAGUUGAACAAAGUGCAACCAGACUUCAAUUACCAAUAAUUGCGCUUACAUGAAUCCACCCUAAAGGGAAAAGAGAUUGCUUAUCCUGCACUUCAAAUAUUUCUUCCUCAUUUGUUGUUUGACACUGCUCAGAGAAACAAGUAAAUGAGAAUAACAUUUUAAACAGGGUUGGCAGGGGCAAAUGACAUUAAAACUUACCGAAUCUGAUGUUGAUUCUUGCUUCGGGAUGAUAAGAGCAGUAACACUAAAUCUUCGGUUUUUCUGUACACAACAAAUUAAACAAUGACAAUAGAUAAUCUGUUAAGAUAACAAGUAAUACAUGGAACAUCAGGUCAACUGUGCCAUUAAGUUGAUGUCACAUACAAGUGAACCAGCAAGAACACCACAAGUCUCCAAAUUCUUGUCCGUAUUUGACUUAGCCAGCCUCAUAAAACUGUCCAUCAAUGCAGUUGACUGUCAAAACAAACAUAGAUAGAAUAAUCUACUAUCAAUUUCCUUAUUUAAUCUAACCUCCAGAGAGUUCCAACCAGGUGCCUGAGAGCACAGGUGACAACCAAACAUCCAGAAGAAAUCCAAGUUUGAUACAAAGGGGGGGGGGACACCAAAAAAUUAGGGAAAAACACAAAAAGUUGAUAAAGAUCCUCACAAUGUGCAGUUCCAGAGGAGCUUCAGCACAGAUGACACCAUCAGCAUUAGAAGUCAGUCCGCAAUCCCUGUCCACAACUGCAGGUGAAGUAGAUGGGAUCAAAUCUUGUAUCUCAGCAAGAACAGGAGGAGGAGAAGGCUGUCUGAUGAUUUUCGUUUGCACAGGACUUUCCAUUGUUUCAAAGGAAAUCAAGGAAUCAGGUUCUUCAACCUGAUCUUUUUUGUCAUCUUUGCUUUCCAGGUCCAAUGGUUUCAAUUUUGAUACUUCAGAUUCUAAGUUGUUAUCAUGCUUUUUUAUUGAGGUACCAUCAUGCACAGGCUUCUGGCCAUUGCUUUCUCGUGAAAUAUCAGCAAAUGUCCUAGAUUAAUUAGCAUAAGCAGAAAGGACAAAAGAGACACUAAUUAGAAAUAUGUAAGGUCCCACAAGAAAGUUUUAAUCAAUUUCCAUUGUAAAGUUGUCAUAACAUAAGGAUUAAUUUCUUCAACCGAAAUCUUACACUAAUGGAGAUAUAAUUUGAAUAAUAGUCGACAAUAAAUCCAUUUGGAGCCUAACCUUGGGAUCUCAACAGGUGAAAAGUCUAUAUUACUUGGAUAGCGCACCUGCAUUAAGUAUGAGAGUUAAACCUUUAUCGGCUUCUGAGAAAUUGAAGACAAAGAAGAAAAUCAUCAUACCCCUGUAUCACUAGGUGGAGGUUGCCAUUGCCCAUUAAGCCCAUUCGGGCCGAAAACGGAAUGUCUGGAAAGAGUUUCCUCCUUUGGACGGGGAAUACUUAAUCUUCUACAGUAGUGAUAAAUGUAAGUAAUGCAUAAUGGAGAAAAAUAAUUUAUGGAGGCUAAUACAAACAUCAGACGAGCCUAAAAAAAGAUGCUUAUUAACAUCAAAGUACACCCAAAUUAGGAAAACACGGUCUCAUGAACUUUUAAAAUGUCUUUAAAGCAUAAAAGGGUACACUAGCACAAAUAAAGUUGAUUCAGGAACUGUAAUGUUAUUCAGAUGAAAUUCAUUUAGUACAGCAAUGUGAUGCAGAAAUUAUCAACAUUUAUAUAAAGCAUCAGAGCCGUACAUAUCACUUAAACCUAAAAGAGUAACACAGAAUUGCAACUUCUCUGGUCCUAUUUUCAUGAAUAUCAACAAAUUAUAGAAAACAUUUGGAAAGAAGGAAUAUCUGCUUAGAGAAGUACAGAAACAGCAAGAACAAGUAUAUAACAAACGACAAAAUACCUAGUUUUACAUAAAAUUUUACUACAUUUUGAGGCAGCGGAACCAACAAAGCUUGUGAGUUCCUAGUAGAAGACUUACAUUUGGCGAAACUGUUCAUCUACUGGCUUAGUAAGAGACCAUUGCUGAGUACUUGGAGCUUGAUGAUUGCAUUGUCGAGCAACGUAUGGUGAAGUCUAUCAAAAGAAGACGAGAAUUUCUAAUAAUAGUUUCUUAAAUCUGAGAUUUGUGAUGUCCACAUUAUAGAGGAAGUGUUACCUUAGUCAUGGCAUAACUAUUCAAAUUUUGCUGUUUGCCAGGAUGGUUAACAAGUGACAAAUUCAAUUGAGGCUGAUAACCCCUCUGUUGUUGGUUAAUGUCUUCAAGCUUCCUUUGAACAACUGGCUUAAGUUUCUCAAGCUCAGCCAAGGCAUUCAUUAGUUUCUGCAUAUAAAAAAAGACCAUUGUGAGGUAUAAACCCAUAAAACAAUUACAGGAGCAGAUAAACAAGUGUACCUUCUUCAAAUAAAUCUUGUCACUUUGCAGAGCUGCUCUAUAAUCACGAUGACAUGGUAUUGUCUCAGAGACCAAACUAGAACGCAAGAACAAUGAAGGUCAAUUACAUGUGCCACUUCAAAAUGAAUUUCAGACAUCCACAAACUUGAAAGCACCAUUUUCCUACCAUACUAGAUAGCAAUACAUGCCAAUCAGGGAACACAAUACACAAAGCGACCAAAUACUGACCUUAAGUCACUAAAACUCAAUCUCACCUUGAAUACCUUAGGAGCAUAAUGUACAAAUCAAUUAUAUUAUCCUCUUCCCGAAAGAUGUUAGCCUAAAACAACAAAAAGUGUCAGCUUUUGUUGGGUCCAUUUAUAGCCAAAAAAAAAAGGAUGCGCAUGCACAUAAACUUCUGCUAGUUUAUACAAUUCGAAUGCAUUUGAUUAACAAAGAUUAUGUCUUUGAUAGUUCCUUUAAGAAAGAACUGAAAUUCGCAAAGGAUGAGACUGAAAGAACAUAAGCUAAUGGAUAAUGGAUAUCCAAUCAUAUAUCUAGUAAAAAUUGAUAAUGGAUUAAUUUUACUAAAAAACCAGGACAGCAUUAUACAAGAAUAAUAGAGGAAAUGGGAAAUGGGAAAUGGGAAAUGGCAAGACUAGUAUGACAACAGCUAGAACUGCAGUGUCGUAUAAGCUCUCUUCUGUUGAUUUAGUGCUUGUAUACAUAAAUCAUCAGACACUGCAAGCUCUCUCAUAUCUCAGGUUCUUUUAUAAUUGUUUCAUGCCCAGUGUAGAGCUGGUUUCAAGACCAUUACACAUCUGACAGUGCAAACUUGAAAACAAACAAAUUGACAACAUGGUUGUGAUUAUCACAGUAUAUAUAAGCCUUGGUCAUGCUGCUUCAACCAAGUUUGAGGUUCAAUUUGAACCCAUGUGCAACUAUCAAAGAACACGAGCAAAGGAAAAAAAAUCUUUGAACUGAUUUCUUAAGAAACCAAUAAUAUUCCAAUAUCUUGCAAAAAAGAAACACAAAACUGAGGGUAGCCUUGAAAUCCUAAUAUAUCCUCAUUUUUGCCUUCUAUUUUCAAAUCCGAGCUCCACUACAUCCAAAUUUCUUACAUAAUCUGUUAGCAUUGCAGCCACAUCAACCACUUCACUGGUAUAACAAAGCAUGCCUAUAUCAAAGUCCAACUCAAAGCACAUUUCCAAAGCGACCCAGAACUAGUUUCUAACCGAUAAACUAUACUUAGCACCCAUUUGAUAUGAAAUAUAACACGAGCAUAAAUACCAACAAACUCCUUCACACAACUUCCCAGAGUUGAAAAGUUCCCUACUUUAUUCUAGUUAUUUAUCCUCUGCCUAUACUACAAUAUCAAGUGUUUGUGCAUCAAAGCUAAGACCUUGGACGAAUAAAUCAAGCAACCUAACCAUUUCAAUUUUUCAAACUCAGAACACCUUAAGCAAUUCAAUUUUAGAAGUAUUUCAACAUUCAACCUACAAGUCAAAAUUGCUGAAACAUCUACUCUUCUUUGACUAGUCCUAAAAACUCUAGCUAAUCAUAAUUUUGCUCCUAAAUAUGCAAGUCUCCAGCUGAAAUGCAAGCAAGUUCUCCGCAGAAUUCCGCUAAUGUGUAAAUUAAUGCAUAAUUCACCAAAAAUAAAUAAAUAGGAUUAUAAGUUGUUGUUGUUUCUAAUUGUCCCGUUACUGGCAUAAUCAUACUCAUGGGUGCAUAGUUCACCUGCUUGAGGACAUUAUCGGCGAUGCGAUAAUAGAAUCCCAGAGCGAUUCGAUUGUUGACGUCGAGUUUCCGAGCACUGGAGGCGAUGUUGAUCCUCACCGCCGCCGUCGACGACGAUGACGACGACCGAGUCAACAUGCUUCUGCGACUUCACUAUUUACCUUUCUUUUCUAUUAUUGGGUUAUGGGGAAUCGUUGGUGGGCAAGGGUGAAAAGCAUGUUCAGGGUCGGAUCGGAGAGUUCUGGUGGGCUAUGUACCCGAUUUCUCAGCGGCGGAGCUCCAGAUCGCUCUAAACGGCAGAGCUGGGGAGUAUUUGGGCUGCGACAGGUCAGCAAAGACGUAGAAGGGUAAAAAUGGGUCACAAAAGAUUACGUACAACAGACAAUAAGCAAGAAUCAAACCAAGAAAUUCUUAAAAUCAUAAAUCACUCAAAAAAAAAACCCAAGAAACCUCGUCAGCAUAAAUCACUCUCACAACGACGGCCCAAAAAAAAAUCACUCAAACAAUAACCCAAAAAAAAAGAAAAAAAAAACCCCAGGAAAGCCUCGCCAUCAUAAAUCACUCAAACAAUAACAAUAAAAAAUGGGUUAAUUUCACAUACCUCCCCUGAGGUUUUUAACAAUUGCAGAAAACUUCCCUCAAUUUCUAAAAAUUAUACCUACCUCCCCUAUUUUCACUAUUUAAGUAACAUUCUAGACCCAAAAGGUUAUACUUUUUUCCAAAAUUCUUAUAAUGCCCUUGAAUUAUAAUUCACAACAAAAAUGUAAAGAAAAAAAAUAGUUUACAGUUUCUAUUUCAUUUAUCUUUAUUUCUUACAACUAUUACCUACUUAUCGACAUCUAAAUCACCACUAAAUAAACACUUAUUUUGUUCUAAUGUUCCGCUUUUACCUAAAAAUUUCUGAUGCAGACCAUUGUAUCAACUAUAAAUGCUACAUCAUAUACCCAAAAACUUAUCUACAAUUUUAUAACAAUAUCAGAUUUUACUUAAUAUACUACAAUAUUCAUCAAUAUUCCUAAAUUUCAAUUCCAUGGGUGCCACCUUUUUAAUACAAAAUAAUCUAAACCAUCACUACUAAUAUCAGUAUCCAAUAUAUUCCAUUGGCACAAAGUUCAAAAUCUAUCAAAUUCUCUCUAUAGGAAUAAUAUCAAUAAUUGUAAAUAAAAAAAUUGAACCACAAUGCAGUUAUAAAUAUAUAUCAAAAACACUUUUUUCCAUGAUAACCAUAACAGUAUAACCUAUAUUUAGUUCCUAUUCCACUUCUUAUCCUUAAUUUUAAUUUUUUAUCACUGUCACUAUCUUUAUCUCCAUCUAAUUUGAUAAAGAAAUUAACACUCAACUUGUUAUUUGACAAUUUCAAUUUGCUAAUACCUAUCAAAAUUUGGAAACAAAAAUGGGCGCAAGGAAAUUAUUUACUAAUAAUAGAAAAUCAAGAAUUGGGAAUAGAUACCAAGAUAUAUAAAUAUCGGUGGAUUAAUGUGUAUGGCGAUUUUAUUAUUAGCGAUAGUACACAUUUGGUUGAUAAUAAUAAAUAAAUGAGUUUAAAAGAAAAAUAGAUAUAUGAGGAAGAGAAUAAAUAGUUAAUAGAAAAAAUUGUGGUUUGAAUUAUUGGUUAAUAAUAGAUGAGAGAGUUUUAAUAUUUGAUAGAGUUUUUGACAAUUAAUAAAGAGCAUUAUUGUUUUUUUAUCACAAUAAGAGGGUCUUUGUAAUUAUGUAAACUUCAAGGGAGUCGAGUGAAAUUGUCGAAAACCUCAGAGAAAGUUUCUUAAAUUAUCCCAUAAAAAUAUUUAAAUUAAGCUACCCGUUGGUGGUGUGCAACUUGGAAAAAAGAAAAAAAGGUCCAGGCAGUCACAUACGUGCAUAAGAAAAAACCCAGAGUCCCAGACAACUUACUUGCCCUUUCCCUCGUUGCAGCCAUGGACUCUGGCAUAAGUACAUUCUUCUUCUCCUCUCCUUUUUUCUGUUUGUCUUUGGUUAAUUUUUAUUUCUUAUUUUAUUUUGUUUGGAGUUUUUAGAUGAUGAAGGCGGAAAUGGCGAUGAUCUUGAGAAUCUUGUUGGUCACCAGGUUAGUUCAUCCGAAAAGAGUUUAAUUUUUAAAUUUAGUUGUAUAUGAAUUUUGAUCAGGUCUAGUCUUGUCAAUCACAGCUUCAUCACGGGAAAUCAGAUGGCGAAGAAUGAAUUUCAAUUUGAUAUCUUGGACCCCGCACAUAUACAACUCAACUUCUGUACAAUGCACAGAAACCUUCGAACCCUACUACAAGAUUAUAGUUCUGUCCAUGAGGCCACUCAACAAGUCUAUGAGGACAUUGAAAAUAUGAAGAAAGUAGCAAGAAUCCUCCCACCUGGACUAUAUUUUCAAAAACAUUGGGUUUAUGUUUUCAAAUUUUGACAUUGAGGUUUGAUUAUUUGCUUAAGAAAAAAUUAAUGGAAGAAAUCAAACAUGCAAUCCCAUGUGGCAAUUAACAAAUCAAUGGGUGUGAUAGUUUCAAAGGUAGAUGACGUAAGGUUGGUGCAUUUACUCUUAAGGGAAUAGAGAAUAGACAAAAGGGAUACUUUCAUUAUAAUUGCUAGCACAUAUACUUUCACGCAGCAAAAGGAGAUACGUUUAGAGAAAAUGACUUGUUUCAUCCCUCACAUUUCGUAAAAAUAUUUUUUUCGUCCAUCACUUUUAAAAUGGAGCAAAUUUGUCCUUAACAUUUAAAAAUUAAAAACUAUUAUAUCCCUGAAUCUAAUUUUCAAUCUGAAUCAAAUCAUCCAAUAACCCAGUAAAAAUUUCAAAAAUAAAAUUGACAGAUCACUCGGUCAAUUUCAUCAUAUUUACAUGACAUUUAUUAAACCAAAAAAAUUUAUAACAUAAAAGACCAUUUUUUGUCUUGGAAUAGUAGAGUUUUUUUUUUUUGUAAAUCUUUUCAUGCACUAUUAGUAUUUUCGAUUGCGAAUCUAGAUGUGUAUCAUAAAUAUAAAUUUUAACAUUUAAAUUUAAAUUAAAAUGAUAUGACGGUACAUAAAAUCGUCAGUGUAUACAAUGAUAAUGUAGGAAAGAUUAAUUUUCUUUUUAUGUUAUAAUUUUUUAUUUUUUAUUUUUAGGUUCAUUAAAUUUCACAUGAAUAUCAAGUUGAGUUAAUCAAAUGAUCUACCAAUUACACUCCCAAAAUUUGUAAUCAGGUUGAUUGGUGAUUUGAUUCAGAUUGAAAUUUGGGUUCAGAGAUAUAAUAACUUCAGUUUUUAAAUGUCAAGAACGAAAUUGUUUUGUUUUAAAAGUGAGAGACAAAAGAAUAUUUUUAUAAAAUGUGAAGGAUGAAACCGAUCAUUUUUCCAUACUUUUAUUAGUAUAAUUUACAUUGAUGAUAUAUAUAUAUAUAUAUAUAUAUAUAUAUAUAUAUAUAUAUAUAUAUAUAUAAGAUUUAUUAUAUAUUUGGAAGACUAAAUCAAAAAAUCUUCUCACUUCAUAUGACUAAACUGAAGUCUUUAAUUCAAAUUGAGAUUUUGUGUUAGGGACCAAAUUGAUACUUUCAGAGUAUGUCAAAGGACCAAAUAAAACGUUUCCAAUUUAACUCAAUUAAAUUGAGAUUUUGGAGUUCAAAGGGCUAAACGAAAUUUACCAAUGGCCAAACUAGUUAGUUGACUUUCUUUAAUAGUCAUAUUAUGUAGGUCCCAAACUUUUAUUACUGCCAUUGAAUAGAGCACUUGGUUUCUAGUUUAUGGGUUACGUUUACGGUGGAAACUUCACUUUUCUACCCAUAAUAGGCAGAAGCAAUGCAAGGAGGCCAACUGUGCUCUGUGGGGACUAGGCCAGUCAAAACUUGGCUCGAACUCGAUCAACACAAGUUCGAGCAGAGCUCGAGCCGUUCGUUAAUACAAACGAGGUGAGCUCGAGUCUUCGUUUCUUAGGCUCGAUAGCUCGACGAGCCGCUCGUUAGGCUCGAGUAAAUGUGAAAUUAUAAAAAUACCCCUGAAUCAAUUAAAAUUUACAACUUAUUUUGUUUCUCACUUCCUCUAUUAGGUUACCUAAUUUUCCUUCCUCACUUUCUCCAAUCGAACUUCUUCCUCCACCGACUGUCCUAGCUGCCAAACUCCUAAUUCGUACUUCCGCAACCAUCAUCUCUGCUAGCUCCACCUCCACCACUUCCGCCAGCUCCUCAGCAACCUCCAAGCUUUCUCUGCUGACUGUCCAAGUCCCAAGUCCCAAGUCCCAAACUCCUAAUUCCCAUUUCCGCCAUGCUAUCUCUGCUAGCUCCAUCUCCACCACUUCCGCCAGCUCCACUUCAGCAACCUCCAAGCCACGCAAGAAGUUGAGUUUCUUUGUUUUCUUUCAUCACAAAAAAAUGAACAAGUCAAAGCAGCAAACCUGUGCAAGGCUUCUUCCUUCAAUAGCGAAGAACAGGGCCAAAGCUUUGCUUUGUCUCACCACCUGGAGAGGCUUCUUCACCCGGUCUUAGAUAUCUAGCCGAUGUCUUCUCACUCUGUCUUGCUUUUUUUAUUUUCCUUCUCUUUAACAACGAAGUUGCUAGGAAAAGUUCUAGGUCCGGGGAGGGCUGAUGGCUCUCGUGAAUAUGAGUGGAAGAAAUUUAGAGUCAUCUUCAAAGAAGUUAGGCAAACCAAGUAGUGGCAGACAAACAUUUGAAGUAGUGGCAGACAAACCAAGCAAUGGACUAUUUUUUUGCUGGUUUCUUUUGCUGGACUAUCUUUUGUUUCUUUUGUAGACAAACUCAAGCUGAUUUCAAGCUCCUAACGAGCCAGAAAUCUAGCUAAAUUCGAGCAAAACACGAGCUAGAAAAUUGAGCGAAACUCAAGUUGCUCGCAAGCCAGAAUUCGAGUUAGGCUCGCGAGCCGUAAGCGAGUUGAUCUCGAACUUGUCUUUUCCUAAAUUGAGCCGACCUUGAGCUUCAUUAUACGAACUUGACGAGCUCGAGUUUGAACUCGAGCUGGCACAUAAAUAAACCUAACUCGACUUUAUAAUUUUAAAACUCGACUCGACUCGACUCAUUUGCACCCCUAGUGGGGACGCACAAAGAAGGAUAUCUGGGCACUACUAGAGAAUGACAGUCGUGCGUGGAUGAAAAAUGUAAUAUAUUUUAAAAUCACAACAAAAGUACUCUUAAAAAUUUGUUUAUCAUCUAAUGCCCAAUACUUAUAUUUGAUAAAUUAAAACAGUUAAUUAAAUAUUCUAUUAUAAUAUAAACAACUAUAUGUCAUUGAGUUGAUUGAAUAAUAUUUUCUUUUUCUUUUUUUGGCAUUUCAACUAGUUGUCAAUUAAGUUUUAAUUGAAAUAAAGAUUUUAUAAUUAUUUAAAUUAUUCAAUAAAAUUAUCAAUUUAAGAUGAACAUAAAUAUAAAUACAUUAAAUUGUAUUAUUGAAAUAUUUGAUUUAAUAUGAAGGAAAGAUAAGAAGAAAUAGCAAGAAAUUUUUUAAGAAUUCAUGUGAGUACUUUAUAUUGGUAAUCACGUUUACUUGUUAUUGUAAUCACCAUACCUAAUCAUAACCGAUUGAAACUCAUAUCCACAGGUCGUGCAACGAUUUUGUGUUAUACUGUUUACAAUUAAACUUACUAUAUACUCAAAUUAAAAUUCUCUUUUUUCUACUAAUUUUUUUUAAUAUGAUUUAUGUGUUAUCAUUUGUUUGUAAUUAAUUUAAUGAAAGAGCGAAUUGCGCGAAAUAUCACUAAACUAUUUCAAAGUGUCGGUUCUGAUCACUAAACUUUUUUAUUAGUGCGAAAUGUCACUGAACGAGUAAAUCUGCACCGUUUUGGUCACUCCGUGUAUUUGUGCCGUUAGGAGAGACGGAAAUCAACUUUUUGAGGGGCAAAUUCGUCUGCACAAUUGUUAAAAAAAUUAUGCCCUCAUUCUUCUUCACCCACAACCACCCAUUACCUACAUUGCCACCAUCGCCAUCACCUCCACCUCUACUCUCCUUCCUCUGCCUUUUUCUUUUCUUCUUCCUCCUCCUUCCUCUUCCACCAUUUGCAACAAAGAACACCCUUUAUCGUUACUUACCUUUCCCAACUGUAAAUAAAACAUGAGAUGGAAAGCCAAUCUUCAUGGUAGGGACCUUGGCAUAAUCUGAAAAAUGACUGCCUGGGCAUUUCCAUACGAGUAAACUGUGCUUCCACUAACAAAGGUUUCCUUCUCGUCUUUCCCGUGUUGACCAAUGCAAUAAAUAAGUCCAGUUAGCAUUUCACUAACAGAUUCAGGAUUGACACAACUGCUGUAGAAGGUACUCCAUAUUCUAACAGAUGCAUAUUUCAUGUUCAAAGUUGAACUUUCCAUCAGACUCUUGUGAUUUUGUGCCCAAAUCUGAGAUGGGUUUACCAACUAUUUUGGAAUCUCUGAUUUGUUGGAUAGGUUAAAACUUCUCUGAGAUGGGAGAUUUUCUCAUUGCCUAAUCUUUGAAAUCUUGAGGAAAAAAACCAACUCUUGAACCCUCAUUCUUCAAAAUCAGUAAGAUGUUUACACCAGCUUCCUUGAAAAGAGACCUUGCACCCUCAUUCUUUAAGAUCUGAGCAAAUGCAUCUAGGGAGCUUUUGUACUUCUGCAUAAAAGCAGAUUCCAAAGUUAAACUUCAAACCCACCAUGUUAAACCCUUAAAUAAGAAAAAGGGUUUUCUUCUUUUCUGCAUAAUGGGACAAAAAUUAUUUCCUAAGAAGCAAUUAGGUUGAAUAAGUUCUGGUGUAUGAAAAAAGGGAAAAUAAAGACAAGAGGAAGGCAAUCCCCUUCCCAAAUGUUAAAAAGGAGAAAAAAGGAAAAGGAAUCAAGAGUAUCUAAAAUCUAAAAGAAGCCAGUCCCCACAUCCCAAAUCCCAAUUUCCAAUUUUUACCGUUUGGAGCUGGUGCUCUGUGGUUUUGUUACAAAUGGUGAAAGAAUACAAAAAUCAAGACUGGGCAGUGGGUAACUGAAAGAGGCAGAGAGUCAGAGACCAAUUUCCAAUUGAAAAAUAGUGCCUGCAUUUUUUGGUUGAAGUUUGACGGUGCCGCCAUUCAAAUCGGCCAUCUCCUUUAUGUCUUUGCCGAAUACGAACCAUUGAUUAUGUAAAAGCUUCAAGGAAAAGGCUGUGCAGACGAAUUUGCCCCUUAAAAAGUUGAUUUCCGUCUCUCCUAACGGUACAAAUACAUAGAGUGACCAAAAUGGUACAAAUUUACUAGUUCGGUGACAUUUUGCGCUAAUAAAAGAGUGUAGUGACCAGAACCGGCACUUUGAAAUAGUUUCGUGACAUUUCGCGCAAUUCGCUCUUAAUGAAAAGAUGCUCUUUAGGGUAAAUGAUAUGUUUUGACAAUGUGGAUUACUUUUAAGGAUUUUAAUGAGAUUUAUAACACAUUUUUAUGCAUUUAAUCUAAUUCACAUUUUUAUUUCAUUUGAAAUAUAAAGGGACCAUAUUGAUUAAAUUUUCAAAUAUAAGGGACCAAAAAAUAUAAAGUCAAACUUUUGACUAAUUUUAACUUGAUUUUGACAGUUAGAUAUUGUAGUUUUCUAUUAAUUGUCCUCAGUUUGCCUAAAAUAAAAAAUUUGGGACCAUAUUUUAUUUGGUCAAAAUAUCAGGAACUAGUUUAACUCAUAAACCAAAUGUUGGGGGACCAAAAUUGCACAUCUUCCUUUAUUUUAAUUAUGUUUGAUAUCCUAACUCUUCAUUUCAUAUUUAUGCUUCAAUUAUUUCAAAUAUCAAACUCAAUUAAAAAAAUAAAAACUACUACAAUAUUUGUUUUGGCAUGUACAAAAUUCACUAAAUAAUGUUAAAAAUUUCACCUAUUUUCUAUUACAAUAAUUUCGUCUAUCAUUUCAUACAUUUGUUUUCCACAUUUCUUUGACAUUCACUUUUUCGCUCUUUACUAUUCAUUGGGAACUGUAUCUCGGUUGAAGUGUUCACAAAAUAUUUUCUAAGUAAUAGACAUUAGAUGAUGAACAAAUUUUUAAGAGGGCUUUUAUUGCAAUUUUAAAAUUUAUUGCAUUGUUUCAUUCAAGCACAACCGACUUUCUCUUGUGCUCGGUACAUUAUUUCUCUGCCUGUCUUUGUGUGUCCCCAUAGAACACAGUUGGUCUCCUUGCAUUGCUUCUGCCUACUAUGGGCAGAAAAGUGAAUUUUUCACCAUAAACAUAACCCUAGUUUGUGAAUGUCCUAUUUAACACCACAUAUGAAUCUGUGUUUGUUGUGUUGUUUAGUUUCUAGUGGUUCAAAAUAUCUUUACCAUAAAAAUGUCAGAAACUACUACACCAUUUUAUAUAAUUUACUUGAGACUACAAGAAGAGAAGAAUAAGGGGAGAGAAUAGACAAAAGACUACAAAAGUUCAUUUGUCUAUGCUCUAUAAUUCUUUUGCUUUAUUGUCUAGAAAUCUCUAGCUUUCACAUGCGUCCACUAUCUGAUAAAAAAUGACAAAACAUUCCUUUUUCAAUUCUUUCUUUCUUUUUCUGUUUUUCCUGAAUAUUUCUUGCUGCUAACCAUUACGGAUCCCUGGAUUAUUUCUAGAGUAUCACUACUCUAUCUUGAGCUGUUUAUCUGUCAUUUCAUAAACUCAUUAAAUUGGCUAGCAUUUCUGGGCAUAUGGUAUUAGUGUUUUCAUUUAGACAUGCAAUCCUAAUCGAACGACAAUGCUUAUGGCCCUCCCAUCUACUAUUUUCAUUAACGAAACAAGAAACUGGUGGUCUGUCACGUAUCUAAGUACGGCAGAAAAAGCUUAUUAUAAUUGCUAGCAUAUGUACUUUCACGCACAAAAGGAAAAAGAAAAAAAAUUAAGCCAACAAAAAUGUAAGCGCACUCCAGCAUUGCAAGCCAAAAAAGCCACUCCAGCAUUACAACAAUAACAGUCUCCAAGACCAGAGUACUUGUUCAUCUAUUGUAAUAUCCCAAUUAGAAGCCAUUACAAGUCUGUUGUGUCGGUUGUUAGUCAUGGAAUCCACGUAAGCAAUUGUAUAGAUAGUGACCGACAUAUAGUAGUGACCGACAAUUGCUUUGUAUAAAUAAGGGAAUUAGAGAAAGGCUUGAUAGUUGAUUCUUGAUGUAACUACUUCUUAUCCUCUCAAUAAAAAUUCUCUCUCUUCUUACCCAAUUUCUUCUUCUUUCCCUUUUCUCUUUCUUCAACCCUCCAUCGAGUCAUUACAAGAUGGUAUCAGAGCUACCUUUUCUCGGCCUGAUCUGAGGUAGGUAGUUCCACUAUGGCGGAAGGAACUAGAUUGAAAGGUCUAGAGGAACAACUCAAAAGGCAGGAAAUCAGAACCUAAGGAAUAAUAGAUAGCUGGAUUGCGGCAGAGAAGCAAUUGAGGGAUGUGAUGGCGGCUGAUCGGCAACAUUUGGAAGAGAAAAUCGAAUCUUCCAACAAUGAAUUGAAGAACUUAAUUGCAGCUCUAUCCAAUCAAUUCGGAGCUACGAUGAGGACGGUUCAUGGUGAUAGAGGAAUUUUGCAGACAUCUAUAGGGUAUUCAGACAAGCAAAAUCACUUGGGGCAUACCGAAGAAAAUUUCGGAGGAAAUAGGCAGUUUUUGCAAUUGGCCAUUCCAAGAAUGGAAUUCAUAGUCAUUGAUGGAGGAAACCUGAGGGAAUGGAUCCGAAAAAGUCAAAAAUAUUUCCAUACAUUCCAUAUUCCCGAUUCUCAGAAGAUGGAUAUGGUAGAGAUAUUCUUGGAAGGAAAGGCAGACAUUUGGUAUUAGGGGUUCAAAAUCAGCAGGGGAGUGACCAAUUGGGAAAAUUUUACUGUGGAACUCAUUAAAAGGUUCGAAAACGUGAAGCAAAUGGAUCUUGUGGAAGAAUUUAACAAGCUGCAACAAACUUCCACCGUCCAAGCAUAUCAGGAGAAGUUUGAGGAAUUGAUGGCCGAAGUGGUGAUUGUGGCACCAUCCCUUCCAGAGUCUUUUUACAUUUCCUGUUUUCUUAGCGAAUUGAACGAUGAGAUCAGGUCGACGGUAAAGAUACAUGACAUAGGUUCUUUGAGUGAAGUCUUUAAAAAAGCUAAACUCCAAGAAUCUGCAAAUAAGGCUUAUGCCAAGAAGUAUAGGCCCAGUAGCAAAAUUGCUACUUUCCCAUCAACGAGCAGUAGGGGAAGGAAUUUCAAAGGCGGGGGAGCCUCAACUCUAUCGGGUGACCCAAACAGGAAAUCGGAACCAUUUUCUUUUAAGAAAAUCACCCUAGCAGAGAUUCAACAUAGGAGGGCAAAGGGGUUAUGUUUCAGAUGUGGCGAGAAGUACGCUCCUAAUCAUAAAUGUGGGAAUAAGGAGGUGCACUUGCUGGUGGUGGAUGAGGUUGUUGAGACAGUAGGAGGAAAUGAUUGAGGAAGAGAUUAAAUACCAAGGAAGGAAAACUGAAAAUCAUGUUGAACUCACCCUACACUCUAUUCCAGGAAUUAUGGUGCAAAACACCAUCAAGGUGCGAGGAGAUUGGUUGGGCAAUAAGGUUUCAAUCCUGGUAGAUAGGGGCAGUUCCCAUAGUUUUAUUAAGGCUUCAGUAGCCUUUCAACAUCCUGAGUUGAUCAGGAAAAUUAAGCCCUUUAGGGUGAAGGUUGUAACAUCCCGAAUAUUAGGAGGUUGGUUAUGAAGAAAAUAUUAAAGUGCAUUUCUUUGGGUUGAUUUAAAACCUAAUUUUGUUUUAAAAAGACUAGAAACCCUAAUAUUGUAGCCCAAAACCCUAGUUUACUUGUGACUAACCGGUUUUCCUAAAUCUCUCAUAUUUUAAUUGAAACCCUAAUUUUAAAUUACUGGAAUUGGAAAAUUCCUCACGUUUUCUUAAAAAUUUCUUUUUAUUUGAAAAUUAUCAUUUAUUAAAACCCUACUAUCCAAUUAUUCCAUGAUAAGUGUAAAUAAACCUAGAAAAUAAGGUUUUAUUCUUCGGUUUCAAGUUUGGAGCAAAAUUAGGGUUUUCGCGAUUUUCUGCCGGAUGAAUUUUCGGUACGAAGCAAGGACCAAAUUGGGUGAUUAAAAGUGACUUUUAAGUGAGAAAUAAUAUGUGAGUAGUAGCAAUGAUAUAAGGUUAGUGAAUGAGAAGUAAAAACCCUAGUACGUGAGUUUUAAGAAAAACGGCGCGAACCGGCGGGUCCCGCGCAUUACCGAUUGAACGCACUGCUUGACCACCAUUUUUCUUACCCAACAAGUUUGUUGACUUUGUACAUAAUAUCUUCUUAUAUUGUAGCAGCCUUGACCGAAAUUAGUGGCCAAGAAAGGCAAGAAAGAAAGAGAAAAAGAAAGGGUGGUGGUGGUGACACUUGUCACCACCUCAUGGCUUCUUAACCAAGACCAUUAGUAACCAUUUAAAUCCAACACUUAGCAAUUUCUUCUUCAUUUCUGCUGGGCUGGCUGAGAACAACAAGGAGAGAAACUCCAAAGGAAAAUCUUUCAUUUCAUCUCCAAAUCCAACAAAUAAGUGAGGAAUCGAGCAAAGUAAACCGAUUAAACUUGUUUUCUAGUGACUAGCUAGUGAGUUGUGGAGUGAUUCUUGAGGGGGAGAGCUUGUGCUACUCUUGGUGACUUUUAUUCAAGGUAAGAGAGUUUAUCUCUCCAAGUUUUACUUCUAAUCUUGUUAUAUUAAGCCUAGUAACUUGAUUUUAUGGUGAGAUUAUGGAUGAUGAGCAUGUUUUAGUAGUUUUCCCCAAUUUAUUUGAUGCACUAGGGCUUAUGGAAAUUCUGCCCAAAUGAUUGUAUGAUGUUUAUAUGUUGCAAUUGAGGUGUUAUAUGGUGUUUUGGUAGUGAUUGGACCAAGAAAUUGAGGAAAGAUUCACUAGAAACUUAAAAUUUCCAAAAUCUGGAAAAUGGUCUUAACAUUCUGUCCGAAUUUUUAUCUAUAUGUUAGAGGCUGUUUUGGCCUUAGGUCAAAGAAUAAAAGUUGUAGAAUGACAUUUUAUAGGUGCCUACAAAAUUUCAGCUCAAACGGAGCAACGCAGAACGUGAAAAGUCCAAAAUACCCCUACUGUUUUAAGAAUUUCCCAGCAGUCCGUUUCUUCAGUUCAGUCCAGUUUAUCACGAUUUUUGACCAGGAUCCAUUCUGAUUUAGCUCUGGGCCAAAACAUAAAAGUUGUAGUGUUCUGAAGUAGCUUUAAAAUGCCUCAAAGAAAACCUGAUUCGGACUUGUGUGCACUGAGUUAUGUCCAUUACAGUGUUCUGCGUUUAAACAGCCGGUGAAUUGGUUUCUGGUUUAGUAAUCUGAGAUUUUGACUAAGUUACAUUAGGAAAUGGACUAAGUGACCUUCAUGAAUGUUGUAGCUUUGUGUCUUAGCUUCGAAACGGCAUAGGUUUCGCCUUAAUCCGAUAAGCGUAGCCUCGGACAAGUUAUUUCCGCUUUUAUACGUCAAAUCUGUCUUGUGCCACAUUGAAUUUCUGCACUUGUACUUGAUGCAAUUCUUGUUGUUAUGAUAUUGUGAGCCUAGGGAACGGCUCUUGGCUUGAAUUGUUUUAUGUGUGAUGUUGGGUUGUUGUUGAGAAAACAAUGAAGCCUAAAAGGCUGGAAAAUUAGGUAAACACAAAGGGCAUGCUGCCCAAAUUUACGCUCGAAGACUAGAGAACUACUUGCAACUUGAGUAAGGGUUAAGAGUGAUUAUUGCUUGAACCGUCUAGGGUACUUAAGUCUUCUUGUCCCAAGAUAUAUAAAUAAGGACUUGGCCGAACUUGUACCCUUGAGAAAUGAAAUAAUGAUUGCUCAAAGUACGUUUUCCUUGUACUUUCGACUCGCAUGACCAUUUCAAGUAUAAAUGUUACAAAGUUUUAUCAUUUAAAAAGUGAGCGAGUAUUUCACGAGUAUUCUCCAAGUGAAUUUCCAUUUCUUGAUUCUUAUUGAACGAAACGUAUAAGUUUCGAAUUCUAGUCAUGUUUCAAAGUUCUCAAACUAAGUUUUAUCGCAGAUUUUGAACUCCGAACCCGGAGUAUAACCUGAAAGUGACCAGUGAAGGCACUAUAUCUUUUGGUGAGUGCUUUCAAAUACCGAAUUGAACUUGAUACUUGAACUUGAUAUGUGACCAAUAUGAUUACCUGUUAUAUACGUGAAUUGUUAGGGCAAGAGUGUACUUUAUCGCACUUGCCCUUACAUGAUAUACACUUGUUUAUGGUUGCAAUUGACUUGACAUACUUGUUAUGAUGCCGCGCACUCCCUGGAAUUCCAGAAACCCUGUGGCGAGUUACUCUAGUCGAGCCGGCAAGGGCUUGGUCGAUUGGGUAACGAACCCUGGGUCUCUUGUAUUGUCGAGUGGAGUGAUAUCUUCUCGACUAAUCGGUAUACUCGAGUAUUACCACCCGUCUUUCUUGAGGAUUUUGGGCCCAGCUGGGGGUUUGAACGGUGGACGGAGAGUCGUGUAAGUGGUGUUCUACUGGAUUGGUUACUUACUUGAAAGUUGACGGAGUGUCAACUACUACGUGAUCAAGCUUCUGGUAAUGCAAUGGGAAUUUGGCUCCUGAGAGCCAUCCGUAUCCUUAUACUUUGGAGUGAUUAUUGUUUAUUGGAUUAUUGUUUCUUUUGAAAAACUUCUACACUCGCUCAUUUUAAGAUUGCUACUUGACGUGUUAUUGCUCACAUUUAUGAACUCUUCGUGCUCGUUACUUUGCUAUAUCGAAAACUUGUACUUAUAAAUAAUGGUCAAUUUGCUAUUUGGAACGUCACUGGCCUUUUAGCUCAUACCACCUAUUUGUUUUCCUUACAGGGGGUACGAGUGACGCGUGAGACUUGUAAAAGACUAGCGUAGCCUUUUGUUUUGACUUUUGACUUUUGGUCUUGUACUCGCGCUAUUCCUCGAAUGGAACAUGUUGUACUUGGAUUGUAUAGGUUUUGAACUAGUUUGGUGUAAUGAGGCUUUGUACCUCGAUUUCUAUCAAUGUAAAUUAUAAGCUUGAAUUGCGGAUAUUAUUUAUGGUUCAUGGAUGUGUGUACAUGACUCGAUUGAGAUAGUGAGUGAGUCCUGGCGAGAGCUGGGCAGGCGCUCCGCCGAACCCUUUGGUACGCCUUAGGGGGAGGUGGGAUCGUCACAAAGGUAGCUAAUAGAGAUAAUUUAUUGUGUAAUAAACGGAUACCACAGUUGCAAUGGGAAAUGCAGGGCCAUAAAUUCUCACAUGAUUUCUACAUACUGGAUAUAGAACCUUAUGAUAUGAUCAUUGGUGUUGAUUGGAUGAAAGCACGCAGCCCUCUUACUUUUGAUUUCAAGAAAUUACAAUUAGUCUUUGAUAAGGAACAGGAAUUGGUUACCUUGCAAGGAGAUUUAGAGACUGCUGGUGUGACAUUGCAUAAGGGGGACAGAGCAUCCAGGAUCCAUAACAGGCAUAGGCGGCAACUUUAUGAUCCAUGCACCUUUCUACUGAGUACUGGCAGUGAGACAGCUAACAAUCAUCAGGUAAUUCUUGAGGCCAUUACUACUCUCUUGACUCAAUUUGAUGAUGUGUUUGAAAAACCUCGCUCCUUACCUCCCUCCAGAGAAUUUGAUCAUCAUAUUACACUAAUCUCUGAUUCUAAACCCUUUAAACUAGCCCCCUAUAGAUAUCCCCACAUGCAAAAAUCUGAGAUAGAAAAACGAACAGCCUCCAUGUUAGAAUCUGCGAUUAUUAGAGCCAGCCACAACCCUUACGCUUCCCCAGUGCUAAUAGUUCGGAAAAAAAGAUGGCACUUGGAGAUUAUGCAUUGACAAUAGAUAGCUCAACAACAUCAUAGUGAAAGACAAGUUUCCUAUACCUAUUAUAGAUGACCUCUUGAAUGAAUUGUUUGGAGCCAAAUUUUUUACAAAAAUUGAUCUUCGUACCGAUUAUCACCAAAUACGAAUGAAACUAGAAGAUAUUCCUAAAACAACUUUUCGUACUCACCAAGGGCAUUAUGAAUUCUUGGUAAUGCCUUUGGGCUUACCAAUGUUCCAGCCACCUUUCAAGCUCUCAUGAACUCCAUUUUUGCUCCUAUCUCAGAAAAUUCAUAUUAGUCUUUUUGACAACAUACUCGUAUAUAGUCCAGUCCCACCUUAAACACCUCAAAACAGCCUUAAAAAAUCUUAAGAACCCACCAACUUUAUGCUAAACUCUCCAAAUGCUUAUUCGAUUGUACUCAAGUAGAGUAUCUUGGCCACAUAGUUAUUGUGAUGGUGUCAUACUGCUGACCCUGCCAAAACUCAAUGUAUGAGAGAUUGGCCCAUACCACAGGACAUCAAAGCAUUGAGGGGAUUUCUCGGCUUGAUAGGGUAUUAUCGGAGGUUCGUUAGAGAGUAUGGUGAAAUUGCAAAACCUCUAACGGAUCUCCUAAAGAAGGACGGCUUUUGCUGGAAUGAUGAGGCAGCACUAGCAUUUGAAAAGCUGAAAUUGGCCAUAUGCUCUGUUCCAGUACUGGCUCUACCUGAUUUCUCCAAACCUUUUGUGUUAGAGACAGAUGCUAGCACUAAAGCCAUAGGGGCAAUCUUCAUGCAACAGAGAAGGCCCAUUUCAUUCCUGAGCCAGGUGUUGGGACCGAAGAAUCAGGGGCUUUCUAUAUAUGAGAAGAGCUAUUGUCUUUAAUCACUGCAAUGACAAAAUGGAGACAUUAUCUGCUGGGGUCUCAUUUUGUUAUCAAAAUUGACCAUGAGAGCCUCAAAUACCUAUUGGAACAGAAGAUUUCCACUCCUUUGCAGCAAAAAUGGCUUACCAAGCUAUUAGGAAUGGAUUAUGAGAUACAGUUCAAGAGGGGCAAAGAGAAUGUGGUAGCUGAUACCCUCUCUAGGAGAAUUUCUGAGGGAGAUCCUCUGGUUAAGAGGAAGGAAAAUGUUGCUGCUAUAUCGGCCUUGUCAGCGGUCAAACUAGCGUGGCUAUCUGAAGUCUCUGGUUCAUAUACGGGGGAUAACAAGACUACUUCCUUGUUGAUGGAUCUGGCUACAAAAGCAGUGGAUAUACCUGAGUAUUCUUAUAAGGAUGGCAUUAUCAAAUAUAAAGGGAGGAUAUAUGUUGGAGAAAGCAAUGGAUUAAGAGCAAAGCUACUGGAAUACAUGCAUGCGUCCAUGGUGGGUGGUCAUUCUGGUAUGUUGGGGACUUAUCAAAGAAUGAAGGAUUUCUUUUAUUGGCUUGGUCUAAAAAAGUCAGUAGAAGCAUUUGUACAAAAAUGUGAUACUUGCAAGAGGAACAAAAAUGAGCAUUGCAAGCCUCCUGGAUUGCUACAGCCCCUACCAAUUCCAGAGCAAGCUUGGCAAGAUGUGUCAAUGGAUUUUGUAGAAGGAUUGCCAAAAUCCUUAGGGUCGGAUGUGAUCUUGGUAGUAGUGAAUAGGUUCACUAAGUACAGCCAUUUUCUGCCCUUAACUGCUCACUAUACUGCCAAAAGUGUGGCCCAACUAUAUUUUGAUCAAAUCCACAGAUUACAUGGACUCCCUAGGAGCUUGGUGACUGACAGAGAUAAGGUUUUUACCAGUAUUUUUUGGUAGGAGUUGUUUACGAAAUUGGGGACUAGGUUAAAUCUCUCUACGGCCAAUCAUCCAGAAUCUGACAGACAGACAGAAAGAGUGAACCGUUGCCUUGAGACCUACUUAAGAUGCAUGUGUUUCUAUCAACCUCACAAGUGGAAGCAGUUCUUAGCAGCUGCUGAGUGGUGGUUUAAUACCAACUAUCACACCUCACUGAAGAUGACUCCCUUCCAAGCCCUAUACGGGUACCCUCCACUUCAAUUGGCCAUUUCACCUAGUACGUCAGUAGUGGCUGUUGUUGAUGAUUGUGUAAAGAAAGACAACAGUUAAAUAUUGUGCUUUGAGAGAAUUUACUUAAAGCACAUAAUCGGAUCAAACAAUUGGCUGAUAUAAACAGGACUGACAGGAGUUUUGAGAUUGGGGACUAAGUUUACCUUAAACUACAACCUUAUAGGCAGAGCUCGGCUGCUAUAAGGAAGAAUUUAAACUUUCCGCUAAGUACUAUGGACCCUAUGAGAUCCUACAAAAAGUGGGGACUGUAGCUUACAAACUAAAAUUGCUAGAGAACUCUUUGAUUCAUCCAGUAUUUCAUGUUUUCAUGUUAAAGAAGUCCACUAAAAGAGCUGCAGUAAAGGGCCUGCUACCUCAAGUGAUAGAUAAAAAUGCUGGGAAGGUAUUACCCUUAGCUAUUCUCGAUCAGAGGAUGGUUAACAAGAGGGAACGUUCUGCAAAACAAGUACUAGUGCAUUGGAAUGGGAUGACAGCAGAGGAUUCUACCUGGGAAGAUUGGGUCACUUUCGAUGUUCAAUUUCCAGAAUUUGCUAAAGUUAAUCCUAGAGACUAGGAUUGUUUUAGGAGAAGGCAGUUGUAACAUCCCAAUUAGAUGCUAUUACAAGUCUGUUGUGUCGGUGGUUAGUCAUGGAAUCCACGUAAACAAUUGUAUAGAUAGUGACCGACAUAUAGUAGUGACCGAUAAUUACUUUGUAUGAAUAAGGGAAUUAGAGAAAGGCCUGAUAGUUGAUUCUUGAUGUAACUACUACUUAUCCUCUCAAUAAAAAUUCUCUCUCUUCUCACCCAAUUUCUUCUUCUUUCCCUUUUCUCUUUCUUCAACCCCCACCGAGUCAUUACAUCUAUCCAGCCGAUAUUAACAACUUAAAUUAUCAAAAGCAACAACGGCCUAUCAAAAUGAUUAAUACAUAUUUGUUAAUAACGGUAGGACAUCAAUCCAAGCCCCAUUUUGGCAAUGCACAUUUCCUUCUUGGUCAGCUCCAGCUCUUUCUCCUGCUGCUCCUUCAGUAUCUCAAGAACAUGCUUCGCCUCACACCUUCUGCACUCCCUUCUUCUUUUCUCCUGCUGCUACUUGUAUAGUCUCUCAAGAAAACACUUAGCCAAACUAUUCUGCAACUUUGUGAGAUCAAAUUAAUGUAAGGUUAAGUCGGCCAACCAUAUCCCACGAACAUCCGUUACCAUACGGAUAAACUUCUUUCUUCCAGUAGUUGAUAAAUAAUCAAAAUAAACAACCCACUCGGCUUUGUGGCCAAGGCAAUUUGAAGGGUGCAAUUUAACUAUUUGAUUGACAGUCAGUCAAGUAGUAGCCAGUUGGGUGCUCUAAGCGAGCCAUCUGCGUGACAUAGCCAGCUAACAUGGCUUUUCUAAUGUUGAUAUAAUAGUCAGGGUUGUUCACGUCUGUGCUACAUAACUUAAGUCCAGACCUGACCAUGAUGCGAGAUAGGUGCUCUCUUGCACUUUCAGCAUCUACAAGUACUCUGCGAUUUAUAAAAUUUCUUUCACACCAAAACAGGUCCUCCUUGUUCUGCCUGUAUCCAUUAUAAACAUUUAACAGCAUGAGAUGAUCCUCAUCACCAUGAGGGAAGCAAGCUCUUGCAUCAUCAGCAGCAAUUUAAGCCUCCUGAGGCCGGAUAAAGCAAUUUGGAACCAGAAGCAUGGCAGAAACAGAGAGAGGUUCAUUGGAGCAGUAAAAACCUAAGCUGAUAACAAGCAUUUUAGCCAUAUAUGGAUCCACGAGAAAUUCACUCAAAAUCUCACCCAGUCUGGUCAUGUUCCUAUCAUUAUCCAAGGCAUUCAAGUACUUCAAUACCUCCAUUACGCUCAGUAAUGACUCCCGGGUUGAAGGGUCCAUGAAAUUAAAAUGGACUAUGUCAUCUAUCCCAAGUUUCUUCAAAGUAAGAACAAUGCUUACCAGAUUAGAUCGAGUUAUUUCUGGUGUUGUAUGUGGCUCGAGGUCAUUGUGAAAGUUUUUCUCUAUGUAGAGCCUAAAACAUUUCCUGGUUGUGUUCUUCCAGCACAACUGGAUCUUUGGUGAGCACUUGUCUUUGAUAUCCAAGAAACAAGGUACUCUGUGCCUAUUCGAGGGCGUACUUUUUGCUUGGAGAAAUCCAAAUCUACAACAUAAACUAUCCCAUCUAUGGCCAAAGAAAUUUCAGCAAUAUUUGCAGAGAUAACAAUCUUCCUUCCAGCAGCACCACCUUUCAGCAGUGAAGCAGGAGCAGGUUCAAAGACAUCCUGUUGCAUGGCCAGAGGAAGUGUAGAGCAAACAGGAACAACUUUUACAGGUCCAACCUGACUUCCUAAAUUUACCAUUUCCAAGGCAAUCCUACGACAAACAUCUUAAAUCUCCUCUUCUUCCUCAUUGAGAAAAACAAGUAUGUCUCCAGGGGGUUCAAAACUAUGAAUCUGCGAAAGAGUCUGAAUAACUGCCUCCAGGUGAUUAGUUUCAGGUUGUUGCUCCUGAAGUGAGUAGACGAUAUCUGCAGGGUGAAGCCUUUGAGGGACUUCCACGACAGAUGCACCACAAAAAUACCCUCUAAACUUUUCAGCUUCGUGAUUAGUGGCACUCAUAACCACUAGCUUGAGAUCAUCGGUCUUUUUUUCAGCAGUUUCUUAAGUAGCGCAAGGAGAACAUCUAUUUCCAGCGUUCGUUGGUGGGCCUCAUCAAAAAUGAUCACUUUGUACCUUUCCAGCAUUGGAUCUGUCAUAGCCUCUCUCAGAAGCAUAACAUCUGUUAAGUAGUUCAAAACAGUAGUUGCACUAGUGUAGUCUUCAAACGAACAGAGUAAUCAACUUCCUCUCCAAGGGUCAUAUCCAUCUCUUUAGCAACUCGUUGAGAAGCAAACAUCGCAGCAACCCUUUGAGGCUGGGUGCAGCCAAUCAUGUACUUGCUCCCCUGACUCUCUGAGGUGGUGGUCUGGGUAUCAUUAGUAACAGCCUCCAGCACAAAUUGAGAAACCUGUACGAGAGAAGUGGAUAAGAAACAAAUAUACUAGUAGGUCCUAAAGCACAAAAAGCUCAACUAACGUAGACAUGCAUAUUAGGGAGCUGAACAAAGAAAAAAAAAUGCCAGUACUUUGCAGAUUAGGAAAAAUAGCCGACACCAACAAAACAAAGGAAAACAACAAAACCUAAUGAGGGGUCCAAUUCUAGCUCGUUACCAAUCACAAACUCUAUAGAUGGCUCCCAACAACACAACAAGCCAACCAUACAAGAGUCAGUAAAUCAUGUAAUGCUAUUGACCCAACCAAUCGAACUUACGGGACCGUAUAUACACAGUCCUAUAGGCCAGUAGGUAGAGGAUUAAAGAACCAGAAGGCUGAGGUAGAGUCAAAAAAUUAACUCGAUCGCAGAAUCCUUGAAAGAAAGACAUAACACUAAGGUCUGCAAUAUAAAGUAGUAAAAAUCUAGAUAACCGAGAGCUAGACAGAGACAUACUUGGGUGGAUUUGCCGCUACUAGGUUCAGUGACCAAGAUUAGGGCUUGAUGUCGUGUAAAGACCUUCAGGAACUCAUCCUUGUGCUGCCAAAUUGGGAGAUUACCCCUCUUCCCCAGAACCUCAUUGUGCAGGCCCCACCUACUGCAUCUCCGGCCAAAGUUUCUAGUCGCCUCCGCCACGUGUCCACCCUCGCCGACCAACUUCGCAAGUUCAAUUUCCGUCCCAAUUUCCAUCUGAUACAAACACGCCCCUAAAAUCCUUAAUAGGUAGAGAGAAUAAAUUGAUGACUCUUGAUCAGCAAUAGAUGACUGACCAUAUUCAAUUACUAAUUUUGGAGACAAAACCUAAUUUCUACUACAAUGAUAAGAAGGUUACAGAAAAAGAUAUAUGUAUAUAUACAGGGUAGUGAAGUUCUUGAGUCCUAGAAGGGAUAAGGUUCAUCCACCGAUUUAAUUUUCAACCUGGAAGAGAACGUGAAAAUUUCGGAGAAGUACAGAAACUCGACAAACAUGCCAUUUUCUGAAAGACAACGAGGAAAAAAAUGGAAAAUUGCAGCGCUUAAUCUGGGCUUCGACAGCCAAGUCACACUGGUUCCAAAUAGAACACGCCUACCGAUUCAUUCAAUCAGCUACCCAUGUGUUGUUAAUUGGACCGACCUAAAAGUUAUGGACUUUGUUGUUGUGCCCAAUUACUCCUGUUGCUGUUCCAUUUUCUCAGCCCCUUUUUGGUGGAAAAGAAAAUUUGGUCGAAAUAAGUCCAAGGCAAUAGCAUUUAGUCUGUGAACCAAACAAACCCAUAAAAUUUGAUGUUAAUGGUGGGCAAUUUUAGAACUCCUAUCUAUAUCUUCAGUCGUAAGGGUAAAGUGGUCCAAUUAUUUUGAAAAAUGAAUCGCUUUCUAAAUUAGAAUAUUUUUUAUUUGCAUUCAAAUUACCCUACUAUUCAUAACUAUUUCACUUUUCCGUUUCUCAAUUCCAUGCUAUAAUUCCUAUACAAUUUUAAUUCCGAACUCUUCACAAUUUUUUUUUUUACUUUCUACAAUCUUGAAUCUCCUUCCAUUUUGUUAUCACGUACAAAAUGUUUUAAGGGUAAUAAUUGUUAUCGUAUGCAUUCAAAUUCACAUAGUGGGUUGAGUGCGAUUUAGACAUAUUAAUGAUUAACUAUUACACACCUAUUAAAAAAAUAUCCAUUAUGAUACAUUUCCACAAGUAAUAAAUUCAUUCUAAAUAAAUAUCUAUCGUAGUAAGGAGGUUAUAAAACAAUUGUUCUAAUUAAUUAGUAAAAGAUUUGUCUCAGUUCAUUUAUAGUUUCUUAACUGCAUUUUGGCCCCAAUAGUAUGUUAGUCUAAAAAAUUCUCUAUCCAAACAAAAUCAAAAGGGACGUCCCUAACUUUUUUAAAAAGUUGGAGUUAAUCGAGUGUGUUUGGAUAGAGUACUAUUUAAAAUAAUUAUUGUAAUAUUUUUUAUGAUAUGAUAUAUGUAAAAUGAAAAGAUAGUUAAAAAAUAUAAAAAAAGAUAAGUUAAAAAAUAUAUUUAUAAUUUAAGCGAAAUAUUAUUUAAAAAAAAUUUAGCUUUCUGAAUUAUUAUUAGCUACCCGUCUACUUUUCUUUUCUUCUUCUUUUCUUUUUGAUUUGUCAAAAUCUAGACUUUUUUUUUUUUUUUUUUUUGUUGUUUUGAAGGAAUCAAACGCUAGACUUGAACAGAGAAUGGAUCAAGUAGUCCAAUUCCAACUUGCAAUUAAAGUGUAUGAUGGGACAACAAAACGUCACCUGCUUUGACAACCCCACUUGUAUUGGUCGAUGAAACAUAAAACUUACUGCCAAGUGCCACUGCCAACCAACCCAAUCCGGCAAACCUAUGUUUUCAGAACCGGACCGGAUAGCGACUCGGCCGAGGUCAGGGGUCAGGGGUCAAUGGGUUCGACCGGGGGUCGAUAGGGGUCGAACCGGAUGACGUCAUAAAUAAAAAUUAUUUUAAAAUUAAAAUGUUAUAUAUAUAAUAUCUAAUAAUAUAUUGAUAUUAAUAAAGGCAUAUUCAUAUAUAUUUGAUGUUUCAAAUAUAUUUAACAAGAAAAUACAAAGAAAUUAGAACAAUCAAGUAGCAAUUUAUAUUAUUUAAUAAAUAUUAACAAGUUUAGAAUUAAAAUUAUGAAUUUAAUUGAAAAAUAACAUCAAAUUUUAGGACAAUAUUUAUAAAGUAUCAAAUAUUUGAGGUAUAUCAAUAAGUUUUAACAAUUUAGGGGGUCAAAACAUAAUAUUAAAAAGUUUGAAUUUUUUUUUUAAAAAAAUACUGUUGAACCGGAAAAACCGGUUUUUUCCCGGUCAAACCCGGUCAAACCCGGUUUUUGACCGGGUUUUAAAUUUCCGGUUUUCUAAUGUGACUCGGACCGGCUACCUGGCCGGUUCCCGGUUCAACCGGUUCGACCGGCCGGUCCGGUCCGAGUUUGAAAACAGAGCGGCAAACUAGUACAGAGUAUAGACAGCAGAAGGAGAAGGUCUGUAAUUAUUGCCCGUCUGAAAAGUCAACGGGGAAACUAAAUUGUGUAAACGUGUCCAGAACUUCAAAUUAUACAUUCAUCCCCGUCCCGGGAAACUUCUGAGUACAAUUCAAAACCAAAUUUAGUUGUCUAUCUUCGUUGUCUCCAUUCAUCUUCUCUUCUCAUUCUUAGCCGUUACUGUUGUUGGGUUCCGCUCAAAAUUUUCUAAAGAAGUACAGUAGUAUGGAGAGUAGAUUCUUGUCCUAAUUUGGAGUUGCAGGGAUUCUUGAUUCAAGUCUACAUGGGUUUGAUCUCGAAUUGCUGUUCUUGCUUGGCUAAAUUCCUGAGGCGGGGUGCCUCCUCCAAGGCCGACGAGGAUGACGCUGAUGAAGAAGCUGCAUCGGGUUUGUUUUUCCAGCACGGCUCUGCAGAUUGCUACCAAUUUCUUUUCUGAUUUAAACCGGCUCGGUCAUGGUGGCUUUGGCCCUGUUUACAAGGUAAGGUAAUCAUUAAUCAAGAAAUUCAGAUUUCCUCUUCAUUUAUCUUUGUGAAAUAGGAGAUUUCCUGCUUUUAAACAUACAUGUCAUUUUCUGUUCAGAGAUUUGUUAAUUUUCAUUCUUUUCGUGUUGUCCUAGCAGUGAAUUCCCAUAAUUAGUUCUUGUUAGACCUCUUUCAUGAUUAUUGUAGCACAUAUUUUUCUGCAUGCUUGGCAAAUUGGUUAUUUAGCUUCAUAAUUAUGACAUUGAUUCUGUCAUACUAUUUCCUGUGAUUCAUUAACUUCCUACGUUAAAUGUAACAAUCUUGGACAUGGAAUUGAGAUACAGUCAAGUGAAUACGUUGUUUGUCUAGUUAGGUUUUAGUACAGUACUAUAACCUCUAUUCAUUGUGAGUUGUUACACAUUUAAUGGUAGUCAAUUUCUCUUCCACUGAAUGUAUAAAUUUGUCUGCAGAUUUAUGCUAGUACCAUACAUAAUAGUGGACAAAGUCGAAAAAAAUUUACAGAAUAUGGAAUUCCCCACCAUUUUUAACCAGGGCAUGUUGGAUAUGUAUGUUUUCUGUUUGUGGUUGUUGUGACUUUCCCUGCCAUAUAUUCUUACUGGGUCAGAGUUUUAGGUACGUGGGUUAUGUACUUUGACCGUUGAAAAUAACAUGGAUUUGGUUGCACCUAAUGACAAAUUGAUAGAGUUUGGAUCAUUAUAGAGAUUUCAACUAGGUUGUAUUUGACCAGCCAGUAAAAAAUGUAACAAGUUAAUUUCUUUGGAACUUCUUCCACGACCUGCUUUGAAUUUGAACGAGGGUUUGACUAUAUAGAUCUAGCUUAUGACUAGUUCUUGUGCAGUUACAUUUUUUACGAUUAAAUUUUUUGCGCUCACAGCGAUAGUAGAAGAAAGCCAUGUCCUUGCUGUGGACCUGCCUCAGAUAUAGUUUCAGUUUAUGAAGCAUUUGUGAGGAGGCGAGAGAGUUCAAGCGUUUAUAAGGAGAUAGAAAACAAAAGAUCUUAAAUGGUAGCAAGCAUUUUCGUGCACUCUUUUUGUUGCCUUUCUACUUUAGUAGUUGCAAGGAACAGAAACGGGGAAACCUAAUUGAUAAACUUCCUGUCAAGAAUUUCUACAAGGGAGAAUCUAUUAUAUUGCCUUAAGAAAUAUUGCAGGACGAUCACAUUUGCCUGCAUAAGUAUAUGAAAAAAUUGACAUUUCUGAUGCGUUUCAACUCGAUUUGGGUUGAUUUGAACCAUGAGAUGAUAUUUGUAUAAGAGACAAGUAUGAAACAAUAUGAUACCAGAAUGUAGUUAAAGAGUCCUUUUCAGUUUUGAGUACCCGUUCUUUUUGCUGAUGGGACUAAUGGUUGGGUUUAUUUUUACAAUUAGGUUGAUUGAAGUGAACAACUUUGACUAAUCUAUUCUCAUUUUGUUGAUUAAGCCAUUGAACUAAACCACUCGUAUUGGUUUCUUCUUUUCCUUAAACAAGAGUCUCUUAGUCCUAAGUACAUCCUUUAAUUGAAUCUUCAUAAUUUCCCUCCACCUUCAGGGAUUGAUGCCAAAUGGUGAAGAAGUAGCUGUGAAGAAAUUAUCAUUGGACUCUAGACAAGGAGUAAGGGAAUUCGCUAAUGAAGUGAAACUUUUACUGAAAAUUCAGCAUAAAAACCUAGUCACAUUGCUGGGGUGUUGUAUAGAAGGACCUGAGAAGAUGCUUGUAUAUGAAUAUCUUCCAAAUAAGAGCCUUGACUUUUUCCUUUUUGGUAAAUAUCUUGUCCAUUUUAAGAAAUUUUAAUCAAACACUCCAUCCUCUCAAAGCAUUACAAAAGUUUGUAAGCUGGUGCUUUGCAGAUAAAGAGAAGUCUCCAUCCUUGGAUUGGACAAAAAGGCUGCAAAUAAUUACAGGUGUUGCAAGGGGGCUUCUCUAUCUACAUGAGGAAGCCCCUGAAAGGAUUAUCCACAGGGAUAUCAAAGCUAGUAAUAUAUUGUUGGAUGAUCAACUGAAUCCAAAGAUCUCAGAUUUUGGUCUGGCAAGACUUUUUCCGGGGGAUGACACCCAUUUGAAUACGUUUAGGAUAUCUGGUACUCAGUAAGUUUCCAAUUAUCUUUUCUGUUUAUUCUCCACUCAGUACCACUCACUGUCACUGAUAAAGUGUUGUCGGCAUAAUGUUCUGAGAACCUAGCAUCUCUAUCUAUCACUGCAGUGGUUAUAUGGCACCAGAAUAUGCACUGCAUGGAUAUUUAUCUGUGAAGACGGACGUUUUUAGCUUCGGUGUUUUGGUUUUGGAGAUGGUAAGUGGAAGGAAGAAUCUUGAUGGGCGGCUAGGAGCUGAAAAGGCGGACCUCUUAAACUAUGUAAGCAACGUUCCCAUGUUUAAGCAGUCAAAUGCUGAAUUGUUAGUCCACAUAGGAUUCAUGUGCUGAUAAUAGAAGUUUAAGAAUCUGAUCACUUGGUUCUUUUCCAGGCUUGGACACUUUAUCAAGCUGAGAAUGCAUUGGAAUUAGUUGAUGCAGGCCUUAACAAGUACAAUGCUGUUGAAGCAGCAAUGUGCAUCCAGUUGGGUUUGCUAUGUUGUCAAGCUAGUGUUGCAGAGAGGUUGGAUAUGAAUUCAGUUCACCUCACAUUGUCUAGUGACUCGUUUAGCCUACCCAGACCGGGAAAACCUGGGAUUCAAGGCCGUGUAGGACGGUUUUCUCAAACUGGUUCCACAGCUUUUACUGAUAAAACCAACACCAACGCCAACACCAACACCAACACUACCACCACACAUACUGGUGCCACCAAGGUUUCCUCAGCUAAUAGUUUUCUCGAGGAAUUUUCCAGGAAUUCAAUCUCCUAUUCUUCUCUGGACGAAGGCAGAUGAAAUAUGCGUGAGCUUUUUAUCAUUUUAUUUUUCCAGAAUAGACAGGAUAGCUUUUCUCCCUUCUUCCUCCUUUUUCCUCUCCCUCGCACCGCCUUUCGCGAUUUGUUUCCUUUUCGAGUUAUUUUGUAGAAUGUUAACAUUCAUUCUUUCUCAGUAUAUCCUCCCCCCCCCUCCCCUCCCCCUCCCCCAAAGUUCGUUGUUUGUAGUACUAGAAGAAGAUGUACAAUUAAUAUUUGAUGUUGUCUAGGAAAGAUGGCUUGUCCUCGGUUAAUUAUUUUAACUGAUUAUUAUAAAUUCUGAUUUUGGGUAAUAAAUUUUUUGUAAUGUUCUUGUUUACUUUUAUAUUUAGAUUAUAGUUAAAAAAAAUUAAAAUUCAUAAUCAACCGAUCAGUAGCUUUUGGUGAUUGUAAUUAUUCUCCCUAAUCACUUCUCAGAUUUUCCAAAAUUUAAAAGCAAACAAGAACAAGGCUAUGCUGAUCUGAUAUAUUACCUAGCUUUUGUAUGCUAAAUUAAAUUGUUCACCAAUAGUUACUUCUCAUCCAUGCAAAGGAAGAGUAACUAUGAAGUUCAAUAUUCCAGUUGUUCAACGUGUUUUCCUGAUCUCCUUCUAAUCAGAAGACUGCAACUGAUGCUAAGAAAAAGACUUUUUAAUGUUCGAAGUCACAACUUUCUACAGAUUACAAAUUUUUUUUUUUUUUUUUACACUUUCUAUUUUCAGCUGAAGUCUAUAUCAGCUCUUUGAUCUGAUAUUCUGAAAAUCAAUUUCCUCACUUUUGGAAGAUAAAUUAAAGUAAACAAUAAUAGUUUUCAUACAAUUUUUUAUUUACUUUUUAUUUUCAACUGAAGUCCAUGCCAGCUCUUUGGUUUGAUAUUCUGAAAAUCAACUUCCUCAAUUUUGGAAGACAAAAUAAAGUAUCCAGAUUUUAUUAUUAUUACGAUUAAAAUGGCAAGAUUUGGUCAAAUAACCCUUCAACAAAUGCUAGAAAUUGGCCGAAAACAGGACAAUUGAUGUAAUUUUCCUAGUUGGGCGGUGCAGCGGUCAGGAACACCGUUCCCGCUGCCCAUUUCGCGUCAGUACAAAAAAUAAUACGGCGUGUAUCUCUAGUUAGCUAGUUAGGAAUCUUUUCAAAGAAGAGAAAAUUGCAAUUUGGUAUCAUAUGUUUGGAGCAUCCACGAUUUUAGUCCUUAAAAUUUGGACAAAAGCAAAUGUAGUCCUAAAUGUGUCAGUUUGCAAGCACAUAUGGUUUCAGCAAAUUGUUACCAGAAUUUGAUCAUCUCAGUAGCAAGUGUCGGCUGCUAAAUUUUGAAACAAAAUUAGAAAAAAAGGAAAAGUACUGGUAGCCAUAAUCUAAAAUUAAAGGGCUCUAAUUAGUCACAUGCUGAAUAAUUAAUAUUUAUUCUUUAACCAUAUGACUACUCUACAUACUAGUAAUUAGUACUCUUUAAUUACAAAUUAUGAUCACUAAAAUUUUUCUUUUUGUUUUCUUUUUUAAAAUUCAAUUGCCGACACUUGCUACUCAUGUGGCCGAAUUCCAGUAACUGUUUGACAAAAUCAUAGGAAUUAAAACAUUUAAAACUAGUUUUGCUUUUGUCCAAACUUUAAGAACUAAAACUGCCAAUGUUCCAAACAUUUGAUACCAAAACUGCAAUUUUCUCUUUAAAAAAUGUAUUUCACUUUUUCAGCUCAACUCCCAAAAACACCCACUUCAAUAGAUCGUUCUUCAGUUUCCAAAUCUUCAAAAUCAAACAAAGGAAGCACAACUGACCAGUAUUUAGUUUGUAGGAGAAGCCCAGCUGGGCUUCUUCUCAAUUUGAAGAAUAUAGUUAUAUGCUUGGGUGCCGAUUGCUACGUACUAGAUUAAUACGAGCGCAGUAAAAGGAUUUUGUACUGAUAUUCAAUGGCCAAUUGGGAGUUGAAGCAUUGCUGCAACCAUGAGCAAGUGGUCUUCCUCACCUUUCUUGGUGUCUGUAGUGUUGUCAUCCUUGCUGUACUCAUCUCUCUCUCCCUCUCUGUUUCUCUACCUCACACACACACGAAAACGCAGGGUUGAUUCUUAAAUAUGCUGUGAAUGGAAUAAAGUUUAUUAAUUUGUUAAAAUGCACUUCAUUUUUGUGGUCCAUUUGAUGGGUUUCUUCUGAAAAAAAUGUAAAAAGGUUUAUACUUUAACCGUUUUUGUGCAUCUUUUGGCUAAAAAUUGUAGUCCAUUAACUGGUGUUUCAUGGCCUUCCUAAGAAUUAUUAUUACUUUAUCUGUCCUUGUUUAUCUAGUCAUUACAAUCAAUUAUCUAGUCCUUGUUUAUCAGUUUGUGAAUACUUUAUCUGGACUGCAGCUUUGGAGGACUGUAUUGAUGAUGCCGUUCAAACUUAUAACUGUCUUUAUUCACGAAGCUAGCCAUGCCAUUGCUUGCAAACUUACUUGUGGCCAUGUAAGAACUGAUUCUCUCUCUGUCAUAUUUUGAGUUUCGACUUGAAAGGAUACCCAAAAAUCUUGACCAUAGCGUGUAGAUUACUGAUUUGGCAACCUGGCAUUUGAGUACUAAGUGAAAGAUGGAUCCCAAAGUUCAUGGCAACUUGUUGCAGUAGUUACUUCGACCUUUUUGGCAACGCUGUGGUACAAUGUUACCAUGUUCAUCAUAUGAGGUUCCUGUGCUGGUCUAUAUAUGAUUUACCUGUAUGAGAAUAGUUGUGUGUGUUGCUAUUCAGGUGGAAGGGAUACAGGUUCAUGCUGAUGAAGGUGGCGCUACGCAUACACGUGGUGGAGUAUACUGGUUUAUCCUGCCUGCUGGAUGUAAUUCCUCUCAUAUUCUUGAUAACAUCUUCUAACUCGAAAAUUUAAGAUAUAGUCGUUGAUUAUGUAACAAUAUAAUGGAAUCAAAAUACGUUCUUUGGCUUCUACAGAUCUUGGUUCGUCAUUUUGGGGAAUGGUUUUGAUACUUGCUUCUACAAAUCUUCUUACAGCUAGAAUUGCUGCUGGAUGUUUAGCUGUAGCUUUAGUCAUUGUACUUUUUAUUGCAAAGAAUGUAAGAUUAAUGAUUUCAAUAAGUUUCUCUGUUAUGCAUAUGAUGCUGCAGCGGCUUUUGGACAUUGCAUGUUGCUCUUAGUUUCUAAGCCUAGAUCUGCAAAAUCUGCAUGGUGGGACUUUGCACCUGAAUGAGCUAAACUGGAGAAUGAAAAGCAUGUCUUAAUGGUAAUGAGAGAACAUUGUCUGAAUUGAUUUUAGGAAGAUAGGAAUGUUGUUUAUUUGCAUGUACAGUAAGCAGGAAGCUUGUUCAUUAAUGAAAUUUGUGAUCAUUCGUCUCGUUUGCUUAUGAUUGCCCUUUAGAGUCAUCCAACAUAUGUAAUCCACUAAUUAUGGCUAUUUUAUUGGUUAACAGUGGACACUUCGCGGGCUUUGUAUUGGUAAAACCUUUCAGAUCUGGCAGAUAUUCCAUCAUCUGGAACUUAAAAAAGUACUGAUCUUACUGAUAUCUUCGAUUCAAAUUAACAGGAUUUAUAGUUUUCAUUGCUAUUGUCUGGGUUCUGCAAGAAACAACAAGGAUUCGCAUUCUUCGGUACAUCAUCCUAUUCAUUGGUAUGUGUGUUUUCCUUGCAUUUCCUGCUUAAGAUAACUCAUGUAACUGCCCUAUCCUCCCCUGACCGUAGACACGCACAGAACUCAGAGAGAGACUUCUCCAUACUGUGGCGAUAUGACAUUUGAUUACUUUGUUUGGCAAAAUGCAGGUGUCAUGAACAGCUUGUUUUCCAUUUAUGGUAUGAUUUACACAUAUAGAAAACUCAUAACACGUGCACCAAAUGCUGGAUAAUUAUAGGUUCUCAUAUUGGAUUUUUGCAGACAUAUAUGGUGAUCUGAUAUCUCGUAGAGUCCACAUUAGUGAUGCUGAGAAGUUUGCUGAGGUGUGCCCAUGUCCUUGCAAUGGCGUUGGUUGGGGUGUCAUCUGGUGAGCAUAGUUGUUAGCACCCUGUAGGAACAUCAAUCAGAAGAUCUUUCUCCCUCACUAGUUUUAAAGUUUUUAGAUUGAUGUUACAUUGCUGACUUCAAUCAUUCAAAAAUUUCAUUUUCAGGGGAUUUAUUUCUUUGCUUUUUCUUUGUGCGGCUGCAUAUCUUGGUAUGGUGAUCCUGUCCUGAGGUAUGGCUAAAGCUCUAUAGAAGUUCUGAACACUUCACCAAAACUGCUUGCUACACAACAUAGACAUAAAACAAGUAAACAGGUGCAUAAUGCACACAUUGCAUUUACUGAUCAUAGAAUGCAGGAGAAAGUUUUAGAUAUCUUUUGUGCUUAUUCAUGUGCCAUGUUUCUAAUACUAUUUUGCUGGCUGGAUCUAUGCACACAUAUAUAGGCAGAGCUUAUUCCCUGCCAACAUUUGUAUUCACCAACUCUCCCAAAAGGUGCUAAUCCCCUUAGUAAAUUCCACUAACGUGAAAACACACUUUCUCCAAGGACAAGAGAAUGGGAGAAAAGCAGGGAUAGAAAGUUAGGGACCCUGCCAUUCAUAGGCAGAACUGUCAUGUUUCUGGGUUUUAUCUCCAUUUUGACAUGAGAUUUUCUCCUGCAGCCUUGUCAAACCAACCCUUUAUAGACGCAAGUGACAACUGUGAGACAAAGGAGCAACACGGGUGCACUUCCAUGAAACUGUACUAGUACAGGGUCAAUGCAGAUACAAGAUUCCAGAAUCAAGUUUAUACUCUUCUGGACCUCAUGAAGAAGCUCAAUAUCUGAUCUUUGAGGAACAUUCAUUGGAUACCGUAGCCGUGUUACAAAGUUAAUAUGCCAACAUUCUAGGGAACCACGAGUUGGUUGUUUGCCAAAUUGCUGUGCCUUGUAGCUUUCAUGAUGGAUUAUACUAAUUGUUUGACAUCAUAUGCCACGGGCUAGUUAUUAUCUCGUGUUUAUACAGAUGCAUAUUUAGAUGCAACUACAACAUAUUAUUAAGUCUCUCGUGCUCUUUAUCUUCCGAACUUAGCGUUUUGUCUCCAUACUAACGUAUUUGCUAAUUUGAAUAUUGGAAAAAUCAUGCCAUUUCGAUAAAAACUAAUGCAAGGCGAAGAAAUACAAGGGAUCAAAUGUAUCAAAGGAGAAGAAUUUUCUUUUUCUAACUUUGGGUGACAAGAAGAUCGCGAACUAAGACUCAGAACAGAACAAGGAACUUGAAAGUGACACCACUAGAAAACCUAGGGCAUUAAAUCUAGAUUGAGACUCUAUCAAAGACUUGGACAUCGGAUAUCAGAAUUUGCAGGCAUCUUGCAUGGAUAAUUUAAUAAAUUGACAAAUAAAGAUCCGAGAGGGCAUAAUAAUCUCAGCAGACAUUUUUGGCUUGAGAGCAGAACGAUACAGAUUGAGAACCAACAUUUCAUACUUUUCCACGAACAUCUUCCAUACAACACAAGCACUGUACCAUCCAAGUAUAUAAUGUUCAGCAGUGAGAGGUUUGCCUGACGAUUCCAUUGCAAAGAAUUGAAAAACUUCUUCAACCAUUCAGAAUCCCAGAACAACCGCUAUAUAUUGAAAAGAAAGAAAACUCGUUGGCAAGCGUCACAAGUUCAGCAUAUUCUAAAACAUAAAUUUGAGCAUCAAAAUUUCAAAAGAGUUGCACCAAGUAGGAUCUUAAAGAUCUACGCAAAAUAAUCUGGUACUAAAUCUAAGCUUCCGCCAUUGGGAACUCAAACACGACAUCUUUGCCAGAAAGCUUUCUGUAAACAGCAGCAAAGGUCUCUAGCUUGUAUUCUGUGUUGUUUCUUUCCUUGGGGUCCAAGAAAACCUGUCAAGAAAAGCAACAAAUAAGGGCUAAUCUUCUAAAUUUUGAUUAUUAAACAAACAUUAUACUGUACACCAUUACUGUGAACCAUACUCAUGCUCCACAAGAAGGAAAAGUGUCAAAAGAAGAAAAGACUUCAUAAAUAAAAAUCAGAAAGCCUCCAAAGUAGUGUCUUUAUGUCAUACUUUUUAGAGUAAAACGAAAGAUGCAUAUACACUUCAAGUCAAAGAAAAAUUAUGACAGUGACUACUUUUGACUGUCGUCAAUUGAGCAUCUAAUCCCACUACACCAAUUAACUUGAUCACUAAACAACCAAAAAACUGUACAGAGGUAUGCUAAUCAUUACCAAACACAUACCUUCAUUAUCUUAGAUCCAUCAAUGCGAUACCUAACACGCUUCCCAACAAUCUCAGCAGGGACAACAACAUCCUCUAGCAUGGCAUCAUGCACAGCAGUUAGAGUCCUGCUGCGGGGGCGCUGAACAGCAGAACCUUUCUUUGGGGCCUCAGAAUCCUACGGGUUGCAAUCAAAAUCACAUCCUAGAAGUCAUAGUUCACAGUUAGGACGCAUUACAGAAAGAGCUUCAAGUUAUGCACACACAAAUCAAAUGUUAUGGUUCAAUAAGCAACCCAGAAUGUUGUUCUUAUACAGUACAAACUACAAAGAGAGGGAGUUAUGAUAAGGACAGCCACUUCAGAAGCACUCCAAAUUUUACAAAUAUAGUAUAAUUAGAAAUAAAUGCUCGAACUCAUUAAUUAAUGCCCUCCACAACAAAACUUUUAUUAGUCAUAAAGCCUGAGCCAAAAUGUAAGCUCAGAAAGAUGUUUAAUCAGUUCAAUUCCCUGACCUAGGAAGGUCUCAUAAUGAGCUGGAAUUAACACUUAUCAUCAUUGCCACAUCAUAUGAUCUAGUGGAGAAGAGAAUUGUUCCCACAAAGGUAUCAUACGUAUGUUGAGCAGUGAACAUAUAUGCACAAGACAAUGUUCAAGGAAAUAUGUGACUCACUCUGAAUGACCUAAAAAUUUCAAGUAGAAAAAGAAAGGCAAAAUAAUACAGGUACCUUCCCACUGAACUUCUUCUCCAGCUCCCUGACAAGCCUAACGUGAAUCUUUCGGAAAGCUUUUCUCAGUCUGUAAGGCACAUGGAUUACAACAGCUUUCCUAUUUCCUGAGACAUCAAUUUGGCUGCAGAAAGACGACAAGGAAUUAAACAUCAGAACCAUUCAAAGGCCAAAUACCUUCAAGUGGCUGCAAAUAUUAAGCUAUUCUUACAUAGCUGAAUUGAUGUACAAAUCCUUCAAGUCACUUUUGAGCUCUUGGUUGGUGUUCUCCAAAUCAAACAAGGCCUGCAUUAGAAAGUUGUCAAAACCAGUAUGCCCAAAUGCACAACUAACAAAUUUGGCUUAGCAAAAAGCAAGAGAACCUGUGCCACAGACUCUUCAAAUUCUGAAGGUUCAGCAUCCUUAUCCUUGUGGAUCUUUUUCCUCGAUGUAUACAUCUUCACAGACCUAUUUGAAAUGAUUGAUUGCGAGUCACAAGUAUAUUCAAAUGGAGAAAAGAAAACCAGUAUAAAAGAAGGAAGGUCCAUUCUUGUUCAGAGACUAUGUAGGAAAAUAGUCAAAUAUUGCCUAACAGAAGCAUUCAUGGAAGCACAAAAACGAGCAAGUGGGUUUACUUUUGCAUUUAGCUUUAGCUCAUCUACAACUAGUCAAGAUAACUGAAUAACUCCAGAUGAAGAUGUACAAAAAUCAUGACUUGCCUCUAAGUUUCAAAACAUAGGAUCUACUUAAAGAAUCACACUUGUCAGCCAAUAACUUAUGAACGGCCUUUUCUAAUAUAAUGAAAAACUAAGAGCACAAGCAAAAGUAAAAUGAAGUGCUCCAAAACAUCUUGGUAGCAGAAGAGACGCUGAAAUGCUCGUGUUUUGUGCAAAAAGAAAACAAGCCCAAGGAACUCUACCUAAUUCUUAUAUCGUGCAAAAUAAGGCUUAAAAAUUUAAAUCAGCAUUCUGAGGCAACAAAAAAGAACUACUAAGUGUCACAUCCCACAUCAACAUCCGAACUUAAUCAGAUUAACAUUUUGCAACGAGUUCCAUUAAACGCCGUAAGCACAAUUUCCCACACUUCCCCAGACAAACAAGCAACAAAAUAAAUGUAUUCAGUACCAGAUAUAAGAGCCGAAAUCAAACAUUACCCAGCCAUCCAGAAAUGUUUCAUCAAUUAACCCCAUGCAAUAAUAAAAGGUCCUAUUUUUCCACGUAAACAUAUAGAAUUAUCAUAGUUUCUCACCUAGUUUAACACUUUUCUCAACAAGCAAAAAUCAAAAGAAGCUCAACUUUUCUUCACGAAACAAACAUCAUUUACUUCUAAAUCAUUGGAUGUAACAAAAACAGAGUAGAGGGUCUCUUUUAUCUCAUCAUAAAACGUUAAUUUCCAUGCUUUCUCUUCUGCCAUCUUCUUCCCACCAGAGGAAAACCCAAAAAAUGGGGGCGUUGAUUCGAGAAAAAUAUGGUUUUGACCAAUCAAUAAAUUGAGGAUGAGAAGUUUGUAGUACCUUCUGGGGAAGAGAAGAGAGAGAGCAGAUCUGCUAAUAAGCCGGAGGGAACGGCAAAGCCCAGCUCUUCUUUGUCUUCAGAAGUGAAACUCAAAGAGAAGACUAGGGUUUAGAGGGAUGAUAUAUAUUCAUCUCUGGUGGAGAAUCAACGGUGGGAUCGCGUGGGCUUUCGUGAGUAAGAAUGCAAGCAACUCAUGUGCAAUAUUUUGAGGAUGAGAAUGACGGAUGGUCCGAUUAUAUUUCUCCAAACAGCCCAAUGAAGUUUGAAUAGGUCCUAAUGCAAUAAAUUGUGAGGCCCAGAAUGCGUUCAAGGUUUCCAAAAGUGGUUCCACAAUUUUGGAGAGGCCCAAUUGCACAGGUUUUUUUUUUUUUUUAAAUAAUGGAUUUGGUGUUUUUUGGAAUUGAUCUCUAUUGGUUGUUUGUCUUUUUUCCCACUCUUCUUGAUGCAUAAGUAUAGUGGCCCUUAAAAUUUUCGUAUUCAUGGUUGUCCAUUGCCAAAUUGCGUCCCUAAAAUGGUUAACCUCCCAAUGAUAUGGUAAAUUCGUUGAAGAUGAGUUAGUUAAAAAUGGUUAAUUGAGUUAUUGUUGUUUAACCAUUAUAUUAUAGUUCCCUAUUGGGUCUCUUGAAAGGAUUAUGAAACAAACAUUAUGCAAAUGUCGGAAAAAGAGUAAUUCAAAUGGCGGUGGCCAAAUGACGAGAAAAUUGUUAACAAGCAACAAGUGAGUAAUCACGAGUUGGUUCAGUGAUCACCGAGAGAAACUUAAAUUCCUCCGAGGUGUUGGUUAGUGUUGAUUAGAGUUUCAAAAAAAAAAAAAGAAAAAGAAAAGAGUAGCAAGUGAAGCAAUUGAGGAAGCCCAUGUGUAUCUGGUUUUGUUCAAAUCACUCGAGACAUCGCACGGAGGCUGUUUUGUUAACGAAAUUUGCAAGUCCAAACCACUUAAUAACCCAUCUCACCCACGAACAAAUCCAGUUAAUAAACUAGAACACUCCAAAUCUAGCAAGGAGAGAGAAUGAAAACAUAUGGAAAAGCCCAAGAGAGUGUUGUUUUUUUUUUGGCAGGGGAGAGCAAAAAAGAGGUGGUUGUGGUGUGAAGGCCUCCGUAUAAUAAAAUUUGAAUAUGUGAUGGACCAAUUUUGUGCAUUUAUGAAGCCUGACAGAAGAAUUUCUUUUUGGAGCCUACCUUGAACUAAAGUUACUAAACAACCAAAAGAAAAGCCUAGCAACAAAUUGUGUCGUGUUAACGUAUAAAAACAUUAAAGAGGUACUCUAAAUCAGUUGGGAUUGUCGAUAUCACUGUUGUGUUAAAUCGAGUGUCAAUUUCACUUAUUAUUUAAGAAUAAAAGAAAAUUUGAGUUAAAUCAAAUCAAUUUAAAUUAUUAAAAGAUUAAAGAGCACUUGAUAAUUUAAAUAAAUACGAUAAUUUGUAUAGAUAUAGAAGUCGCACUGAGUUAUCACUAGAAGGUGGCACCGAGAAACUCAUGCGACCACCGUAAAAUACUAAUUAUUCCAAUAACUCUUCUUGAUUGAUCAGGUCAAACGAAUUUCUUCUUGCGAUUAUGAUUUCAUGGCAAGUUUCACAAGGAAAACUUCCUUUUCCACCAAAGCCACGAGGAAACAAUAAGACCACUCAUGAAAAUCCAGAAACCGAUCUUGGAGUCCACAAGAUCAUCAUGAAGAUAAACAAACAAUGCUCAAGUUGGCCACUGAGAAGACCUUCGAGAACUGCAUGCAUAUUCUUAGACUGAGUCACACUUCAGUCUGUCGUCUACAUCCUGACGUUUCUUCAGACAGAACACAAGCUGUGUAGUAAAACAUAGUAACAAAAGAUUGAUAUUUUAUUUCGUCUAGCAAAAUCAAAAUCUUUUGAAUGAGCUUUGCUAUUAUUACCUCGUAGAAAUUAAUUCGGCACGACAAUUCCUACAAGUUGAAACUGCGAUGUCAGGAAAAAGCAGGUCCCAGUAUCCAAAAGUUCUUGCAGGGCACUAAAUGAGGCUGCCUGAAUCAGCAUUUUGACAACCACUGGGCCAAUGGCUCAGUGACCACCAAGGAGGGACUUAAGUCCUUUCUUGGGCUGUUGGUGAACCUCAUUAGCAGCAAAAAAAUUUAAGAGUUGUAUUAUAGCACUCAAUCUAGUUGGAUAUGUAUACCCACUAGUCCCUACAACAGUUUCCUUAGGCUCCCACUUCCUCUAGAUUAGGAUAGAGUAGAUUAUACAAAUGUAUCGUUGCUGACAAAACAAAAAAAAAAAAUCAGCAUUGUGACUAUAUUCGACACCAAGCCUAGUCGUGUUAAUCGACUCUCACCCUUUCAUAUACUCCUUUUUGUUUUUCUUUUCACAGUAUAUGAUACCUAUUUUAGCAUGAUAUAAUGGUAUUACGCAAAUCUUAACCUACAAUCAUUCUUGUUAGGCAUGUAGAUGUACAACUCUAAACUGCGCGCAAAAUCCUGCCUCAUUCAACUUUGGGUCAAUAAAGAUGAUUUAAAUAAUAACUCAUCACGAGUCUAAAAGACCUAUGUCAUCAAGAUGAAACCGAAUGCUGAAUGAAUUGCUGCUAAUAAUUUCUUACCUCAAUAGCUCUUGCAAUUAGACCGACAAAAGCUUUAUCCGGGUUGACAUUGGAUUAGGAUGCUCUUCAUUCAUCUCUCCGUUUAUUCAUAUCUAGAUAUUCAUAUGAUCUCUAUUGAUCUCUAGACCAAGAUUCUAAACAAUGAUAUUCUUCUGAAAAUAUUUUAGCAUUUGAUUUACAAAAAAAAAAAACAAUAUAUUUGAAUGGUGAAAAAUAGGUUAAAAUUGUAACAAAAUUCGUAACAAUUAAUCAAGUAGCAAACCCUAAUCAAUUUUAUAUGAAAUUUUAUGUACAAGUAAAAGAAUUAAUGAAAUAUAUUAUGAACGGUGUUAUUUUUAAAUUAAUUUUUGAGGCGUAACGGGGAGAAAUUUUGUCUAAUUUAAUUCUUUUAAAAAAAAAAGUCUAGUCCGUUGACAUUCCUAUUUUUCUGAACAUUUUGGUUGGUUAGUAUGACUUCCAAAUGGGGUUGUUGGGGUUGAUAAUUAAAUCGUUUUCCAAUUUUAUAUCUGCGUUCCAUUUAUGUUAUGACUUGUAAGGUCACGCACAUGGUAUCCAACGAUCCAUCCUGAGCGUUAUCAUCAUCUUUCCAAGUCAACUUUAGUUCAUUCGUUUAUUCUGAAAGUUUACGUGAAUAAAAAAAAAAAAUUUCAAACUUAUUUUGCGAGAUAACGUUGAAGGACAAAUAUUAGUGCAGCAGGUUCUGUAAGGUUUGAAUUCAAAGUAAUAUCUUGCAACAUAAAAAGUUCGAAAUAAUUUAAGUUACUUGAAGGCAUUAAUUAAUGCUCUAUGCCAAACGAUGGCUCAUAAUAAUAAAGUCAUGAUCUACUUUUACAUAACCGACCGACUUGUGGAGGAAUAUGCUAUUGCUAGCAUAAUGGUUGUGAUGUCGUUUCAAGAAUGUGAGCAUUGUGCAUGGCGGUUUGUUGCCGUUGGUUAGUGCUUUGGCGAUAACGUUUGAGCGGUUUUUUUUCCCUUUCAUUUAUGUGCUCUUUUUUAAGAUUUAUUAUUUAAUGCCUCUACCUAUACAAGAAUUCUACGCUUUUUGAUUGAGUUCAAAAUCAGUGGUUUUGAAAUGAGAAAUCUCAAAAUCAUAAUGUAUCCUAAUUCGACUAUUUCUAAGUGGAAACAUCCGAAUAUUUGACUCAGACUUACUGAUUUCAAUUUUUUGAUUAAGUUCGAAAUCAGUGAUUUUGAAAUGAAAAAUCUCAAAAUCGUAAUGUAUCCUAAUUCGACUAUUUCUAAGUCGAAACAUCUGAAUGUUUGACUAAAUUCUGACUUAUUGAUUUCAAAUUUUAAAAUUCGCUGAGCAAAGAAAAAACCCUUAAAUUCCUAAAGAAAAUAUUGGAAUACGGUUGCCCAAAAAGGGUACAAUUGAAAUAUAAAAUAAGCUAUCAAAGGAAUAGAUCAUUAAUGAAAUUUCAGAAGUUGAUUACGGAGUCCAAAGAUUAUCAAGUCAAGAUAAAAGGCAGUAACGUGCAAGCUUUUCAUCAAGAAGACCUUCAACAACCGCAUGCAUGUUCUGAUGUUUCUUCAGAACAGAGCACAAAUUGCAAUGUGCUAAAACAUGCAAUAAGACGCUCAGAAACGCUAGAUUUUUGUCUAGCAAUAUCAAUCCAUUGAAUGAGCUUUCAAAUCAUUACCACACAGAGAUUACUUUGGUACGACAAUUCCUAAAGUUAAAAUUGCGACCUAGGGAAAAUAGCAAUGUAGACUACCCUUUUUUCCUCUCUUUCUGGUCCAAAAGUACUUGCAGGUUGCCGAGUCAGGCUGCCUAAUUUAGUUUUUUGACUAGCCUCAUCGCGUUAAAUGACUCUUACUCCCUGAUCAUAUGCACUUUUGAAUUUCCUUUUAGUCCAAUAUAACAGUAAUAGAUGCAAUGAGCGUGACCUAAUAACCUAAAGACCCCUGCACAUUGAGUAAUACCUAUUUUAGCAUAUGAUAUAAUGGUACAAUUACAAUUUAAACCUAAACCUACCAAAAAAAAAAAAAAAAAACCUACUUCUUUCUUUCCACUUCGGUUCAGUAAUAUUUUUAUUUUUUUAAAAAAUGAGUCAUAAAAGACCUAUUCAUCGAGGAUGAAGCCAAAUCCAAAAUGAAAAUGUCCCUCGUUUGUGAUUUCUUAUCUCAACAUCCCGUCUAGUAGACCAACAAGGCUUUCUAGCUAGCCAUCUUGGUUGGCAACUUCACGCACGCUUAUUUGUCUCAGCUUUUCACUUGUUUAGUACGAUUUCCAAAUGGUGAUUGGGUUGACAUCGAUUAUUUUCCACUCAUUUCUGAUGUAUCUCCCCCCCCCCCCCCCUUAGGUAUGUGUUUAUGACUAGGAAAGGUCAAAGAUAGUAUUCAGCCGUCCCCACACAAAUGCUGUCCUCUUUCAAUGUCACCUCUUUAGUUUUUCCAAUGCCCAUACAGGAAAAAGUUGUGAAAAUUCAGACGGGACAAUAUGGUAGUUGGCUUUAAUAGUUUUAAAGUCGUAGUCUUUGCUUGCAAGAAAAAAACUUUGAAUUUGUUUCAGUUUCUUAAAUUGUACGUAUUGAAUACGAAUUAAUCCUUUUUACACUCAUAAGGUAUACAAAAGGAGUCUAACUGCAUGCAAGAUGCACAAAAUUUGGAAUUCAAAUUUAAAUAUGGCGUGCAUGCAUCUCUUCUAGGCGCAUUAAUAUGUAUGAAAGAUCAAUCAUUUGAAUAUUUACUUGACAUUCUAAUUUCCUCAUAAUAUCUAGUAAAAACGUUUCUUUUAUUUGAUAAAACCUUCGAAAACUUACAGACAUAAAGUCUGCUCAACCAAAAGGAAAUUCAACUCCUUUUUUGAAGUCAUGAUUUCCUCCCACUUAAAAUUGCAUGUGGACCAUAUGGAAUUAUAUGAAGGUUCCCAGGAGCAGCAGGAGCGCUGUAAUAGAAGAAAGUCAAUCUCUCCAUUCAUGCAUCUUAACUCGAAUCCACCGACUUCUGUGAAGAAAUCUUUUGUGUUGUGAAAACUGUGAUGGCUUUUCGUUGCUUUUGGGGUUCAGAAGAUUGUGAGCACUGAAAAGUAACAACUGCAGAAGAAGACGGAUCAUGAGAGUUCAGUCUUAUCACGGAUUUGGGAUUGCGACAAUAGAAUGAAGAAGGUUAUUCGAAACCCAUGAGGGAGCCGCUUCGGCAAUUCCAUUUUUAUUGGAUUACACACAAUUUGUCCGUGCAGCUUAGUGGCCGAGAAGAUGAAACGUCGGCAUUCUUAUUUGCUAGCAUUAAUUUUGAUAGUUUGAAGGAUAAUAUCAGAAACCUCCCUCCUGAGGUUCUUCUUAAUAUCACUUAACUCUUCCAAAGUUUUAAAAAUAUCACUAGUAUCAAUUCAUUUUAUAUGUUCAAAUUUGAUUUUUUAUGAGCCUGAUUCUUUUUCCGCCAACCUCUUCUCCAUCGACCCAUGGCCAAACUUUUAGAUUGUGCUAAAUCAUUAUAAAAAUCAGCUUAAAAUAAAUACAAAAAUCAUACGCCACUCUAUUACAAUUACAAAAUGAAAAAGGCGAACAAAACUCAAUUUACUAUAAUUUACAAAUAAAAGAUAGCAUAGUUAUCCAAAAAAAAAAAAAGAGUCAGAAAGAGUGUUGAAGAAAGGGAAAAAGAGAAUCAAGAAAGUGACUUUUGUUUCUUUUUCUUUAAUUUUUUAAACUCCAUCUCUUUGAUAUGUGAAUAAUGUAUCAAAUGAGAGUUGAUAUAGUCAUUUUACAAUUAUUAGGAGGACGUAAGUGGUUAAUUUAAAACCGAUAAGUGAUAUUAGGAGAAACCUAUGGAGGUUUUUUGAUAUUAUCCCUAGUUUGAAAUCACCUAAGAAGAAAAUGGUAAAUUGUUGUUUGAUCUUUACACCAUCGCCGGGGGACAUUUCACAAUUCUCAAAACUUUGGAAUCUUGAAGAUGUUUUGUUUAACGUGAUAUUAGCCUAAAGAAAUUUUGUGCGCUGUGAAAUUAGACAGUAGAAUGUAACAAGCAUGAUCAACGUUUUUACCGUUUAUUGUUUUCACCUACGUGAUGAUGUUGCUGGUAGAGUAAUCGUUAGCGUUCCCGACAUUAAAAUUGUUUUUAGCGAAAAAUAUAAAGAGAAGGGAGCAAAUUAGCAAAAGGGGGUUGUCAAACUCACUCACAAUGGGAAGUUUAUAAGUAAUUAAUGUAUUGUAGGUACGUGUUUUCCAAUCUUUCACUCCACGAGUCCACUAUAGACUAAGUCGAUUUUUAAUUUGUGACCCAUGGUCAUGGAGAAAUGUCACCAAAUUCAAAUCAAAUCUAAGCUUUGGUGGGUCAUCAUCCUAAUCCAGUGACAGCUACCUCAUUCCAUAUUUGAGAAUUUUCUCUCUAAUUCUGGGAACCCGAUUCUCCAUGGAUUUGUCAAUUUUUCUCCAGUGCUGGCAGCCACCUAUUCUUUUCAACAUCUACCAGUCCAACUUGACCAUUAUCAGUUAUCACGAUCAAGAUCAGCUUUUAAUAGCUUGAAAACAAGAAAGACACUGAAAACGUGAUUUGUGAAUGCAAAUAAAAAAAUCGAAAUGAAGUUGUUUGUGAAAAAUCACUUGACCUUUUUGGUUAGAUUAGAUAAGAUGGAUGGGAUCAACGAUUGCUUUAGCCUUAAGGGUGCUUCUCAGCUUUCUGCUUGCCAAUAAGCAUUCUCCACUAAUGCAUGACGAUUGAUAAUACUAAUAAUCUAUGGAUUACCUAAAUAUAUUGGUCCAACUUACUUUUCGGUAGCAAAGAAUAGCAAUUUUAUUAAUUAGAUUGUUGAAAAUCGUCCAGCACAAUUCAUUUGACAAAUUUUGGAAAAAAAAAUUUCACAGGGGUCAACAAUGUCCUCUGAUUAACUGUUAAAACUUAAAAGCCAACCGCAAGAUGCAAUAGUUCAUCAACUCCAAAUGGUUGCAAAAGCUACUCAGCAAAUGAAACAUGUAAGCAAUUAGUUUUUUCUAUAGACAGAAAGAACACACACACCCAAUUAGAUUAGAAUGCUCAGAAAGUCAUCGCCAAAUUGAGUCAGAGACUAAUCUAAGGGGGACCCACAAACCAACACCUUCCAACCAAUUGGUGACAGGAGGGUGCGGUUAAUGACCUUAAACCCAGAUUCAUUAAAGAACCCAUAAUCUUUCGAUGUGGGCCCUCCCGAGCACAUCCUCGUCAAAUAAAUGGUUUGUUUUUUCCAUGGACAGAAAGAACACGCACACCCAAUUAGUUAAGACGAACUAAACUAGCUUUCGUAUACUUUGACAGAAAAUUAACUUACCAAACGAAAAGAAUGUGGUUAUUAAGCAAUUAGUUAAGACGAACUUUCGUAUACUUUGACAGAAUAUUAACUUACCAAACGAAAAGUCUGUAGUUAUUAAGUACACACGUGGUGCAAUGAGUGCCGGUAAUACAUAGCCUCCAGUGAAGGCCUUUUUUUUUUUUUUUUUUUUGUCGCCUAGCAGCGAAGAAUUAUACGGCUGUAGAAACUUGCACCAUUUCAAUCAUCAAUAUCUUGGGAAAAUUUGAAAAAAGAAAACAAGGCGAUUAAAAAUUCAUAAGUAGGAUAUAACUAUUAAAAAUUUUUAAAAUGCAUAAUUCAGUAUACAUACGUGCACAUAUAUGGUUUUGAAUAUGCAUAUUCAUAUAUAUAUAUAUAUAUAUAUAUAUAUGCGCACGCGUGCACGUAUGUUCAUCAAAAUGCAUAUUUUUAUUUAUUAAGCUGAGUAACUGUAUAGCAGUGUUAUUGAACAAGGUACACAUUAUUAUGAGGCUGAUCCAGUCAUUUAAUGGUAAAUUUAUUACCUAUUUAAAUGUGCGAAUAAUAGCCCAUUCCCAUUCACACAUUAUCUAUCAAAAGACAAGUUACGCUCUUCUUAUGACUAUUUCAUUUUCCUAUUCCCAAUUUUCAAAAAUUUCCCGUUGUGUUUCAAUUACAGUUCAAGACGCGUCACUCUGAAUCUCUCAUACGAAUUACUGAGUCUAUUAUGUCUGAUAUGAUAUAAUCAUCAGUCAUCACUCGGUUUUCUUGGUUAGCACGUCUUUGAUUCUUUACAGAAUUAUUCGCCGCAAAUGAAGUAUAUAUUCAAACGAAUAUUAGACUAAGAUUGAUUGAUGGUUCUUCAUGUUGUCACAUUAACGCUCCAUAGCUUCAAAUUUCAAGCAUCAUUAUUAUUAAGUUGGUAUGUUCUUCACCAGCAACAGCAAGCUUAUCUGUUAUUGGUGUUUUAAGAUGACAUCUCACUGGAAGUCAAAAUAUAACUAUCAAGCAGUAAAGAAAUUGUGUGUUUUUUUUUUGUUCAAAACAAAAAGUCAAUGGUUGGAAAGGAUCAGCUCAGUGUGUUAUUUGAACACUUCAAACGAGAUUCGGGUUGAACUGGAUCGAUUUUCUAAUUUAUCUAAUUUUGACAUGGUUCAGCACUACUUUUCCACGCUCCACAUUCAAGUGGAGAGGUGAAAAAAGAACGGCAAGGUUAGGAGAGACAACGAAAAAGAGCACCGGGGAGUUGAAACUUUUAAGUAAAAUUAUACAAACAUUAAUACAUAAUGGCACUCAGUUAAGAGGCCAACGGUCUUCCAUUCUUAAUUACUACUAUUUGAUUGAGCGCAUUUUCUUUCGUGGGAUUAAUUACUUGAGGUAUGACAGGUUUUUUAGUUCAUUUUAUUCCUUUACUUCAAUUUUGGAUAUUUUAAUUAUUCUCUAAAGUAUGAAAUCCGUCCUGUUUUAAUUCUUGAACUUUGAGCAUCGUUUACUUAUCAUUCUGUUAGUCUUGACAAUUUUAUGAGAUUGGUUUCAUACUUUAAGGAAUAAAAUAUUCAAGUGAAGUUUACGAACUAAACUGUGAUAGAUUCCAUAUGUAACCUACAAGUACAAAGACCAAAGUGAGAGACUGCAUCUUUAUUAUUAGUUUAAGCAGCCAAAGUAGAAUUUGCCCAAAUUUCUGACCUAAGUUGUUGACAUAGUAGUGUGUUUUGAUCUGCACGCUUUGAUCACAUAAAACAAGUUUUAGCCCAAAAGAUAGACCGUCAAUAAUUGCAAUUCGAAAAAUUUAAACCCGUAAAGACAAAUAAUUUAUGUUAGUCCACCAUGAAGGAGUGGUUUGCAGAAGUGCUUGUGUUGGACCAUUGGUUGGAUAAUUCAAUUCCAGGGCUUAACAUGUUAUUUCAUGGCCAUUUGGCUAGGUGAAUUGUUAUAUAUAAGAUAAGAUGAACUAUAUAUAUAUGAUAUAUAUAUGAGCCAUUGAACACGAUCCUCACUUAACCCAUGUUUAAAAAUUCAAUUCAUUACUUAAAUUUAAUGAAUUCAGACCUUAACAUAUUCAUACGCGUUUAAUAACAAAAAAUUGAACAUCAUUAAGUGACGCUGAAUUUUCUAGAUAAAAUUUGCUCCUAAAAUUAAGUGAUAAAUUAUUUACUUAUCACUAAAUAUAAUAUAAACUUAAAUAUAUUAGAUUUAAUACUUAAUAAUUUAAUAAUUUAAUGAAUUCAGACUUCAAGAUUUCAGAUUUCAGACUUCAAUUUUAUCAAAGGCACCUUGACUUUGGAGGCAGACACAAUUCAAACAUACCUAUUGCUUUUGUUCUAGCAGAAAAUAGAAUGUAUAUUAUUCCAACCGAAUCCUCUAAACUUCACAUGCAUCAUGUAAUGAUGAUUUAUUUGCAUCAAAGUUUGGGAUUAACGUGAUGUCACAAUUAAUCAUUAGUUAGACCACGAUGUUGACUAUCCCCAUUAACGAAAUUCGUGAGGUAACAUGUGCAAUGUUCGCCGCGCCACAGGCCAAACCAAGGAAAAAAAAAAAAAAACACUCACAUACUUAAUUCCAAUCUUUUCAAACUCGAACGUGUUCACAAACCGAAUUCUUAAAGAUAUGUAACUUCGGACUUUUCUUCGUUCUUCUUAUUAUCACACCAAAUUUCUCCGUCGUGGUUAUCGUUCUGGAAAGCCUUUCAUUUUUCAAAGAAUGCGGAGUCUGCGGGAAAAAAAAAAGUCUCUUAUGUAGUGGAGGUGGUGAUGAUGAUUACGGGAAAUCAGAACCUUGUUUCCUAGGAUUGGUCCCAGGAACCUAAAUAAUGAAGUUGGGAAGCAUUAUCUUACGUACUAACGUAUAAUUGAGACUUUAACAACAGCUAUAAGUUAACAACGUAUCCGUCCAGUUGAUUAGCUGAGAGCUCUUAGAAUUCUCUCUAUUGUCAGUUUAGAAUUCGAAUUUUAGUUUUUUAAGUUUACAUUGGAAAUCUAUGUUUAAUAGUUGAGGUUAGGAAUCACUGAAAUUGGUCUAGUAAUUCGGAAAAAACUCUUCAGGAUUUGAAUUCUAGUUUUUAGGUUCAGAAUUCGAAACCUAAACUUAAUAGUUGAGAUUAGGAAGGGUGAGAGGUAAACAAACAGAAAAAAAAAAACGUAUCACUUGUCGUGGCCUGUUAGGACCCAAAGAUUGUGAUCAAAACAUUGCUACUUGACAGUAUACCAAAAUUUGAUUGUUGGCUAAAAGACAACGAGUAAAAAUUUUCUAAAAUAAAACCGAGAGACAAUUCAGAUAAUUUAUUUAGAUGAGUUGGAGUAGUUCAAUAUCAACAGGUUUUAAUUGUUGAAUUUUGCUAAAUGAGACGUUCUCUUUUUAUAUUUAAAAAAAAAAAAAAAAAAAAAGCUGGUUAUAACUGGCACAUGUUUGCAGAAAAAAAUAUGCUUUAUUGAUUCUUACCAAGUCAAUUGAAAUUGUUACAAUAAAAUGUGCUUUAGUUCCCAAAAUCCCGCAAACUAGUAAUUUCCCUGCUCGUGGAUGAAAAUCUUUGAUUGAAACUUGUAAAUAUGAAUAGUAGCCUGGAGAGGGAUAAAACUUAAAUAAGACAAUAACCACAAUAAUCAAAUGAAGCACAAAUAAAGCAGCCUAUCUCUCCCUCUCUCUCUCCAAAAUUAGCUCAAUUUGCCUAUAUAUCAUUGUUCAUAAUUCUUUUCUUUUUUUUUUGAUUAAAUCUUAUAUACACUGACAAUGUAUACACUAUUAUCAUUGGAUUUAUGACACGUGUGCCAAAGUUAAAUUUUAAAUUUAAAUUUUAUAUAGUUAUCGUUCAUCCAAUGCUGACGGUGUAUACACUGUCAGUGUAAGAAAAAUUAACCUUUUUUUUUAUACUUCCAAUCUUGAAUAUAACAAUUAUUUUAGAAAAAAAAAAGCUUACAUUGAAAGAACAGGUCUACAAUUCCUAUACAAAUUAUUUCUCCCAAUCUUAUUUUAUACACAUAAUGCAAAACAGACAACCCACAUGUGUUACGGGAUUUUUGGACUGUGUGCUUAAUGUCCAAAGCUCGAAAGGAAUCUCCAAAUGAUCACUGAAGUCUUUCUGUCUAAAUCUGUAUUCUACAUUUAAUCGUCCUCAUCUUGUAUGUUGCGUAAAGAAAAAUAUCACUCUGCCUAAAAAAUAUCUAAUCAUCCCUAUAAACGACAAAUUUGCUUUCCUGGGAUUAUUUCACGAUCAAAUCUGAGUGCAUCUUUCUUGCGAUUGCUUCAAUUGCAGAGAUCAUCCAUAUUCCACAAGCAAUAUCCCAGAUCAUCGUCACUCAGCCAAUUGUUUUGUGCACAGUAGUUAUCACCAGCUGGCCCUGUAGAGCCGCCCAUCGCUGUAACAGGUGCUGCUGAGCUCAAGUUUUCCAUAUCUUGAUAACUAGUGCUGUCAACAUUGUAACAUUCAUUUUGAGAAUGACCAUAGGAAUUGUUGGGAGCCAUGUCAUAAAAGGGAUUUUCUAUGUAUUCGGAAAAUUGAGGGACCGGAGAGAUAUUCGUGGAUUCUGAUGAAGACAUGCUUGAUGGGCUGCUGCUAAUCAUGUUUCUCUGAUGACUAUCCGGGAAACUGUAUGGUACCUGUUGCGGUUGUUUUGCUGCCAUUGAAUUGCUAACUGCUGCCUGAAUUUCAGCUAAAUUGUCAUGUUCUGAUGAGUCCCAAUAUGCAAUAUUUCCUUGUACCUUUUGAAGCAACCGAGGAAUCCAGACACGGCGAACUAGUUCUUGAAACUCACUGCUGUUGGAGUCUAUCUUCAGAUGGCGGGCCUGCUUUUGUACUCUUGUUCUCCAGUAGUUCUUGAUUUCAUUAUCUGUUCUUCCCGGAAGAUGUUGUGCAAUCUUUGACCACCUUCAUUAUCAUUUAUGAGAAACAAAUUAGCUUCAUCGGCGUCCAAAUUCAGUAUUAGGAAGCAAAUUGAAUUUGAAUCGUGCCCUUUUAAUUUUCUUCACAUCCGAGUACAACUUCAACUUCAGGAUCCAAAAUCAUAUGGGACUGGACAAGUACGAAUGCAGAAGGUGAAACAUGCAAUGGUAGGGAUGAGGAUGCAAAUUCGGGCCCAAAUCCGCGCAAAUUUCAUCUAAACAGACUUAAAAGUGUGCAUUUGAGCGCAAAAAGCCAAUUACCAAAUGAAUACCUGUUGCCCCACUUGGAAUGAAGCUCAAGAAUCAAGAGCUGUUCCUCUGGACUAAGAUUUCCUCGUUUAACAUCCGGUUUAAGAUAGUUGAGCCAUCUCAAUCUACAACUCUUGCCAGUUCUAUUCAAUCCUAUGUGUACACAACACGAAAUUUCAGCAAAACUGUACAGUUGAAACUUUGGAUGAAAAGAAACAUUGAUUUUGUGCUCAGCUUUCGUGGCAACGAACAUAUGUGCUUACCUGAACGUUUCGCUAGCAAGUUCCAUCGGCCUUCACCAUGAGCAGCAAUGUAAUGAACAAGAAGAGAAUCUUCUUCAACAGUCCAGGGACCUCUCCUGAGCUCACCACCUGCGGCAUCAUCAUCACUACAACUGCUUGUAGUUGUACUCUUAGACAGGGAACACAUGGCUGGCUUCUAUUUUGAGUAGGGUACCGAGAAUUUUGAGGAAUUUCAAGACAAACUGAUAAUUGGGCUUACGAGUCUAAGCUUUGAAGGCGAAGCACUGACGCAACAGCAGCAAAUCCAUGAUUUAUAAGGUACGAGGUCUUAGUACUCUAACCCACUGUUCACAUGUUACUUUUCAAAGGAAGUAGCCGCGAAAGCAGACUUUAUAAUGCACAGCUUCUUUUCUUUUCCCUAUUCUGUUUUUUUUUGGUCAAUGUAGCAUAGGAUUUCUAUUGGAAUUUUUACUCUCCUUUAGAAUUUCAACCAGUCAAAACAUAAGAAAUCACUGGAAUAUUGUACCUAUAACAUCGCCCACAAGCAGAAUUCCAGGUUAAUUUUUCUUUUAUUCUUCUACAUCGAGAAAAUUAAGGACUGAAAUAGAGGUGGCCAUGGUUUAGGUUUAAACCAAAAUCGGACCGAAAUUAGCUCGAAGGUUUGUUGAAUUAGGUUUUGGAAACCGAAACCGAAACCGAAAUCAUAACCAUGACUAAAGGUUCAAGUUUAGAUUCACUAAAAUUUUGAACCAGAACCGGCGGUUUAGAAUCUGUUCAAAUCGUCUAAAAAAAAUAUUUACUACUUAAACCUGUUUGUCUUGUUUAGAGUCCAAUAUCAAUAGUUAGCACCUAAUACCAGUAAUUAAAGUCCUAAUCUAAUAAUCUACUGUCCCAUUCUUUUAGUAAAUCUAUAAUCAAUGAUUAAUCUAAAUCUAAAACCAAUCUAAUCUAAUCAAUAAUGCGAUAUUUUUCAAAAAAUUUACACAUUUUUUCUUUUUCAUCGCACAUGAUAAUGCAAUAAACACACACACACAUAUAUAUAUAUAUAUAUAUAUAGGAGUUCAAAUAUCGCAACCGUAACCGUCCCUCUAUGGGCUAAUUCAAGUUCUACCUUUCUAAAGAAUCGAAACCCUUGGUUUUUAAAUUGGAACCAACGGUUUUGGAAUCGUGACCAUGUCUAGAUUGAAAUAUGAAAAUAGUUGUGCUUUUAGUAGAGAUCCACCAUAUGCCAAUAUAGAGUAGUACAAUUCCUUUUCUUUUUUUUUUUUUGCUUUUUAGUAUAAUUGAAAAGGUCUCGAACUCGAGAUUUUUCACUUACACUUCCUUCUUCCCAUACCACCUAACCCUUUCCUCCCCCUAAUAUAAUAUGUGUCUGUGUAUGUUUUUUUUUUUUUAAAUAAUGUGUUUUGAAUAUAAUUUUCAAACAUUUUUUUUAUUUUAAUUCUAGCAAAACUUUAUAUUUUACAAUAUGAAGAUACCUAAUAUUUUCCCCUAUGUAGUGAAGUUGAGAACUAAAGCUUUACAUGCACUUUUAAUGGAAUACAAUAAUCUUUUAGAGGCAAUUAAAAUCCCAGCAUGCCACCUUAAAGAAAAUCUCAAUAUGCCAUCCCCGUAAGUAACACAGAGUAUCAAUAUCAAGGAACAAAAGUAGGGUCGAUUAAGGUGGCCGGAUCAGGACUUUUACCUUGUAAAGUAAAUGAUCAAAAUAGCUUUUGGUCUUCUUCAAUAUGGUAAAGUCGAGCUCAAACCAUUUUCUUGAAAAGAAAAUAGGAGGAAUAGGGUGAUUUUGCGAAAUUGUUAAAUCAGCUUAGAUACCACGAGGCUUGGGGUUCCUUUUUAAUUACAUCAUAGGUCUACUAAAAAAUAAUUCUCUAGUCCUAAAGUUCCUACAUGGAAAAAAAGAUAAUACCCACCGUUAUCAAUGAAGAGCUAGAUCAUCAAAGAAAAGGCAGUUUUGACAAAGAAAUUGAAGGCAACACAGCAUUCUUGACAAUGACAAUUACAAAACCUUGAAUCGAUCAUUAGAAGGAAUUAGUUUUUAAAAACUUCGCGGUUUGUCAUUUCUAGUUUCUUCCAAUUAUAAAAAACGUACUUGACUAACCAAGAUGAAACCCUGAAUCAAAACCAAAACGUGGGUUAAUUUAUGUCCGUCUAACUGAUAGGGGCGGCAACCAUAUUUCUAGGCAUCUAGCUUUUGCUUGGAAUCUUAAAACACAGUUCCCUUUUCCAAUUGCAUGGCUGUCAUCUGAUUUUCUGUCAAUUUUGCUUAAGAGUUGUAGUUUUCUUUUUCAAGCAGAAGUGGUACGUUUUUUAAGUAUUUGGUACUUGACUUCUGGUUUCUCCAGAAUACAUCCAUUUUGGAAACACGCGAGGAGUAGGACAAUUGUAAGAGGCUGCUAAUGCUUAAUGCAGCUAAAUUUGACUUUUAUAAUCUACAUCUUGCCUCCAAUGCAUGUUUCGGGUUGAUGACUCCUUGAAUAUCAGGAAUCCCUUGGAUGCGAUGCUCAUGAAGGUUCUUGCAUUCUCUUAUUCUCUGCUGAUAUGCUCUUGCCAUAAUAAUAAUAAUAUGCAGCCUUCUUUUAAUGGAAGCCAAUUGUUUUAGUGACGGUAUUAUUUCUGCCGUAAAUGCAAUUACUACUAGUAUUUCACGUUGAGAGCCCGAGUACAGGUCACAUACUAUUCGCAGAAGGGCUGCAAUUCGUCAAGAUUCAGGGCAAAUAGAAUAUAAACAUCUGACGACAAUCCUAAAGGAAUAUAUAUAAAGAAUGAGCUGAUUCUAUGCUUCUAGAUGCCAUUCAAUGCUUCAUACAAAGCUACUAUAUCCAGCGCAGUACAACUUUGGAGUCUCCUGAUUCUAGUCAAGGUUAAGUGUAUAUAGCUUGGACGGCGUUAACUUACUAACUUAAAAACCAAAAAAAAAAAAAAAAAAAAAAACAAUUAGGAACAUGCUAGUGCAAAGCAAUCAAAUUCUCACGUUUUUUUCUAGAAAUUUUCAAUAAGAAAAAAAAAAAAAGAAUUCCUCAUGUUUCCUCGAUCUUACUUGAGAGUCAGCGAUUGGAAUUAUUCGUUUGGACUGAUGGAAGCGGGUCGUGGUUCUCUUCAUUGCAUUUCUAUUUUUAAUUUCGUACCACUUUUUACUUAUAAUUUAUUUUUGGUAAGACAACAUGCUCCCCCCCUUCACAACUCAGGAAGAAGAAUAAUUGGACUUUCGUAGCAGUUAGCACAACAUUCUUUUUUUGUUUUUUGUUUUUGCUUUUUUUAAUUGAGGAGGAGAACUUAUCAAUUAUCAUCAUCAUAGUGGUACUUGUGACUUCCACACCUAGCCAAAAAAAUUAUUUUUUAACUGUAAAUCAAAUUUAACAACUAGUUUGGCAGUCAAUAUUUGAUGAGAAAAGAAAAAAAAAGUGAGAGAAAUGGAACAUUUCAUCAUUUAGCCAGAUUUUUCAAGAUUAAAAAAAAAAAAAGGGCUUGAUUUGGACGAGUUGAUUUUAACAUUAUUAUAAUUUUAAAAGCUUUUUCCGCCCAUUUAUGGACUGAUUUGGACACAAAAUUGGAGAAAAUUUUUUCAAAUACUAAUAAUGCCUUCCUUAGAUGGCCACUAAACAAAAUUUCAAUAGUGUAUGAAACGUUUCCAAAUGUUGUCUUGUGAUUUUGGUUUGGUGUCGAAGUGCAACUCUGAUCUUCCAGAAGUUUGGACUCUUUUUUUCCUUCUUUAAUUGAUUUUCUACGUCAUUUGUAUCCCUUCUUUUUUUAUUCGCAUUUCUAAGUUAUUUUUCUCUCACCUUGUACGGUACAACUAAAUAUCUUUUUUUUUUUUUUGAUAAGGGUUAAAAUCGUAAUCUUAGCCGCUGGAAACAUUUACUUCAUACAUAGUAGAGAGACUCCGCCAAUCAUUUCAAACAAUCAUGAAAUAUGACUAGGAAUGUUGAAGAUUUGAUUAAUUAGUAGCUAGGAAGAAAGGAUGGCAUGGCAUGGAGUCUCAAGUCAGAAGUUGUACAAAGACCACAAGAAGACCACGCAAUCCAUGGAUGAAGAUUAGCAAUUUCUUUCUUUCUUUCUUUCUUUUCUUCUAACACCAAUGGGAUGAAGAUAAUGAAGUUUAAGGAUGAGAAUCAAGAUAAUCAAUCAUGCGCGAUCAAUGGCGCAAUCGUGAUUUGUAUUACUUGAGAACUAAAUGAAAUCAAUGACAAAAUACUGCACUGUUUCCUUAUAGUGACUGUGUCAUCACAAGAAAAAUAAGUUGUAUACGGCAAGAAUUUGUUAAUUCUGAGAUUAUCUUUGAUGCAGAUGGCCAAAUUCUGACAUCACAAGAAUGUGUCAUGAUAAUGACAAUAAUUGAACAAAAAAAAUUCCAUCCACUGCAAACACCUCAUUAAUGCAUUACUCGAAGGAAAGGGAACCCUACUGAUUAAGCUCCUGAGUCCUUUUGACGGAGAAAUUGACAUUGAUGUAAACCAUUAAUAAUGUUUUCCAAGAUAUUCAUCAAAUUUCCAUUUCUUUAUCCAACCCAUCCCUCAGAUGUCUCUCUCUUUAGGAUGCUACUGCAGAUGAGUACCUAUUGGAUUUACACUUGCUUCGUAAAUAGACUUGGGAUUAUUCUCUUUCAAAUUAGCCUUCCCAGUGAGACUCCAUCUUGAUCAGCUUAUUGGACGGGGUAUAUGACUAAAGUUGUAUGGGACGAGGUAUAAACUGGCAAUGCAGCAAGGGUUGUCUUUAGCAGCAAAUCUUGAUCAGCCAAAAUAGCAAAAUGUUUUCUUGCACCCUCUGGUUCUGUGCAUCCUCUCCUUAUCAAACAGUAAGCAUCACUCUGCAUCUACACUAAAGUUGAAUCUCUUUCUGCUAAAAAUUCAAGUUCAGAGUUAAGACAUCUACUUUUAUGCACCAUUGAACUUACUCUAAAGGGCUUUACUUGAUGUCUUGCUGGAAACUUAUUGUUCAACACAUUUAAAUCUGCAUUGCUGUCAAGACUUGUUUAAAUUCGUAAUUUGUCCUUCAUAUUAUGAUGCAGUUCUAGUCCCUACUGGACAAGACAUUUGUUACUAGCAUAGCUGAUGAUUCUUAUCUCGAAAUUUGCAUUGAUCUUUUUCAACUUCAAAAUGCCAACUACGGAAUGAAGUAAUGAUCCAUGCAUGGAACAUUAUAUGCUGUUUCUCAAUCUUUUUAAGAUAUCAGCGUGAAUGCAUAAGUUUCUUAAUUGAACAGACUAAAGUACGCAAGUGAGGUUCUUCUUUUCUCAUCUGUCAUCUACAUCUGCCAUUUAUGUUCUAAUUCAUGUGGAUUGAUUCAACAAGGUUGCAAAUUAAAACAUACAGGGAACUGCCUAGGAAAAAUAAGCAAGUGAACAUCUAUACGAAAUAUUUGAGAGCUUGAACAAGAGAAGCGAGGAACUGAUAUACCUGGCAUUAAAUGAAACUGCUAUACCAUACAUGAUGGAGAGAACUCAUACCGCCAAGGGCAAAACAGCUCAAUGGAGAACGGAGAUACCUUGUCAAGGCUCUAAGCGUGUUACACAUUUUAUUAUCACAAAAUAGUUGUCAUCAGCGGAAAAUGUGUACAGAACAUGGAUAUGCUUAUACUUACAAACUCAAAUUAUUAAGAAAAAGCCAGAACAACAAAGUCAUAGCAAUUUUGGCACCCAUGCCUGCUCCUGCAUUACUUAGCCAGUAACGAAUCAUCGAGCUGGGACCUUUAUCCAACCAUUAGCAAAAGCAAUGGCCAAGAUUACAAAGGGUGUCGACAUACCAAAUAUGAUAAUGUAAGGUAGAGGCGUCUUCAUGGGAUUCUCCCCUUCCCUU
Molecule: long non-coding RNA, 105860 nt
Filed under: Coffea arabica (coffee)
Lineage: Eukaryota; Viridiplantae; Streptophyta; Magnoliopsida; Gentianales; Rubiaceae
Description: long non-coding RNA (CARA_LNC002738)
Source: RNAcentral